Molecule: long non-coding RNA, 102160 nt
Filed under: Vitis vinifera (wine grape)
Lineage: Eukaryota; Viridiplantae; Streptophyta; Magnoliopsida; Vitales; Vitaceae
Description: long non-coding RNA (VVIN_LNC005938)
Source: RNAcentral
GCUGUGUACAUUCGCCUGAUUCUUUGUAAUAUUAUGUAAAAAAAAAAAUUGAGAUUAAAGAAAAAGUGAAAAACACAUAUGACCAAGCUGAGGCGCUGAAAAGAAAAAAGAAACAAGGCUUUUUAAGGCAGAAGACGGUGAUCUCCUCUCAGUUUCCAGUUUCCGCCAUCCACAGCCAAAUCUCAUGGAUCCCCAUCAACACCAACCCAUUGGACAAGCAGACGAAACCUCACCCCCUCCCUCCAACACCGCUACCACUUCAUGCCGCUGCUGCGGCGGCCCCACCACAUGCCCACCUCCACCGGCAUGGUCCGACAUCUCUCCGCCACCCCCCUACCGCCCCAUCCGCGCCCCCGCCAUCAACCUUCCUCCUUCCAACUCUCAACAAGCUAUCAUCCUAGCCCCCGUUCCUCAAGCCCAGAAGACCCCCGUUGUCUCUCCGCCCUAUCUUUUCCAAAUCCCCGUCAAGCGAAUCCAGACCAGACGACAUUCGCCAUUUCCAUGACUCCGAUUCCGGGAAGAACUUCUUAGGUUUCGUCGUUUCCCUUAGCGAAUCCAUUCGCUCCCACAAAAUUUCCGACCCUUGCCACCAAUCACCAAUCCUCAAUUCUAUUCUCUCCAUCCUUCAAUCUCUAAUCGACUGGGUCGACGAAAUACCUCCCGUUCAACAAUCUUCCCGUUACGGUAAUCUCUCUUUUAGGGUUUGGCAAAGUCGGUUGUUCGAUAAUAGCGAGCAACUGAUGCUCCAAUUCCUCCCCGAUGAUCUCCGGUCGGCUACCGUCGAACUCGUCCCUUACUUUGCCGAUAGUUUUGGGAAUUCGAGUCGAAUCGAUUAUGGAACCGGUCAUGAGACCAAUUUUGCUGCGUGGCUUUAUUGUUUGGCUAGAUUAGGGUUGCUCAAGGAAGAGGAUUACCAGGCUCUUGUUUCUAGGGUUUUUGUGAAGUACCUUGAAUUGAUGAGGAAAUUGCAAUUCGUCUAUUGCCUUGAACCUGCGGGAUCCCAUGGAGUUUGGGGUCUGGACGACUAUCAUUUUCUGCCAUUUAUAUUUGGGUCGUCGCAGCUGAUCGAUCACAAGUAUAUGAAACCCAAGUCAAUUCAUAAUCAGGAUAUUCUGGACAACUUCUCCAAGGAGUAUAUGUAUAUUUCUUGCAUUGCAUUUGUGAAGCAGGUGAAGAAAGGCCUAUUUGCAGGGCAUUCCCCAUUGUUAGAUGAUAUUAGUGGUGUAGCUAAUUGGAACAAGGUGAAUAGUGGGAUGCUCAAAAUGUAUAAAGCUGAGGUGUUGGAGAAGGUUCCAAUUAUGCAGCAUUUCCUAUUUGGGUGGCUCAUCAAAUGGUAUGAUCACUGUUAAUGAGUAAUUAGCCCUGUAUGUGAUUCAUGCAUUUUUAGUUCAUUAUAAGUCAUCCACACUUUGCAUCAUGUUUAAUUGGGAAUCUUAAAAUUAUUACGAGUUUUUAUGGUGUUUUAUGAGCAUAAUCGUUAUAUUUAUAUCGUCUAUAUCAGUAACCUAUAUGGAUAUUUGGUGCUAAACCUGAUAUUUUUGGUCCCUGGAUAUUCAUCUAUUAUUUCAAUGACAAUGUUGGUUGAGGAACAACUCUAGUGUUGAUACCUUGAUCCAUGGGUUUUGUCAGGCUGAGACUUUCAUUAGCUAUUUGAUCCUCACCACCACUGAUUGCUAUACUGAAAUUUUUUUACCUAUGAUUUCUGUUAUCAUUUUAUUUAAAGCAUAGAACCCUACUUGUUAGCUAUAUGAUGUAGAAGUGAUGCACUGAGUCAAUGUUCAUGAUGAAAUAGAACCAAAGAGAUUGGCAUUAUGUUGGGUUGGUCCAUUUUUUUGGAUUCAUUAAAUCUAUCAAAAAUAAAUAAAAUUUGGAUUCAUUAACCAAGUUACUACAUAUGUUCCUUUGAUAUUUAUUAUUUGAGUAAUGUGUGUACAAACUACAAUAAAUAUCAGCCUUUUCAUAAAAAUUUUGCUUGAGUUUUCCUUAUCUCUGCACUUUUAACAUGUGUUAAUCUUUCAACGGUCUGCUUUAGUCCUCAUUCUAAGCUUGUUAAUGUGCCUUUACUUCAAACAUCUUUUCCCACCUUCUGAGUCAUUUCUUUUAAGUCAUGUAUCUCAUCUUAUAGAAAUUCAAGUGUAAUCUAAUGUCUUGAGCCAUUUUAAUUAUUUUAGUUUGAUUUGAUUUAAAAAAAAACUUUAAUGAUCAAAACUUUCAAAUUAUAAUGCAUUUGGCUAGUGAAUAUUACUUAUAAGCCCAAUGUCUCUAGACAAAUAUUUCUGGGUUUUUAAUACAUCUCAUGAGUUCCAUUUGGUAUUCUAGCCCUUUUAGCUAAGUGGUUGCAUUUCUACAUGGGAGGUCUGAGAAUCUCAGAAAGCUAAAACUAAAACAAAGUGAUUUAGUUAGUUAGUGCUUAUAUUCUGACUACUGGUUGUGUAAUAAGCUAAAACUAAAACAAACUCUGAUUUUGUGCCUGACAGCUUGUGCAGACGCUGGUAUAGUGUUUCCUCCAUUUCCAUCAACAACAAAGUCACCAUACCAUACCGGGCUUAAGGGAGGAAACAACCAUGGAAAACUGCUCUGAAGCCCUAAGAGUUUCAAUAAACUUCUGAACAGCCCGUGAUGCAUGAAUUCUUAACCAAGUCUCCAGCUAACACUGCUUGGAGACUCUAAUACCCAAAGUUGACAGAGAUAAGGGCUAAGAUUGUUUUACAGACAGUGAUAUAACAUGCUCAAGGUGAAUGUAAGAUGAGAUAUUCCUGGAUUUAUUAGGAUUGCCAGAAAGUCGAGGAGACUGAACAUUGAAGUAUGAACUCUAUGUGGAGAUGGUGCAAUUCCAGGGGGUUGUGCCCAGAGAUUCAAUGUGUCUAGGCUUCUUUCCCGGUAUACGGAUCAGCAUGUCAUUGCAACAAGCACAGAUUCCAGAAGACCACUGAGAUGGACUAUCACUGGUGUGACGAUGAACAGAGAGGUCACUGUAAUGAGGAAUAAUCUCUAUAUCCUAAUCUGACUGUCCUAAAGGAAUAUAGGGGGUGGUACAUAACUGAUGAUGCAUCUGAUCGGUCAUUACUGGGCUGUGGCACAUGAUGCCAUUCUGAAGCAGGUGGCAUGCUCUUGUUAUCAUUCGACUGAGGAAAGACUGAUGGCACAGAUUGUCCUUUGGCAACCCUCAAUAGAAGCAUAAGUGCGUUUUCGAGGCUCUCCAACAAGUUCAUCAACAUGAGCAGGAGGGAGGUCUUUUAAAGUGUUUUGGUUGUUUUUCCCAUCAAUAGGAGUGGUUCUAUACAGGGGUGAGGGGAGCAAUGACCCAUCUAAAGGUACGUACCUAAAUGACUUUUUUCUAAGAGGAACCCAAAGCCCCCAUUGGUUGGACUAGUUGUCUUGGGUUGUAUUUAACUAUGAUACUCCUUUGGUUAUUUCCUUCUUUGAUAGACAAGGAUAGCACAAAAUUCGUGAUAAUCAAAUAUGAAAUUGUCUAAUGCGUGAUAAAGUUUAAUUCAAGACCUUGCAAAAUUCAAAUAUGCACUUUCCAUCCACAAGAUUUAGCAAACUGAUGGGGCCUCUACCUUCUCUGUACCCUCCAACCGUACUCUGGCGUUUUGUGCUAUGGCACUAUAGACCUUCCAGGCUUUUAGUGCUUCAGGGAAUCCCAUUAUUCAUCUUCUAACCAUAUUUAAGAAAAUAUUUUGUUUUUUGUUGUGCUUUUUUAAGUGGUAUUUGCUAUCAACUUAGUGAUACGAGUCUUUCUUAUCUUGAGAUGUUUCCUUUCAAGGCAAAAAACCUAAAACAAAAGUUUGAAGAGCAACCCUUUUACAUAUUUUUUGGACAGAACGAAGAGAAGGAAAACAAAGGUCUUUUGAUAACGUAGAGUAAAUGUAUCUUUCUUUAACAAAUUCUCUUAUUUGUAAUUCUUUCUCAAGAAAGAUUUUUUCAGGUGAUAUUUGUUUUUUUAACUUUUUACUGAAAAUAAUUUAUUUUUAAAAUUUAGGUUGUUUGUUUUUCUAUUUUUUCAUGACUUAUUAUAAAUUUUUUACUAAUUAGAAAAAACUAAAAUAUAUAACUUUUUUUGAAUAAAAAAAAAUAAUAUAUUGAGUUUUUUUACUUUUUAAUAUUUAAUAGAAAUAAAAUACUAUAAAAAUAAAUAACCUAAUAUUUAACAUUAUAAACAUUAUAGUUUUAUUUAGAAUUAAGUAAAAAAACAAACAUCACCUUAGUAUCUUUGCUAAGUGAGGAAAAUUGUUUUUUUAGUCCUCUCCCUAUACAAUGGUUUACCUCGGUGCAUUUUUAUUUUUUAUUUUUUUAUAAAAUUCUUUUCAUUUGCCUACAUUAAUUUGGAUCUACUCAACUAUAUUUACAUGUCCUUCUGAUGUUUUUCUAAAUGCUUUUGCAGGAAGUGUAUAUAUCACCAAAAGUUAGGGAGAGAAAACGACGAACUGCGGUGGUGCGACGGGUUAAAUGAGAUUGCAUUUAGGCUGGCGUUCUGCAGCUUAACCCAACUGAAACUUGAUCGCAUAGUGACUAUCAUCAUUAUUGAUCACCGAAAACUUCGGUAUGUAUAGGCCUAUUGACACUGACGCUGAUACAAUAGUCAUAAAUAUUAUUUAUUGUUAUAUGUCUUCGCACACAGAGGACAUAUUUUCUGAUCAACAAGUGGCAAUGGCAUCUAGUUAACAUAAUUUUUGUAACAUAUAUCACAAAUGUGAUUCAUCACUCUUCCCCUUUGGAGAAGUAGUUGUGUGAUAGUGCAGCACCCCAUAAAGAGAACGCAAUGCUAGAGAAAAAAUUGGUACCUGUUUUUAUGAGACAAUGGGGCGGCGAACAUAUAUAAAAAAGAUAUGAACCCAUAGAGAUAUUGAAAAAAAUAAAAACGAUAAAGAUAACGUGGUAUAAUUAGUGUCCAUAUAUUUGGCACAUUUUUAAUGAUUUUAUACUUUUCGAGAUCGCCACAUAAAUAAAAAUAUCUUUUAGUCAAAUGAUCAUUUUUACAUUUUCAUGAUAUUGUUAUUAUUUUAUGAUAUGUCUUCUAAAAGCAUUUUUAAUGAGAAUUUUAAAUAUUUUUACAACAUAUUUAACAUUCUUAAUCUAUCAUUAUUAUUCUAUAAAAAUAUGAAAUUUUAUUUCAUAAUUGAAGUAAGAAAACAAAAACAUGUGUCUUAAGGAAAGUAAAAGAAAAAAAUAAGUAAAAGUAAAAAGUAAAUUUAAAAUUAAUAAACUAUUUCUAUAUAUUUAUUUAUUUAUAAUUAAAUCAUUUAAAUAUAUAUAAAGUUGUCAAAUUAAUUUAAAUUAUGUGUAAUCUUAUUUCCAAAAUUCUACCAUAAACCAAACCCCUGAACAUCUUUUUUUUUCCUUUAUUUAAUAUUAUUGUCUGAAACAAUAUUAAAGAAACAAACCACAACAUGAACCAUAGUAAGAAAUAUGGAAACAAGGCAGGAAAGGUGCAAAAAACUAGAUUGGAAAGUUGAGAUCUAGAGAAGCACUUGUUCAAAUAUUUUCUCCAAAUUCAAGUAAGAUGAUCCAUCUGGACCAGUGGUAGCCACUUCUGCCCUAUGCUUCCACUCCAUGGUUUUCUUUUUCAUUACUUUGCCUUUCUCUCCCACCAUCAACUCUCUCACAAGCUUUGCAACUUCAUCCCUCUUAACAUCACUGUCUAUCUCCAUUCCUACGCCCCACUCAGUGCAGCAGUAACGACAGUUGGUUUGCUGCUCUGCAAAAAAUGGCCAACAAAUCAUAGGCACUCCAGCGCAUAAACCCUCAAUUGUGGAAUUCCAGCCGUUAUGAGUUAAGAAGCCGCCAAUGGCCUGGUGCGUGAGAACUUGCUCUUGAGGACACCAACCUGCUAGUAAACCCCUGUCUUCUGUUUCUGCCACGAAUUCUGGUGGCAGAAUGGCCGACUCACCAGACACGAGAUCUGGCCUAAGAAUCCACAAGAAGCUUUGAUUGCUAUUUGCAAGUCCCCAAGCAAACUCAAUCAGUUGCUGGGGAGUCAUGACUGUGAUGCUUCCAUAAUUAACGUAAACAACAGAGUUGGGUUCUUUGGAAUCCAGCCAUUUGAGACACUCAGGCUCUUCCUUCCACAGAUUUGAUCCAAUCAACUUUAGUUCGCUAUCGUGAAUCUGAUCCGGAAGUAGCUGAAGAGGACCAAUGGUGUAGAUUGGGGGAUACAUGGGAGCAAUUGCAUCCAAAACCUCCUGCUCUAAAGCGUCAAACGUAUUGAAAAUGAUGGCAGAAGCCUUGCGAGCCCUUUCAAGCUCACCCAUGGCAAAGUCCAGCAUGAUAUCAUCUGGAUCGGUAGUCCGAAUGAAGCUCGGGAGAUCCUUCAAACGGAUACCUUUCAUGCCCGGUAUCCAAUCAACAACAGUAUCCAAAUACCCAUUUGUUAGAUAACUCUCAUCUGCAUAUCACAGAAGAAGGAAAAAUGAAAAAUCAGAGUCGGUAGGAGACUGGGAUUUGAAAAACUUGUAUUCAAAGCCGAACUUGGAAUAAUACCUUUGAGUGGUGUAAAACCCUUGUCGAUGAGACUGCGAUACUGCACAUAGGCCAUGAAGCCACAAGCACUAGCUGUCCAUAAAAGAAGGUCGGGAAUGCCGAGUUCUUGAGCCGCGUCUAAAGUGAAGCUCAUGACAGCGUCAGAAAAUAUGCAAGUGACGGGAGGACCUCUGUCGUUGAGUUUGGCGAGAAGGCGUCUAAAGGGAGCCAAACAGUUUUUUUUGGUGGAUGCACAGAGGGAAGGGAUGUCUUGGGUUGCGUCGACAUUGGACGGUGGGAGACCAUCGGGAAUGGUUUCGAACUGAAAGGUGGGGAGACCAUUGAGGGAGUUGGGGCCCUGGGCCUUGAGUAAGCGUGUGUGGUUGAACUCUGUGUUGACAAAGGUGAUACGAAAGCCUCUGAAAUGGAGGAGCUUUGCUACUUUUAGCAUAGGAUUGAUGUGCCCCUGAGCAGGGUAUGGAAUGCAAACUGCAUGAGGCUUCUCCAUGGAACCCAUUUUUGCUUUGGGAUGCCCUCCCGAUACAUCUGCCUCCAAUUUUAUAGAGUUUUUGAAUAUGGCAUCUAAGCUGUUUUUUUUUUUUUUUUUUCAAAAAAAAAAAAUCAUUGAUAAUACUGAUUUAAUCUAUGAAAUAAAACCGUCUCUGUCUAUAUUGGUUUUUAUUUGAAGUUGAAUAAAGAACCUCCGUCAUCGGUUUUGGUUCAAGUGUUUUUUAAAAAUCAACUUAAAAUCGCAUGUGCCAAAUCGAUUUAACUUUUUUCGAAAAGUCAAUUUCCGAGGCCACAGAAAGGCGGAAAGCAAGGGAGGUUGGUGGAACACCCUUUCCCUUUUUAAAACGGUACCGAACUCACUAAUUUAAUUGCACGAUCGAAGCUGGAAAUAUUUUGUUAUAAUUAAUCAAUCCUGUGCUGCAGCAACGUCUUCCACCUACACUUUUUAUCUUCAAAUCACAGUCGACUGGAAGGAUUAAGUCAUGCGGGAUCCCUUGUUAUUCAUGUAAAAGAAAAAGCCCGCGUUGGAGCCAGGGACUUCCUGUUUGUUUUUCCUGUCACGAUUGAGUGACCGCUAUCCAUGAAAAGUACGAGAAAGAACGUGACAAACUAGGAUCUUGUCAUGAGCCUCUAUCAUCUUCCGUUGAGAAUAAUGAAUUUACCACCUAUAUAUGUUAAAGCUGAUGCUCUGUUUAAAAAUUUUGGACGGCCGCUGCCCUUCCUAGCAUCAAUAUAUUGCACUGCCACGAAUCCAAAGCAAAUCUUUCUCGUUUGCAUCAGACUUUGUUUAAAAAAUGGAACUCAUAGAACUCCGCAGCUGCCCAACUAAUUAAAUCAGAGGACUAAGUUAUCGUCCAUGAAUUUAUUACUGAUAUGAACGUUAUAUAAUAUAAAGAUAAGAGAAGUGAGAGGGUAAGUUGACCAUGCACUCUCAUCUAGAUAUUAUAAUCUUCAACCAGCUCAUCCCUAAUAGGCCUCCCCUGAUAUUGGCUUCUGACUUCUGUGACUGUCUUGCAUAAUGCAUGAUGUCAAGCGAAGAAAGUGUUGGUAAUUUUUUUACUGGAAUUCAAAGAAUUGGAGAUUCGAACAAAAGAAAUGAAUGAUGAAUGAAAACCAUGUUCACGGUAUAGGAACUGCAGCCAAGUAUUGACUAGCAGGUGGAAUGAUACCAUCAGCGCCGAUUGCCUUGAAUAGUUAGUAUGCAUCCUUACUCCUUACCCAUCAUUAUCCAUCAAUUAUCUAGUAUUUAUUAUGAGUGACCAUAUAUUCGCCCACUUGUGCAGGCCCUGCAGAAGAAUAAAUUGAUGAUAUGAACUACUUUUUUAAAAAUAUCUUCCGAGUCUGGCUUGACAUCGAAAUUGAAACAGAGUAAUAAAUUGUACAAUGCCCAAUUCUCUUGGUCUGUGUGACAGAACGGACAUCUUGCUGAUCACUCCAAAGAAAAGAAUACGCAUUGCACCAUAAAAUAAUACAGUCAAGUAUUAUUGCGUCCCUCUUACGUACAUUAGAUUGAUACACUUUUGGAUAGGUUUCUGAAUUGAGAUACUUUGGAUAGUUUGGGCGGCUGGCUGACUCUCUCGUGCUUGGCCAAAUCCUUAAAACCACCUAAUAAAAUACAAACUAAAUUAAUUCAUGAUAAAAAGAAAAAUAAUAAGAGAAAUAGAAAUAGAAGGAAGAGACAUAUUUUCUUACCUAUGUCUUUAGAUAUGAUAAUUAAUUCACUAAUCUUCAAAAUCUAAAAUUGGCUAAAACUCCAACAACUUUGUAUAAAGUCAUUUUUAUACCCUUUGACUAAAGGACUUAUAUAUUCAUAAUAUCCCGAACUUUACAAAAUCAAUUCAUAAUCCUUGUGGGACAAGGAAUCGUAAAAUAUCAUAUCUUAAUUGAGUUCAAAAUUAACAAGCCAAUGUUAUUAUAUUGAUAUGUUUUGUAGCAUUUUCUAGAUGGUUAACGAGGGAUAUGAAUUUAUUUUAGGGGUUCAAAAAUAAAACAAAAUGGGCAUGUAACAUAAUGGGAACUAUGGAUUUGAUGCAAAUGCCUUUCGAAAUAGAUCAAAUCAUCAUUCUUGCUGUAUAAGGAAAUUUAGAGAAAAAAAUAUGGGUUAAACUUCUUUUAACUUGUCUUAUUUCUCAAUUAAUUAUCACUUAUCAUUAACUACGGAUAAACAUGAAAGGAAUAAAUACCCAUGUUGUUAAAUGAAGAUUUAAUCUCUAAAUUUAGAUAGCAUAUAUUUUUAAAUUUUGAAAAAAAAAAUGUCCCAAAAAACAUGAGGGCCAAGUCUAAUUAGACUCAAAGAUGUUGACAACUUAGAAUAAUAUUUCGAAUAAGAAUUUAAUGCAUCAAUUUGCUUUAUUAUUUAUUUGUCAACAUGUAUGCAGUAAGUUAUUAUUAUGACUUAAUUAUUUUCAAUCAAAUGUUCUACUAUAUGAUUGGAUUUAAUAUUUACAUUUGAGUGGGUGUAAUCCCCAGGAUUCGAACUUGGGUCCAAGCCUUAAAGUUUAGGACGUUGCCCUCCUAGUACCAUCUGGGCUACUAGCUCAGAUGGUACCAAGAGGGCAACGUCCUAAGCCUUAAGGCUUGGACUCAAGUUCGAAUCCUAGGGAGACCACUCUGUGAUGCCCCUGACUGGCACAUAGACUUUUUUUGCUCUGGUGCCCAACCAUACCAUCGAACUGUGCCAGACGAGGGCAUCACAGGAAUGGGCCGGACAGCGUAGAGUCUUAUAGGGCCAUUUGUUUAUUUGGCCCUUGGGUGACGUCUCCAGGAUUCGAACUCGGGGCCUUAACCCAGACAGUUGCCCUCCUGGUACCAUCUAGGCUACUAAUGUUGAGGUCUUGCGUCAUGAUCCACAUAACUACCAAAUGGACGCACACUUUCAACCAAGAUAGAGUUCUGGUUCAGUUUUCCCUGCAAAAGAUGUCCGGACAGGGUGUCCAGACACACCCUCCAAUGGUUUUUUCAGUCAUGGUUAGAGAGAUUAAGCAGUUGGCCUUUUACUAGGUAUAGCAAGCUUACCUUCCUCCUUAUGUGAAGGUCCUUAUAUAUAGUAUCAGAAGUUCUGCUUCCCUCUUUAAUGGUAGGGAGACUUUUUGACUCGUCAUGAUGCCUCUAGGUGGUGGCAGGGCUAUCAUCACCCUACAGGUGGCUGUCAGAGAUCGUGGGAAGUGACUUGCCAUCAUUCAUGUCCUUUCGCUCUACAGGUGGCGGAACGUGGGUUGUGGCAGGCUGUCGGAAUGAUGUAGUAAGACUUACUUACUUUAGUCAACGAUCCGGACAACAUAUCCGGAUAGGAUAUGCUAUCGUCCGGAUGUGAUGUUUGCGAGUGCCGUGUGCUUCUCCCUGAGGAAGUCCGGAUGGAGUCACUCCGGACAGCGAGGCGCCCACGUAUCAUAAGGGGGAGGGGUCCCUACAAUGAUGAGCAGUGCAUAAAUACAUUUCCACUUUAUUCACCUUACUAAUACUACAUUUAAAUAUGGUGCACAAAAGUUCAUCAUAAAACAAGGAAAGGAACGUGCGGAUGCUAAGUUUUAACUUGUUGGAAUGCUUGGGAUUUGGAGAAACACUUGAUUUAUCAUUUUGUCCAAGUUGGAGUAAGAUGAGCCAUUUGAAUCAAUGGUGGCCUUUUGUGCCAUCUUCUUCCACUCCAUGGCCUGCUUUUUCAUCUCUUUGCCUUUGUCUCCCUCGAUCAAUUCUCUCACAAGCCUCUCAACUUCAUCUCUCUUAACGUCACUGUCGAUCUCCGUGCCUAUGCCCCAUUCUGUGCAACAGUAGCGGCAGUUGGUUUGCUGCUCUGCGAAAAAUGGCCAGCAAAUCAUGGGCACUCCUGCACUCACACUUUCCAUAGUGGAAUUCCACCCGUUGUGAGUUAAGAACCCACCAACGGCAGGGUUGCUGAGAACUUCCUCCUGAGGACACCAACUUGCUAGCAGACCCCUGUUUUUGGUCUCUGCCAAGAAUUGUGGCAGAAGAAUGGCCGACUCACCAGACACAAUAUCCGGCCUUAUUAUCCAUAAGAAUGUUUGAUUGCUAUUUGCCAGUCCCCAAGCAAACUCAUUGAGUUGAUCUGUUGUCAGGCUUGUCACGCUUCCAAAAUUCACGUAAACAACAGAGUUGUGUUUUUUGGAGUUGAGCCAUUCGAAAAAACCCCAUUCUUCUUUCCACAGAUUUGAUCCAAUCAACUGCAAAUCAUUAUCUUGGACCUGAUUCACGAGUAGACUUAAAGGACCAAUGGUGUAAAUUGGAGGAAACAUUGGUGAAAGUGCAUCCAAAACAUCCUUCUCGCAUCAAACGUAUUGAAAAUGAGGGCAGAAGCUUUGUGGGCUCUUUCAGCCUCAUGCAAUGGAAAGUCCAGCAUAAUUUCAUUUGGGUCUGUAGUUCGAAUGAAGCUCGGGAUGUCCUUCAGACGAAUACCUCUCAUACCAGGUAUCCAAUCAAUAACGGUGUCCAGAUACCCAUUUGUUAAGUAACUGGGGUCUUCAUGUCACAGAAAAAACAGAUUCAAAAAAAAAAAAAAAAAAAAAAAAUACAAGAAUCGGUACUGCUAACUCGGAUUUGAAAAUGUAUAUGCAAAUUGGGGUUUAGGUUGAUACCUUUAAGGGGUAUAAAACCCUUGUCGAUGAGAUUGCGAUACUGCAAGUAGCCCAUGAAGCCACAAGUACUAGUUGUCCAGAAAAGAACGUCAGGAAUGGCCAGUUCUUGGGCAGCAUCAAGAGUGAAGCUCAUGGCACCAUCAGAGACUAUGCAAGUGACAGGAGGCCCGUCGUGGUUAAGUUGGGAAAGAAGGUCUCGAAAAGGAUCUAAGCAGUUUUUUCUGGUGGAGGCGCAGAGGUAGCGGAUAUCUUGGGUGGCGUCUUCAUCGGACGGAGGGAGACCAUCGGAAAUGGUUUUGAAUUGGAAGGAAGGCAGAUCAUCAAGGGAGUUGGGGCCACGGGACUUGACCAGGCGCUUAUGGUUAAACUCCGUGUUGACGAAAGUAAUAUGUAAGCCUUUGAAACAGAGGAGCUUUGCUAAUUUUAGCAUAGGGUUUAUGUGGCCUUGAGCUGGGUAUGGUAUGCAAACUGCAUGAGGCUUCUCCAUGGAGACAACUCAGCUCUUUAUCUUUGCUCUCUCUUCCAGUCUUGUAUAUCAUCGUGCCGACCCAGCUCCGGUCUUAUAGGGCGGGAGAGAGAGGGUCUCUACACAAUAUGUUUAACUCUCGAAAAAUAUUAUUAAGGAAAAAAAAUUAUUUAAAAAAAUAUUUUUUUUAUAUUUAACUUUACUAUAAAAAAUUUCAAAAAAAAAAAAUCAAAUACAAUUAAAAUUAAUUAAACUUCAUUUAUAUUAAAUUUAUUUAACUUAUUAAUAAAAAUAAUUAAAAAAUAAUUUAUUAAUCUUAAAUUUAUUUUUUACUUUUUAUUAUUUUUUUCUCUUUCAAAUUUUCAGAACCAAACACAGCGUUAAAGAACACGCAUGCAGUCAUUUUUCACAUGCGAGGAUGUUGAUGGGUGUUGUCGACCACCUAACUCUCACAGUUUAAAUAAUAUAUAUAUAUAUUUUAAAAUUUUAACUACUUUUUUUUUUUAUGUAAAAGAACCCUACUUUUACUGUACCAGAGGUGAUGUCUUUUUGUUGGAAUUAGUAUCAAAUGGAUGCUUCAUUGUACCUAAGUUAAAGCAUGCUUAAAUUUUAAUUCUUGUAUAUCUUGUUUUCUGCAGGAUAUUAGAGUAAAACAGGUUUCACGCAUUAUUGGACGAUCACGCCAUUUCUCUUCCAGAGUUGGAAAGUCCAACGGAGAGCAGAACUCGUUUUCAAUGACUCAAUUAUUUUCCGUUGAUUCCGUUGAUUAGACGGGAUAGCAUCAUGGUAGGCCAGACGGGAUUUAGUCGGACUGAAAACUCAAUAAUUUAGACGUACACAACUUUAGAAAAGGAAUUGGGUUAUUGAGGACGAGGUUCGGAAAGGAAGUGGAAUUAGGACAAAAAUAGAAGACGAGUGAAAGACUCGGUUGAGGAACUGAGAACCAUGUUGAUGAGUAAUGCUGCGCGCAAGGCAAAGAACAAAAAGUAUGAUACAAGCACCCCGAAUCCUUGCGGUUUCUCCGUGUACCCGUCUUUUGUUUCCAAGGAAAGUGACGUUGGAGUAGUGAUUAUCCUGAGGCACAUUGCGACUCCCGUAAAGAUAACAAACUGCACCCUUUCUUGCUCUUGGUAUACCAUUUCUGAUUUCCAUGAUUAGCAAAAUCAGAAAAAUUUCUCCUGUUAUAGAAUAGAUAGCUAAAUUAGAAAAGUCAAUCUGUACAUAGCGUGAUGAGGUCCCUCAAUUUCUCCCAUCUCUUUUUACUCACUCUCAAAGCAGUAGGAAAAAGUAAACUGAUCCCCAUGCUGUCGUCGGCCUUACCCAGGAUAAAAAACUGUUGAUGUGGAAUCGUGUACUGCAAAUAAAUGAAGCACAUGUUCCAUGUGGUUUCAGAUGCGUUUUGCAUGCGUAUGGACACGACAAAUUGGCUUUCAUGCAAGUAGGAUCAAUUAUAACUCAAUCUUUAAUGAAAUAUUCUUAAUAGUUUUUUUUACCAAAAAAUUAUAUACUAACUAAAAGUUUGAAGUACUUUUUAUAUGAAGAACACAGCAUUACAAAAUAUCUUCAAUAUUCAGGUACAGCAUGAGUAUUUUUUUAUUUCGUAAACAAUACGUCAGACUAUUGAAAACAACAAAUGAAGCAUCCAGAGCAAAAUAAUAGACGAGUCAGAAUUCGCUGAGUUGGGACAUUCGAGAAAGGAGUGUCUAGGGUCUAGAGAAGAGCUUGAGUGAUCAUUUUGUCCAAGUUCGAGAAAGACGACCCCUUGGGACCUCUAGUGGCCUCUUCUGCUAGAGUCUUCCACUCCAAGGCCUUCUUCUUCAACUCUUUGCCUUUCUCUCCCUCCAUCAACUCCUUCACAAGCCUUUCAAUUUCAUCUCUCUUAACAUCGCUGUCUAUCUCCAUGCCUAUGCCCCACUCAGUGCAACAGUAGCGGCAGUUGGUUUGCUGCUCUGCAAAAAAGGGCCAACAAAUCAUAGGCACUCCAGCGCUCACACUUUCAAUUGUGGAAUUCCAUCCGUUGUGAGUUAAGAAGCCGCCAACAGCCGGGUGACUGAGAACUUGCUCUUGAGGACACCAACCUGCUAACAGACCCCUCUCUUUCGUCUCUGCCACGAAUUCUGGUGGAAGAAUGGCCGCGUCACCGGACACAAGAUCUGGCCUAAUUAUCCAUAAGAACGUCUGAUUGCUAUUCACAAGUCCCCAAGCAAACUCAUUGAGUUGCUGCGAUGUCAUCACUGUGAUGCUCCCGAAAUUCACGUAAACAACAGAGUUGGGCUCUUUGGAGUCCAGCCACUCCAGACAUUCCGGCUCUUCUUUCCACAGAUUCGAUUCCAUCAACUUCAAAUCGUUAUCUUGGAUCUGACUCAUGAGUUGGUGCAGGGGACCGAUGGUGUAGAUUGGGGGAAACAUCUGAGAAAGUGCAUCCAAAACUUCAUGCUCUAGAGCAUCAAAUGUAUUGAAAAUGAGGGCAGAAGCCUUGCGAGCUCUUUCAGCCUCCCGCAAUGGAAAUUCCAGCAUAAUUUCAUUUGGGUCCGUAGUUCGAAUGAAGCUUGGGAUAUCCCUCAAACGGAUACCUUUCAUACCCGGUAUCCAAUCAAUAACGGUAUCCAGAUACCCAUUUGUUAGGUAACUCUCAUCUGCAUUUCAUAGAAAGGAGGGGAAAAAAAUAUGAGAAUCCGUAUUGAGCUUAGCUUUGAAGUAAUUAAAUGCAAAGUUGGUCAGUAUUUGAUUCAUUUGAAUGAUACCUUUGAGUGGAGCCAAACCCUUAUCGAUAAGAUUGCGAUAUUGCACGUAGCCCAUGAAGCCGCAAGCACUAGUUGUCCAGAAAAGAACUUCAGGAACGCCAAGCUCUUGAGCAGCAUCAAGAGUGAAGCUCAUGGCGCCAUCAGAAACUAUGCAAGUGACUGGAGGGCCAUCGUGGUUGAGGUUGGAAAGAAGGUCUCUAAAGGGAGGCAGGCAGUGUUUUCUGGUGGAGACACAGAGGGCGGGAAUGUCUUGGGUGGCAUCAACAUUGGAGGGAAGGAGACCAUCGGGAAUGGUCUUGAAUUGGAAGGAGGGGAUGCCCUUGAGGGAGUCUGGACCCCGAGAUUUGAGCAGGCGGUUAUGGUUGUACUCUGUGUUGACAAAGGUAAUGUGGAACCCUCUGAAAUGAAGGAACUUAGCUAGUUUUAGCAUAGGGUUUAUGUGGCCUUGUGCUGGGUACGGUAUGCAAACUGCAUGUGGCUUCUCAGCUGAGGCUAAGGAACCCAUUCUCUCUCUCUCUAUCUCUCACUUUCACUCUGUCCUCAAUUGGUAUAUGCCCAUGACAUUGGAAGUAGCUUGGGUUUUAUAGCCCCAGGAGAGAGGGUCAAACAAGUUACUUAUAUUUAUAUAUAUAUUAAAGACAGAAGUCAGAAGUCAAAUAAAUGCUGCAAUAUUAAUAUAUGUACAGCUGUAUCAGAGAGUAACUAAAGGUCAAACUUGGCUCUCUCCUUUAUCUAGGUUAACCCACCUGUCCUCCAUACUUCACGGCAGGUGCCUAAUGCUUUUCAUAGGAGAUGUACAACAGAUUCAAUAUUUACACAAUUAUCAACUUUUAAUUACCUACCCCUUUAAUAUAUUACUCUUAAGCAAUAUAAACGAUAUACAAAUACCUAUUUUUGUAAUGCAGUAGGAUCUUGACAAUCAAUUAUUUGGUCCUGAUCCUGGAACCAUGUAUCAACAGCCGGUCACCCUUUAAAAAUCAUGAAUUAGACAACCCAUGCUUUUUUCGGACAAAAAACAACCGACAAGGGAUUUCCACAACUUUUUCUAAUGGAUGAACAUACCUUUUCUGUAUCUCUUUAUGUACAUAAACCAAUAAUUUGGGCAGUCCAAAAGCUUUGCGGAUUCUAUGUGGGGCUAAAUGGUAUCAUUCAUCUUCUGUGUUGGCCCGCAGUCGACAUGGCACAAGAACUUCACAAUUUGUACUGGUAUGGAGUUUAUUUUCUUAUUAAGAAUGUUUGUCCAAACCGAUAUGAUAUAUGGUUUGUAUUUGUGAAAGAAAUAUCUUCAAAUUCUGAAAAGGCAUAAACCUAACCCCGCCGCAAGCUAAAAGUUGACCAAAGAAAGUCGAUAAGCUUUUAAAACUCGUUCCAAGUUGUCGGAUGUCCACACCUAUAUAUUAUUAUUUAUAGGUGUGCGAAUGGAUGAGAAAUCUAUUAUAUAUGAUGUUAAUGGUUAAGUCGGACCCAUACAAACAAAAGAUGAAGUCGGUAUAUAUAAUGGAAACAAAGAGGUGGAAACAAAGAGGUGCUAAUCGCUAUGAAUUGAAGACAGAAUGCAUCCACCCCAUACAAAAAUGUCGACCAUAAGAUGAAAUAAAAUAUUUAGAGAAGAUAAAUGUGAGGGCGGUGACAAGAUUGAGGAGCUUAAAACAAUGAUUAAAAUAUAGGGAUAUUUCAACGAUGUGUCUGUGUCGAUAUGAGCUAUUUACAUGCUGUCCGGCGAGUUGAAGCUUCAACCAUCCACAUUACUGUUGAGGCAAGUUUUCCCCUUGUUAAUAAUCUUACACUAUAUAUAUAUAUAUAUUAAAAGUUUUCAUAUACACUAAAUAUUUAAACAAUUAAUUAAUUAUAUUUAUUUUAUAAUUAAAUACAAAAUUUUCAUUUAAUUGAGUAAUAAAAAGUUUUUAAUAUCAUUAAUAUAUUAAUUAAAUAUUAAAAAAUUAUACAUUUAUCAUCAUUUAUUUUAUAUCAUUUAAUACAAUUAAAUUAAAUAUAUUAUAAUUUUAAUAUUAAAUAUAUUUUAAAAUUAAAUAUAUUAUAAUCAAAUAUCAUAAUAUUAUUAUCGAAUAAUAUUUGAUGUAAUUUAAUAAUUAAUAUACACUUUUAUACAUAUGUAUUAAUUUAUUCAAUAAAACAAAUUUAAAAUAUCUAUUACAUUUCUAAUUUAAUUUUUAAAAACUUUAUUUUAUAUUUUUAAAAGUUUUGAUCAAUUUUAAGUCGAUCAAUUUUUUGUAUCAAAAUAUCCAUCAAUAUAUUUUCGAUAUAUCCGUAAAAUCGAAUUAUCGAUAUAUUAGUGAUUACCGAUAAUUUUAUCAUUGGCUUAAAAGAGAAGUGAUGCUAUGGGACCAAAAAAAAAAAAUCUGAUCCUGUGAGAGAUUCCUUGGGGGGUCUGAAUGUUUUUGCUGGCUUCCUUUGCCAUUCUUUCACGUACCUUAUGUUCGCAUUCCUGGAAAGACAACUCCCAUUUUCAUUCUUUCCUUUCAUUCAAUCAUUACGAAGACCACAAACUUCAGUAUUGUACGGCUUUAUCUGGGUCUAAAUUUUCUGGUCAUUUUCUUGAUCCUUCCGUGAACCAUUGGAACGCCAUGGAGCUUAACUUCUUGUUUAUAUAUAUAUAUAUAUAUAUGAACAUCAAAUGCAGGUAAGUUAGGACAUUGUAGGGACCCCUCCCUCCGAGACACGUGGCACGCAUCUUACAGUGACACGUGGCACGCAUUGUCAUCCAGGUCAUUUUCAUCCGGACCUUCUCAUAAAGCACAAUGGCACGCUUUUCCGGACUACCUCAAGGAAGAUCAAACGACACUUAUAAGCAUAUCAUCCGGACGAUUUACACAAUGCAUCCGGAUGAUCAACAUAGGCCGUCCGGAUACAAUGGUCCGGACCACUAACUAAAGUAUAGCGAGUCUUACACGCUAUCACGACAACCAGCCAUGGCCCACGUCCCAUCACCUGCAGAGUGAAAGGACGGGUUGAGGUGACAACAAGUCACUUCCCACGAUCAUUCUACAUGAUCACUUCCCACGAUCAUUCUACAUGAUCACUUCCCACGAUCUCUAAGCAGCAGCAUCACCUACCACGGUUUCUGACAGCCGCCAGUAGGGUGGCGAUGACCAUGCUGCCUCCGAAUGUCAUCAUGACAAACAUAAAAUAUCUCCUCGCCAUUAAUGAGAGGAACAAUACUCCUAGCACUAUAUAUGAACCUUCGCACGAAGAAGAAGGUAAUCUCCAGAUACCGAGUAAAAGGCCAACUGAUUUAUAUCUCCCUCUCUAGCCAUGGCUAACAAAACCAUUAGAGAGUGCGUCCGGACACUCUGUCCGGAUGCCUUUUUGCAGGUAUAACGACUGAAUCAAGAACCUUUGUGUGUUGAGAUCGCGUCUCCAUCCAUUUGGCAACUACGUGGAAGCCCAGGAGUGCGAGGUAUUAACAUUGGCGCCGUCUGUGGGAACAUUUUUACUUUGAUUCAGUCACCAAAAAAGAUGGCUACACCUUCCCGAAGCCGAUCAUCUGGUAAAGGAGUGGAUGGAUGAUAAUUUUGAAUGACGUCAAACCAUCGAAAGAAGACAGUUGGCAAGCGAACGACAACUAAAAGCUCUCCUCCAAGAGACAGAAAGAUUGAGAGAAGAAAACACUGUAUUACGUAUCCAGGUUUCAACAUCAGGGCCUCCUCGACGUCGGCAUUCAAGGGGCCAAGUAGCAAACUCGAGGCCUCAGUAAGAGCCGGAAUCAAUAUAUCCUGGGACAACAGGGGCUAUCCCAGGGGCAUGCAACGUAAGGCCUCACGAGCCACGCACGCCUAUGCCUCGAGCUCCCCGUGAUGAAAGCUCAGACUCUACUCACUUUUCAGCAAAAAGACAACGUGAUAAAAAAUCACAGUUGUCAAAUUCGAUGCGCGCAAGACUAGGCCCGCAAGAGCCUAGAAGAUCAAGGCCACCAAUGGCCACAACCUGGGCACCACGCCCUGACCCCAUGGCCACCCCCAUGGUGCAAAACGUUCACCCGCAUCGUGACCCCGUAGUCACCCUCGUGAUGCGGAACGUUCAUUCGCACCCAGCGGAACGACCAGCUGGGAGAAACAUCCCAAACGAGCCGAUCAUUGGCUCCAUCAGCAAAAGGCUGGAUGACAUGCUCUCCACGCCUUUUUGCUCUCAUAUCAUUAAUUACGAGCCCCCAAGGGGAUUCCUCGUACCAAAGUUUUCCACAUACGAUGGAACCAACGAUCCCUUCGAUCACAUCAUGCAUUAUCGACAGCUUAUGACGCUCGAUAUUGGCAACGAUGCACUGCUAUGCAAAGUAUUUCCCGCCAGCUUACAAGGACAGGCCCUCUCAUGGUUUCAUCGCCUACCUCCCAACUCUGUUGGCGAUUUCAGGGACCUGUCCGAAGCUUUCGUGGGACAAUACUUGUGCUCCGCACGACACAAGCAAAAUAUCAGCACCCUGCAGAACAUAAAAAUGCAAGAUAACGAAUCCUUGAGGGAAUUCGUGAAGCGAUUUGGCCAGGUCGUGCUUCAAGUAGAGGCUUGUAGUAUGGAUGCUGUCCUACAGAUCUUCAAGCGAAGCAUCUGUCCAGGCACUCCAUUUUUCGAAUCACUGGCUAAAAAGCCUCCUACAACGAUGGAUGACUUAUUCAGACGAGCCAACAAAUAUUCAAUGCUCGAAGAUGACGUACGUGCAGCCACCCAGCAAGUUUUGGUUGCCGGACGGCCAUCUAGAAGUGAUGCGGAGAGAAAUACUAAGCCUUCGGAUCGACCAAAGCCGUCUGACCGAAGGCAGGAAGGGCCAAGUCGCUCGGAAAGGCCGCCUCUCACACCUCUUUCCAUAUCAUAUGAAAAACUUCUCCCCAUGAUCCAAGGCUUGUCUGACUUCAGGUGGCCAAGACCCCAAGGAACAGACCCCUCCACAAGGGAUCAUAGCAAGAGAUGUGUCUUCCACAAAGAUCAUGGCCAUACAACAGAGACAUGCCGAGCUUUCCAGUUUCUGGUCGAGAGGCUUAUAAAAGCAGGGCAUUUGAAGCAAUACCUCCGAUCAGAUAAUGGAGAAAGGGACGCAUCCCAACAUCACAACCCCGGGGCCCCUAGGGCCCCAACUGCCCCCAAGGCCAUUAUAAACUAUAUUAACGGAAGUCCAUCUGAUGAGGAGUACGACUCUAGGCGAAAGAGACAAAAAUUGUUGCGGGCCGCAUCAAUACGCGAACGCAUCAAUUCCAUCCGACCUGGGCUAACUGGAGGGGGCCCUCGCCCCAUAGAUGGGACAAUCAUUUUCCCACCAGUAGAUCCCACCAGGACACUGCAACCACAUCGCGACGCCCUCAUCCUGUCCCUGGAAAUUGGGGGCUUUGAUGUGCGGCGUAUCUUAGUUAACCCAGGCAGCUCGGCCGAUCUUAUACAAGCAUCAGUCGCUAGCCACAUGGGACACAGUCUCACAGUCCUUGAAAACCCUGGACAAAUCUUGUCCGGAUUCAACGGAUCGUCAACUAUAUCUUUGGGAGACAUUGUACUGCCGGUCCAAGCUGGCCCAGUCACUCUCAACGUGCAAUUCUCGGUAGUACAAGAGUUAUCACCCUUCAAUAUCAUCUUAGGGCGCACAUGGCUACACUACAUGAAAGCCAUCCCCUCUACAUAUCAUCAAAUGGUGAGUUUCAUCACCAGCGAGGGGCAGAUUGACCUGUAUGGCAGCCAGUUAGCCGCUCGCCAAUGCUAUCAAAUAGCACGAGAGGCAGGGGCCAACCAGGAGGAUGCAUCUCCCCCUGAACCCAACAUUGCACAUGACCAAUAGCAAUUAUUGGGUCGGGCGGACAAAGAUCCCCCGGCAGCAGAUCCUUUACAAACAAUCCAAAUUUCGAAGGAAAGCACUCACCUUACAAACAUCAGCUUCCUCAUGACAGCCGAAAAAACUCAGUGUAUGCAAAACAUUCUCAGACAGAAUCAUGACAUCUUCGCAUGGGCACAUUCUGAUAUGAAGGGAAUUCAUCCCUCUAUUGCAUCUCACAGGCUUAACGUCUUUUCAACUGCCAGACCCGUCCGGCAGAAAAUUAGGCGUUUUCACCCGGAUAGACAAAAAGUCAUCCGAAAUGAGAUGGACAAAUUGCUCGAAGUCGGAUUCAUCAGAGAAGUUUCUUAUCCGGAGUGGUUGGCAAAUGUAGUGGUGGUACCCAAAAAAGAAGGAAAGUGGCGAGUUUGUGUAGACUAUACCAAUCUCAAUAAUGCAUGUCCAAAAGACAGUUUUCCCUUGCCACGAAUAGAUCAGAUUGUGGAUUCCACGUCCAGGCAAGGGAUGCUCUCUUUCUUGGAUGACUUCUCCGGAUAUCAUCAAAUCCCCAUGUCCCCGGACGAUGAAGAAAAGACAGCAUUCAUAACGCCACACGACCUCUAUUGCUACAAAGUCAUGUCAUUCGGACUCAAAAAUGUUGGUGCCACUUAUCAAAGAUUGAUGACUAAAAUCUUCGAACCUCUAAUAGGCCACACGGUAGAGGUAUAUAUUGAUGAUAUCGUGGUUAAAAGCAAAACCCGAGAGCAGCAUGUCCUUCACUUACAAGAAGUUUUUCACCUCUUACGAAAGUAUGGCAUGAAGCUAAAUCCUUCUAAAUGCGCAUUUGGCGUAAGUGCUUGCAAAUUUCUGGGAUUUAUGGUCAGCCAAAGGGGCAUAGAAGUCAGCCCGGAUCAAGUCAAAGUAGUCAUGGAAACACCCCCUCCCAGGAACAAGAAGGAGCUACAACGACUCAUAGGCAAGCUCGUCGCACUAGGGCGUUUUAUAGCCCGCUUCACUAAUGAAUUGCGACCCUUCUUCUUGGCAAUACGAAAAGCUGGAGCACAUGGAUGGACGGACAGUUGCUAGAACGCUUUCGAAAAGAUUAAGCAUUGUCUUACGCAACCGCCCAUCUUGAGCAGCCCCAUUCCAAAAGAGAAAUUGUAUAUGUAUCUGGCGGUAUCAGAAUAGGCAAUCAGCGUCGUUCUAUUCCGCUGCCCCUCGCCCAAGGAGUGAAAACCUAUCUACUACGUCAACAGGGCAUUGGCUGACGUAGAAACCAGAUAUUCAAAAAUGGAGCUAACAGCCUUAGCCCUUCGAAACGCUGCUCAGAAGCUCCGCCUUUAUUUCCAAGCUCAUCCAGUGAUCGUACUAACUGACCAGCCCCUUCGCAAUAUUCUGCACAAGCCAGAUUUAACCGGGAGAAUGCUACAAUGGGCCAUUGAAUUAAGCGAAUUUGGAAUCGAAUUCCAACCUAGGUUGUCCAUGAAAGGCCAGGUAAUGGCUGACUUCGUGCUAGAAUAUUCCCGAAGACCCAGCCAACACCACGAAUCAAGUAAACAAGAAUGGUGGACUCUGCGAGUUGACGGAGCCUCACACUCAUUCGGCUCUGGAAUUGGGCUCCUACUACAAUCCCCAACUGGGGAACAUUUGGAGCAAGCCAUCCGGCUGGGAUUCUCUGCCUCUAACAAUGAAGCAGAAUAUGAGGCUAUCUUGUCCGGAUUGGACCUCGCCCUUGCUCUAUCCGUCUCCAAACUCCGAGUCUACAGCGACUCACAACUCGUGGUAAAGCAUGUCCAGGAGGAAUAUGAGGCUAAGGACACACGCAUGGCGCGAUACUUAGCUAAAGUAAGAGAGACUUUGCAGCAAUUCACCGAAUGGACAAUCGAAAAAAUCAAGCGAGCUAACAAUAGGCGCGCUGACGCCUUGGCUGGCGUAGCUGCCUCCCUCCCUAUCAAAGAAUCCAUUCUAUUGCCCAUACAUGUGCAACUCAACCCCUCUGUCGCAGAAAGUUCCACCUGCAAUACCAUUGAGGCACCCCAAGCGGACGGCCAAGAAUGGAUGAAUGGCAUCACAUAAUAUAUCCGGACUGGAACUUUACCAGGAGAUCUCAAACAGGCACACAAAGUCCGGGUGCAAGCUGCCCGUUUCACCCUGAUUGGGGGGCACCUAUACAAGCGAUCCUUCACAGGACCUUACCUUCGAUGCCUAGGGCAUUCAGAGGCCCAGUAUGUGUUAGCUGAGUUACACGAAGGAAUAUGCGGGAAUCAUUCAGGAGGACGAUCUCUGGCACAUCGAGCCCAUUCACAGGGAUAUUAUUGGCCAACAAUGAAGAAGGAUGCGGCAACAUACGUCAAAAAUUGUGACAAAUGUCAAAAGCAUGCUCUCAUUCCACAUAUGUCAUCAGCAACAUUGAAAUCAAUAUCAAGCCCAUGGCCCUUCGCACAAUGGGGCAUGGACAUAGUAGGACCUCUCCCAGUUGCGCCUGCCCAAAAGAAAUUUUUGCUCGUUGCCACAGAUUAUUUCAGUAAGUGGGAGGAAGCUGAAGCAUAUGCUAGCAUCAAAGACAAGGAUGUCACCAAGUUCGUAUGGAAAAAUAUUAUCUGUCGUUUUGGAAUUCCCCAAGCCAUCAUAGCUGACAAUGGUCCACAAUUUGAUAGCAUUGCAUUCAGGAACUUCUGUUCGGAGCUAAACAUCCAGAAUUCAUACUCCACACCGCGAUAUCCUCAAAGUAAUAGGCAAGCAGAAGCCACAAACAAGACCCUAAUCACUGCCUUAAAGAAUAGGCUUGAACAAGCCAAAGGAAAAUGGGUCGAGGAGCUACCCGGCGUCCUAUGAGCCUACCGAACUAUACCCAGACGGCCAACAGGAAAUACUCAUUUCGCUCUCGCAUAUGGAAUGGAUGCAGUCAUUCCUACUGAAAUAGGUCUUCCUACUAUCCGGAUUGAUGCAGCAAAACAGAGUGAUGCAAACAUGGAAUUAGGAAGAAAUUUGGAUUGGACGGAUGAAGUGAGGGAAAGCGCGGCCAUCCGGAUGGUAGAUUAUCAACAAAGGGCAUCAGCACAUUACAAUCGCAAAGUGAGGCCAAGAAGCUUAAAAAAUGGUACGCUAGUCCUUAGAAAAGUUUUUGAAAACACUGCUGAAGUCGGUGCAGAGAAAUUCCAAGCUAACUGGGAAGGACCCUAUAUAGUGUCUAAGGCAAGUGAAAGUGGAGCCUAUUAUUUACAAAAGUUAGACGGGACUCCAUUACUUAGACCAUGGAAUGUGUCCAAUUUAAAACGGUACUAUCAAUGAAAAAGAGAGACAAAAACAAAUAGAAGAAAAAGACAUAUUUUAUUGAUAUGUAUCAAUGAAUGUACAAAGAGGUCUUCGGACCACGAAAAUACAAAAAAAAAUUACAACAAAAAGUUGCAAAAAGACAAAAGCUAUCAGGGAGCAGCCUUAAAGUUUCUUCUCUUCACCCGGAGGAAUUGAAGGGACAUCCCCCUUUAUGCCAUUCUUCUUCAUACAGCAGCGAUAACCGAAGAUGAAGGUGUCAUCCACUUGUUUUUGGUAGUCCGCUUCAAGUUCCUCCCUCUCUGCAGCAAACUCCCGUUCUAGCUCUUCUUUUUGCGCUGUUAAGCGUAGCUGCAAAUCUUCUUUUUGCUUCUUUUCAAUAGAAGCCUCUGUCCGGAGUUGCCUCACUUCCCCCCCCCCCCCCCCCCCCAUCCGGGCUAUCUCAUCCUCUGCCUCAUGCAGACGGGCAAUCGAUGAUUCCUCCCGGUCCUUAGCCUCAGCCAAUUUCGCCCGAAGGGCUUCAUUGUCCUCUCGAACGGUGGAUAAGCUGGCCUCAGCCUCCGCCAGUCUCAGGCGCAACUGAUCUUCAGCAUCUUUGCGCCGAGUGGCGAAGNNNNNNNNNNNNNNNNNNNNNNNNNNNNNNNNNNNNNNNNNNNNNNNNNNNNNNNNNNNNNNNNNNNNNNNNNNNNNNNNNNNNNNNNNNNNNNNNNNNNUUUUUUUUUUUAUUGUUCAAAAGAAAUCCAAAAGGGUUUUUUGGCCCCCGAAAAUAAAAAAAAAAAUUCACAAAAAAAGUUGAAAAAAAAAAAAAGUUUUUGGGGGGCCCCCUUAAAUUUUUUUUUUUUCCCCCGGGGAAAUAGAAAGGGCCCCCCCCUUUAUCCCUUUUUUUUUUAAAACAGGGGAAAAACAAAAAAAAAAGGGUUCCCCCCCUUUUUUUUGGGGAUCCCCUUAAAAUUCCCCCCUUUUGGGCAAAAAACCCCCUUUUAAUUUUUUUUUUUGGGGAGUAAAGGGGGGCCCAAAAUUUUUUUUUUUUUUUUUUUAAAAAAAAACCCUUUUCCGGGGGUCCCCCCUUUUCCCCCCCCCCCCCCCCCCCCAUCCGGGCUAUCUCAUCCUCUGCCUCAUGCAGACGGGCAAUCGAUGAUUCCUCCCGGUCCUUAGCCUCAGCCAAUUUCGCCCGAAGGGCUUCAUUGUCCUCUCGAACGGUGGAUAAGCUGGCCUCAGCCUCCGCCAGUCUCAGGCGCAACUGAUCUUCAGCAUCUUUGCGCCGAGUGGCGAAGGUCUUCAUAUAAUCAGUGGUCCGCAGCAGGUCAGUGAAAAGAUCGUAUUGAUUGGCCAUACCACGGAGACCACUCACCAGCUGCAGGCAAACAGACAAACAAGAAAAACAAAGUUAUAAAUCACACCACAAACACAUAUCAGAAUGAGAAAGAUUCAAGGAACACAGAAAAGUAUACCGACUCCACCAUCUCGAACAUCUUGGCUGAAGGCAUAAUACUGGUCAAGCUGGGUGGAAUCUGUUUCAGCUUAUCUUCCAACUCCGCAUAGCUAAAAGGGCUAGCGGAGGUGCAAGACGCAUCAUUAACAGGAUCCCCGCCUGAUGAGGCAACAGAAGGAGACUCUGGUUCCGGAUUCGGUGCCUUAACAUUUACGACCGAAUGGGUCUCCCCGGGUGCAACCUCAGCCGGGACCAUUACAAGGACGACUGGAGGCUCAGUUGUCAUCUCCACUUCGCCCCCCUCCGGAUGAGCGUCGUGAGCGGAUGAGCAACUAACUUCGAUCUCUUGUUAACGAUCUUGAAGCCACCCGAGGAGUCCGGACCUCUGAUUGCGCGCCGAGCGCGGCCUCUUCGAAGGUGGCCCCUUCACCAGAACAAGAGUCAGACGGUCCGGAUCGUCCGAGGGCUGACUCUGGCUUUCGAUCCCCGCUUCCUCCAUCGGGUCCGCACAAACGGCUUCAACUGCAUCGACAUCCGGAUUAGGGGAGUCCGGAUGGUUGAUGGAUGCAGCUUCCUCAGCCAGAUUAGCCAGACGGGCAACCGCUGCCAAUGAGGUACUUGAGUGGUUCAGCCCCACGACGUGUCCGGAACCGCUUGAGAUAGAAUGAGGAGCAGGGUUCACUAGCUCCUCUAUUAUUACCUCCGCCUCGUGGAUAAUUGGCGGAGGAGCAAAUUCUUUGGGAGGAGUGGGCUCCUUCACUCCCUUCCCAUUCUUCACCAGCUUCUUCUUUUUCGCUGGAGCUUUAUUUGGCGGAGAGUCUGCGUCGCAUUUCUGUCUGGGAGCCUUCCGAAGGGUCCCUUCGUUUUUCUUCUUCUCCUGAUUGUCCAAGAGCGCUCGGCGUUUUUCAGCGUCAGCCUCUUUUAACGCCUGGUAAAUCGGGAGAUCUUUCACAAUGUAAUGCUCCCCAGGCACUACCUCCUUUGGCAUCUUCUUGGGGAGAAUGUUGAUGACAUACUCUUGGGGCUCUUGGACGACCGCCAUCAGGUUCCGUGCAGUCAGCAGCAUCUUGCACUGCCUCUCCUUGGCGUCUAUUUCAAAACACUUGCUGAGACAGGCAAAAGACGCAUUUCCACCCAAUCCACGAGGUAGCCCCUUUUUUCCGGACCUACAUUAACAGCAGCAAAGGUUGACAAUACCAUCCGGAGAUAUCAACAAGAAAACAACAAGGUAAAAAUCCGGACAAAAGUCGCAAAGCAAACUUACCCGGAAUCGCUAAGGAAUAGUUGGGAGAGAAGGGCCUCACCGGAUGCCUCGACCCCGCCCACGCACCCCGGACCAUCACGUGUCUCUUCGCCCCUCCAUUCGUCGAGUCUGGCAGUUCCGUCACCAAUUGAAGGGAGGGCAGGUGCGCGGACAGGCUGAAGAUGUCAGUUUUCGCCUUCUUCAGCGAAUACACGAAAAACACCUCCAGCAGCGUGAGGUCAAGGUUGUACAGCAUGUUUAUGAUGUUGCAUCCCAUCAGCACCCGGACGAUAUUGGGGUGAAUGAAGACUGGUGGAAUCUUGGUGAAAUGGAGGAAUUCCUUGAACAACGCCGGCAGAGGCAACCGGAGCCCCGCAUAGAAUUGUUCCUUCGAGAAGAUGACGGUAUCUUGUUCAGCUUUCUCAGUAGAUACGACAUCUUUCCAAUUCAAAAAUUCCACAAUCACGCCAUUUGCAAUGCAGAAUCGAUCCCGGAACUCCUUUACGCUCAGUUUGUCUGUAGGUUUCUCAUGAGCGUCGCUGGAGUGGGCAGAUGAAGUAGCUUUCUGCUUUGAAGACAUUUUCUAGCCCGAGGUUGAACUGAAACCUACAUGCAAGAAAUGCAAUAGUCAAACACAGCCAACCAACCCCACAAACCCUAAACGAUAACAAACACUCGGAAAACCUCGCACCAACAGUAUACCUAUUCCAAAAUCUUUGACUCUACCCCAACAAGAAACCCCCGACCUACAAAAACCACAGGGGGGCAACUGAAACCCUUAAAACACCCAGUCACAAACAACACUCGCCCAAACAAGCCAACAACGCCAAAGCGUACAAAAGGAAAGAACAAAGCAUAAAGAAUACGUACCGAAUGUCAGAGAGAAGCAAAGGUUGCAGAUCGCAAGGCAAGCACCGUCAAAGCGCAACAAAUCACCGUAAAAAAUUCUAGGGUUUUCACUCAAAAGAAGCAACAAUACGCACAAGGUUGACGAAGAAAGCUAUCUCAGAAAAACGCAGUAGAAAAAAGCAACAGUGAGCACAGUAUGCUAUUUAUAGGGGGACAUCCCCUCGGAAAGCCAAACGUCCAACAAACGUCAUCAUUGAAACGACAUACUGCCUGGGAAUACCCAGAGUCGGCGGCUCAUCAUAAAUGCCUUUUUGGCUCUCGCACCCCCACUCGCCACGUGGCCCAACCAGACAAAAAGUCGAUUUCGGUUUCAAAAAACCAAUUAUUUUUAACCCGCCCAUUUUUGCUCGGGCAAAAUAGGCAAGUUAAAAAGGGGGGCAUUGUAGGGACCCCUCCCUCCGAGACACGUGGCACGCAUUGUCAUCCGGGUCAUCUUCAUCCGGACCUUCUCAUAAAGCACACAUGGCACGCUUUUCCGAACUACCUCAAGGAAGAUCAAACUGCACUUAUAAGCAUAUCAUCCGGACGAUUUACACAAUGCAUCUGAAUACAAUGGUCCGGACCACUAACUAAAGUAUAGCGAGUCUUACACGCUAUCACGACAACCAGCCAUGGCCCACGUCUCAGCACCUGCAGAGUGAAAGGACGGGUUGAGGUGACAACAAGUCACUUCCCACGAUCAUUCUACAUGAUCACUUCCCACGAUCUCUAAGCAGCAGCAUCACCUACCACGGUUUCUGACAGCCGCCAGUAGGGUGGCGAUGACCAUGCUGCCUCCGAAUGUCAUCAUGACAAACAUAAAAUAUCUCCUCGCCAUUAAUGAGAGGAACAGUACUCCUAGCACUAUAUAUGAACCUUUGCACGAAGAAGAAGGUAAUCUCCAGAUACCGAGUAAAAUGCCAACUGAUUUAUAUCUCCCUCUCUAGCCAUGGCUAACAAAACCAUCGGAGGGUGCGUCCGGACACUCUGUCCGGAUGCCUUUUUGCAGGUAUAACGACUGAAUCAAGAACCUUUGUGUGUUGAGAUCGCGUCUCCAUCCAUUUGGCAACUACGUGGAAGCCCAGGAGUGCGAGGUAUUAACAGACAUAGGACACGAAAGCUACAGGAAAAUGACAUUAGAUGAGAUUUUUCUCAAUUUGGAAAGCGGAUUAUACAAUCUUUUCCAUAGUUUGAGGCUAAAGAUAUUUUGAGCUUUAACCCUCGCAAUUGUUUUGAUCAUGUUUAAGAAAAUUAAUUAGAUGUGUUGAUCUAAUUCAAAUCUUCAAUAUUGUACCAACUUAUAUUGUAAUUAAGUAUUUUUGCUUUCUUUCUUUAGAAUUUUCCCUAAACCAAACACAACCUUAGCUAUUUGUAAUUCUACAAACCUAAAAGAGUUGAGAAUCUAAGCAUGAGUUUUUUUUUUUUUCUCUUUAUGGAAAUAGAAAAUCUAGUGGAAUAAGUGGCGAUUUUGUACCAUACCAGGUGUACAAAAUCUUUCCAAAUAUACAAAUUUGAAAAUAAAUUUAUUUUUAUUAAUUUAAAAUUUUGAGAAUACGACCCUUAUUUUAUCUUCUAAUUUUUUUAAUAAUUAAUAUCUAACAAUUAAUUAAGCUUAGGCUUUGAUUUGGGCAUAUGACACAUGUCAUGAUCCUAUUUAAACACACAGAUGAUAUGUCAUAAUUAGUAACAGAAGGAAUUUAAAGAACUUUAAUAUGUUAAUAAAUGAACAAAAUUUUAAAUUUCUUAUCUUUUAAAAAAAAAUUGCUUUAUUUAGUUUCUUUUGAAUGGACUCUAUAUGACAAUUUUUUUAGUGGAAUAUUUAUCUUGGAUUUUAUAGAACAAAAUUUAAAAUGUUUAAUUGAUAAUAUAGGAUCAUAGUUGAAACAAUAAAAUUUAUUUAUCACUUAAAAGAAUUAAUUAAAUAAAUUUAAUAGAAUAAUAAAAAAUUUGUUAGGAAUAUUUGAAUUUGAAAAACCUUUAAAGAUCCAAAGUUUGUUAUGAAAUAUUCUUAAUAGUUUUUUUUAUCAAAAAAAUAUAUACUAACUAAAAGUUUGAAGUACUUUUUAUAUGAAGAACACAGCAUUACAAAAUAUCUUCAAUAUUCAGGUACAGCAUGAAUAUUUUUUUAUUUCGUAAACAAUACGUCAGACUAUAGAAAACAACAAAUGAAGCAUCCAGAGCAAAAUAAUAGACGAGUCAGAGUUCGCUGAGUUGGGACAUUGAAGAAAGGAGUGUCUAGGGUCUAGAGAAGAGCUUGGGUGAUCAUUUUGUCCAAGUUCGAGAAAGACGACCCAUUGGGACCUCUAGUGGCCUCUUCUGCUAGAGCCUUCCACUCCAAGGCCUUCUUCUUCAACUCUUUGCCUUUCUCUCCCUCCAUCAACUCCUUCACAAGCCUUUCAAUUUCAUCUCUCUUAACGUCGCUGUCUAUCUCCAUGCCUAUGCCCCACUCAGUGCAACAGUAGCGGCAGUUGGUUUGCUGCUCUGCAAAAAAGGGCCAACAAAUCAUAGGCACUCCAGCGCUCACACUUUCAAUUGUGGAAUUCCACCCGUUGUGAGUUAAGAAGCCGCCAACAGCCGGGUGACUGAGAACUUGCUCUUGAGGACACCAACCUGCUAACAGACCCCUCUCUUUCGUCUCUGCCACGAAUUCUGGCGGAAGAAUGGCCGCGUCACCGGACACAAGAUCUGGCCUGAUUAUCCAUAAGAACGUCUGAUUGCUAUUCACCAGUCCCCAAGCAAACUCAUUGAGUUGCUGCGAUGUCAUGACCGUGACGCUCCCGAAAUUCACGUAAACAACAGAGUUGGGCUCUUUGGAGUCCAGCCACUCCAGACAUUCCGGCUCUUCUUUCCACAGAUUCGAUUCCAUCAACUUCAAAUCGUUAUCUUGGAUCUGACUCAUGAGUUUGUGCAGGGGACCGAUGGUGUAGAUUGGGGGAAACAUCUGAGAAAGUGCAUCCAAAACUUCAUGCUCUAGAGCAUCAAAUGUAUUGAAAAUGAGGGCAGAUGCCUUGCGAGCUCUUUCAGCCUCCCGCAAUGGAAAUUCCAGCAUAAUGUCAUUUGGGUCCGUCGUUCGAAUGAAGCUUGGGAUAUCCCUCAAACGGAUACCUUUCAUACCCGGUAUCCAAUCAAUAACGGUAUCCAGAUACCCAUUUGUUAGGUAACUCUCAUCUGCAUUUCAUAGAAAGGAGGGGAAAAAAUAUGAGAAUCCGUAUUGAGCUUAGCUUUGAAGUAAUUAAAUGCAAAGUUGGUCAGUAUUUGAUUCAUUUGAAUGAUACCUUUGAGUGGAGCCAAACCCUUAUCGAUAAGAUUGCGAUAUUGCACGUAGCCCAUGAAGCCGCAAGCACUAGUUGUCCAGAAAAGAACUUCAGGAACGCCAAGCUCUUGAGCAGCAUCAAGAGUGAAGCUCAUGGCGCCAUCAGAAACUAUGCAAGUGACUGGAGGGCCAUCGUGGUUGAGGUUGGAAAGAAGGUCUCUAAAGGGAGGCAGGCAGUGUUUUGUGGUGGAGACACAGAGAGCGGGAGUGUCUUGGGUGGCAUCAACAUUGGAGGGAGGGAGACCAUCGGGAAUGGUCUUGAAUUGGAAGGAGGGGAUGCCUUUGAGGGAGUCUGGACCCCGAGAUUUGAGCAGGCGGUUAUGGUUGUACUCUGUGUUGACAAAGGUAAUGUGGAACCCUCUGAAAUGAAGGAACUUUGCUAGUUUUAGCAUAGGGUUUAUGUGGCCCUGUGCUGGGUACGGUAUGCAAACUGCAUGUGGCUUCUCAGCUGAGGCUAAGGAACCCAUUCUCUCUUUCUCUCUCUCUCACUUUCACUCUGCUCUCAAUUGGUAUAUGCCCAUGACAUUGGAAGUAGCUUGGGUUUUAUAGCCCCAGGAGAGAGGGUCAAACACUUUACUUAUAUAUAUAUAUAUUAAAGUCAGAAGUCAAAUAAAUGCUGCAAUAUUAAUAUAUGUACAGCUGUAUCAGAGAGUAACUGAAGGUCAACUUGGCUCUCUCCUUUAUCUAGGUUAACCCACCUGUCCUCCAUACUUCACGGCAGGUGCCUAAUGCUUUAAACACUUUACUUAUAUACAAUAUUAAUAUAUGUACAGCUGUAUCAGAGAGUAACUGAAGGUCAAACUUGGCUCUCUCCUUUAUCUAGGUUAACCCACCUGUCCUCCAUACUUCACGGCAGGUGCCUAAUGCUUUUCAUAGGAGAUGUACAACAAAUUCAAUAUUUACACAAUUAUCAACUUUUUACUUUUAAGCAAUCCAAGAUUCCCAACGAUAUAUGAAUACCUAUUUUUGUAAUGCAGUAGGAUCUUGACAAUCAAUUACUCUAAAAACUCGUUUCAAGUUGUCGGAUGUCCACACCUAUAUAUUAUUAUUUAUAGGUGUGCGAGUGGAUGAGAAAUCUAUUAUACAUGAUGUUAAUGGUUAAGUCGGACCCAUUCAAACAAAAGAUGAAAUCGGUAUAUAUAAUGGAAACAAAGAGGUGCUAAUCGGGACUUUUCUCAAUAGUAUAGUAAUUUUAAAAAGUUAUGCUUAAAUUAUUAUAGUAGAAGAAGUUAUUAUAAAUAUAUGGUAGUUUUUGCCACAUAGGAGAGAGGAGAGAGGGUGAGAGAGAGGAGAUAGGAGAGAGGAGAGAGGGUGAACGGAUAAAUUUUUUAAUUCCAUGAAAAAAAAAAUUAUAUUUUUUUAAAAAAAUAUAUAUUCUUUUUAAAAAAUUCCUAUUUAUUCAAGGGAACUCGUCUCUUCAAGAGACGAGUUCCAUGAAAAAAGACAAGGGAAAGACGAGUUACCAGGGAAAAAAAUAUAUAUAUUUUUUUUAAAUAUAUUUUUUAUUUAAAAAAAAUCCUAAAUUAAAUUUAAAAAAAUUUCCUAAAUGGAACUCGUCUCUUUGGGAAAUUUUUUUUUUUUUUAAAUAUAUAUAUUUUUAAAAAAAAAAUAUUUUUUUUUACAUGGGAACUCGUCUCUUGAAGAGACGAGUUCCCUUUAGGAAUUUUGAGGAUUUGUUUUUUUUUUUUAAUAUAUAUAUUUAAAAAAUAUUUUUUGUUUUUUUACAUNNNNNNNNNNNNNNNNNNNNNNNNNNNNNNNNNNNNNNNNNNNNNNNNNNNNNNNNNNNNNNNNNNNNNNNNNNNNNNNNNNNNNNNNNNNNNNNNNNNNAAAAAAAAAUAUAUUUUUUUAAAAAAAUAUAUAUUUUUUUUAAAAAAAUUCUAUUUAUUUAAAGGGAAUUGUCUUUUCCAAAGACGAAUUUCCUGAAAAAAAACCAGGGGAAGGGGGGUUUCCCGGGGAAAAAAAAUAUAUUUUUUUUUUUAAAAUAUUUUUUUUUUAAAAAAAAUCCUAAAUUAAAAUUUAAAAAAUUUUCUAAAAGGAAAUUGUUUUUUUGGGAAAAUUUUUUUUUUUUUAAAAAUAUAUAUUUUUAAAAAAAAAAUUUUUUUUUUUUCAAGGGAAAUUGUUUUUUGAAGAGGCGAGUUUCCCUUUGGAAUUUUGGGGAUUUUUUUUUUUUUUUUUAAAUAUAUAUUUUAAAAAAUUUUUUUUUUUUUUUUCCAGGGAAGGGACGAGUUUCCUUUGAAAAUGUUUUUUUUUUUUUUUUUUUUUUUUUUUUUUUUUUUUAAUUUGGGAUUUUUUUAAAUAAAAAAUAUAUUUUUACAAAAAAAUAUUUUUUUUCCCUAAAGGAACUCGUCUCUUUUUAAUUUAGGAUUUUUUUUAAAUAAAAAAUAUAUUUAAAAAAUAUAUAUAUAUUUUCCCAUGGGAACUCGUCUCUUCAAGAGACGACUUCCCUUUACGAAAUUUUUUUUUUUUAAAAAAAAUAUUUUUUUUACAUGGGAACUCGUCUCUUGAGGAGACGAGUUCCCUUUAGGAAUUUUGAGGAAUUAUUAUUAUUAUUUUUUUUUAAUAUAUAUAUAUAUAUAUUUUUACAUGGGAACUCGUCUCUUGAAGAGACGAGUUCCUUUAGGAUUUAUUUAUUUAUUUUUUUUUAAUUUGGGAUUUUUUUAAAAUAAAAAAUAUAUUUAAAAAAAAAUAUUUUUUUCAAGAGACGAGUUCCCUUUAGGAAUUUUUUUUUUUAAAUAUAUAUAUUUUUUUAAAAAAAAAAUUUUACAUGGGAACUCGUCUCUUGAAGAGACGAGUUCCCUUGAGGAAUUGUUGUUGUUUUUUUUUUUUUUUUGGGAUUUUUUUAAAUAAAAAAAAUAUUUUUUUUCCCAAAGGGAACUCGUCUCUUGAGUUCCUUUAGGAAUUUUUUUUUUUUUUAAUUUGGGAUUUUUUUUAAAUAAAAACUAUAUUUAAAAAAAAAAUAUUUUUUUUCCCAUGGGAACUCGUCUCUUCAGACGAGUUCCUUUAGGAAAUUUUUUUUUUUUUUAGAUAUAUAUAUUUAAAAAAAAAAUAUUUUUUUUUACAUGGGAACUCGUCUCUUCAAGAGACGAGUUCCCUUUAGGAAUUUUGAGGAAUUGUUUUUUUUUUUUUUUUUUUUUUUUAAUAUAUAUAUUUAAAAAAAAAAAAAUUUACAUGGGAACUCGUCUCUUGAAGAGACGAGUUCCCUUUGGAAUUGUUUUUUUUUUUUUUUAUUCAGGAUUUUUUUAAAUAAAAAAUAUAUUUAAAAAAAAAAUAUUUUUUUUCCUAAAGGGAAUUUUUUUUUCUUUUUUUUAAUUUGGGAUUUUUUUUCCCAGGGAACCCGCCCCUUCAGACAAGUUCCUUUAGGGAAUUUUUUUUUUUUUUAAAAAAAUAAAAAUUUUUUUUAAAUAUAAAAAAUUUUUUUAAAAAAAAUUUUUUUUUUACGGGGAAACCCGUCUUUUGAAGAGACGAGUUCCUUUUAGGAAUUUUUUUUUUUUUUUUAAUUGGGGAUGGUUUUUAAAAAAAAAAUUUAUUUUUUUUUUUUAAAANNNNNNNNNNNNNNNNNNNNNNNNNNNNNNNNNNNNNNNNNNNNNNNNNNNNNNNNNNNNNNNNNNNNNNNNNNNNNNNNNNNNNNNNNNNNNNNNNNNNGGUCCCUUUGGAAAUUUUUUUUUUUUUAAUUUGGGGUUUUUUUUAAAAAAAAACUUUUUUUUAAAAAAAAAUUUUUUUUUUUCCAAGGGAAAUUUUUUUUUUACGAAGGGUUCCCUUUGGAAAAUUUUUUUUUUUUUUGAAAUAAUAUUUUUUAAAAAAAAAAAAUUUUUUUUUCCAGGGAAAUUGUUUUUUCCAAAGACGAGUUUCCCUUUGGAAAUUUUGGGAAAUUUUUUUUUUUUUUUUUUUUUUUUUUAAUAUAUAUAUUUAAAAAAAAAAAAAUUUACAUGGGAACUCGUCUCUUGAAGAGACGAGUUCCCUUUGGAAUUGUUUUUUUUUUUUUUUAUUCAGGAUUUUUUUAAAUAAAAAAUAUAUUUAAAAAAAAAAUAUUUUUUUUCCUAAAGGGAAUUUUUUUUUCUUUUUUUUAAUUUGGGAUUUUUUUUCCCAUGGAACUCGUCUCUUCAGACGAGUUCCUUUAGGGAAUUUUUUUUUUUUUUAAAUAUAUAUAUAUUUUUUUUAAAUAUAUAUAUAUUUUUUAAAAAAAAUAUUUUUUUUACAUGGAAACUCGUCUUUUGAAGAGACGAGUUCCCUUUAGGAAUUUUUUUUUUUUUUUUAAAUUGGGAUUGUUUUUAAAUAAAAAAUAUAUUUUUUUUUUUUAAAAAAAAAAUUUUCCCAUGGGAACUCAUCUCUUGAAGAGACGAGUUCCCUUUAGGAAAUUAUUUAUUUAUUUAUUUAAUUUGGGAUUUUUUUUAAAUAAAAUAUAUAUUUAAAAAAAAAAUAUUUUUUUUCCCAUGGGAACUCGUCUAUUCAAGAGACGAGUUUCCUUUAGUUCCAAAUUGUUUUUUUUUUUUAAUUUGUGAAUUUUUUUUUUAAAAUAUAUAUUUUUUGUAAUGGGAACUCGUCUCUUGAAGAGACAAGUUUCCUUGAAGAAUUGUCUUUUUUUUUUUUUUUUUUAAUUUGAGAAUUUUUUUAAAAAUAUAUAUAUAUUUUUUUUCAUGGAACUCGUCUCUUGAAGAGACGAGUUCCCUAAUGGGGAAUUUUCUUUAAAAAAUAUAUAUUUUUUGUUUCAUGGAACUCGUCUCUUGAAGAGACGAGUUCCCUUUUUAAAAAAAAUUUAUCCGUUCACCCUCUCUCCUCUCUCCUAUCUCCUCUCUCCUUUCUCUCACCCUCUCUCCUCUCUCCUCUCUCCUAUCUCCUUUCUCCUCUCUCCUAUGUGGCAAAAACUACCAUAUAUUUGUAAUAACUUCUUCUACUACAAUAAUUUAAGCAUAACUUUUUUAAAUUACUGUACUAUUGAGAAAAGUCCGUGCUAAUCGCUAUGAAUUGAAGACAAAAUGCAUCCACCCCAUUCAGAAAUGUUGACCAUAAGAUGAAAUAAAAUAUUUAGAGAAGAUAGAUUAAGGGCGGUGACAAGAUUGAGGGGCUUAAAAGACAUGUCACUGAGUGAUGCUAAGGGCGACCGAAAAAAAGAAAUCUUAUCCCUGUGAGAGAUUCCUUGGGCGGUCUGAAUGUUUUUGCUGGCUUCCUUUGCCAUUCUUUCACGUACCUUAUGUUCGCAUUCCUGGAAAGACAACUCCCAUCUUCAUUCUUUCUUUUCAUGCAAUCAUUAUGAAGACCACAAACUUCAGUAUUGUACGGCUCUAUUUGGGUCUAUAUUUUCUGGUCAUUUUCUUGAUCCUUCCGUGAACCAUUGGAACGCCAUGGAGCUUAACUUCUUGUUUUUUUAAUAUAAUAUAAUAAGGAAAAGUGUGACAACCUCUAAAACAUGAACAUCAAAUGCAGGUAAGUUAAGACAUAGGACACGAAAGCCACAGGAAAAUGACAUUAGAUGAAAUAUUUCUCAAUUUGGAAAGCGGAUUAUACAAUCUUUUCCAUAGUUUGAGGCUAAAGAUAUUUUGAGCUUUAACCCUCGCAAUUGUUUUGAUCACAUUUAAGAAAAUUAAUUCGAUAUGCUGAUCUAAUUCAAAUCUUCAAUAUUGUACCAACUUAUACUGUAAUUAAGUAUUUUUUUCUUUCUUUCUUUAGAAUUUUCCCUAAACCAAACACAACCUUAGCUAUUUGUAAUUCUACAAACCUAAAAGAGUUGAGAAUCUAAGCAUGAGGUUUUUUUUUUUUUUUUCUCUUUAAGAAAUAGAAAAUCUAGUGGAAUAAGUGGCGAUUUUGUACCCUCAUAUGAAAUGGACCUUGUUAGAGUUUGGGAUGAAAACACGUCAAUCCCAUUCCAGGCCCACCUCAUCGCAUUGGCUAAAGAGGUUACAGGGAACCAAGUGGGGGUGACCUUAGAUGGGCCAAGUUCAGCCCAAGGUUGAUUUGCCCUAAAAUCACAAGACCAGGGCCCGAUCAACGCAGUUGUAGAUUUCACAACAGCGAUUAUCUUUAAGUAUUUGAUAUUAUAUAAUGGAAAAUUUUCUAAUUUACAAAAUGAUCAUGCGUGAUUUUACUAAAAAAUAGAUUGGAAUUUGGGCAUGAUCUUGGUUCAAUGUAUCAAGGAGAUUUUCCCCUUUUUCAAUGAUCAUGUAGAUUGCUGUUUUCAGUCAACAAAUACGGAUUACUAAAAAACUUUAAAACUAAAAAAUAUAAAAAUAAAAUAUUAGAUUUCACUUUGCUAAAUCACACUAAUUAAAAAUAUAAAUUCAAGAAAUAAUUGAAAAUACGAUGAGAGUAAAUAUUUAAUUUUGUUAUUUUUAAGUUUUUUGUUUUAAUUGUAUUUAAUUUUUCAACUAUUUUAGUUUUAAUUGUUAUAUUUAUUUUUAAAAUUUCUUAUUUUAUUGUUUAUGUCAACUAACAAAUUUUUUAUUUAAUUUAUUUUUUAAAAAAUAAGAAGAUGAAUGGAUUUAUUUAUUACAAGAUAUAAAAUCAAGAUAUUUUUUUAAAAUUAGGAUUUAUAUAAUACAAGAUAAUUUUUAGAAUUUCAAACAGAUUUGAAAAUCUAUUCAUAUUAAAGUUAUUUGCCCAUAAAUACAUCUCCAUAACUUCAAAAGAGUUGGAGAUCUAAAUUUAUUUAGAGUGAGUUCAUUUAAAAGAAAGCUUAAAUAGCCACAAGCAUUCAGGGGUUAUUGCGCCGCUUGCAAACAUGGAUCAUGUUGUCAAAGGUUGUUGCAUUGUAUUAUAGACAUGGUAUAGGAAGAGUAUAAAUAAUUUUUUUUAUAUUAUAUUUUUGGGAAGAAUCCUGUAAAUUUAUUUUAUUUUAUUUUAUUAGUUUUAUAUUUUUGGGAAGAAUCCUAUUGAGAUUGUGCUAAUGGAGUCUCAUUCCUUAUAUAAGUAAAAUCCCCUUCCACUUUGAGUCUGUUCUGAUUACAAGUAGAGUCUCAUUGGGAGUGUACAGGUCACCCCUCACUCUCUAAAUAUGAAUACCAAUUUUUCAAGAUAAUUUUUUAGAGAGUCUUUUCAUACAUCUAUUUGGAGGAAUUUUUUUUCAAAACUCGAGCCGUACAUCUCGUUUAUGCAAGAUCUAACUGUUGAAUUACACCGAGUUCGUCUUUGAGGAUGGUGAAUCUAUUUCAAGAAUAGUAUUUGUCACGCCUCAACCUAAGUUUUUCUUUUUAUUAAUUUUGUUCUUAUUUGUGUCUUUUGCACUAAUCAUUUGUUUCCAUACCUUUAAAUCUAACACAUGGAUCAAGUUGUAAAUUAAUAAACAUGCAUCACGUUGUAAGAGGUUGUUGCAUUGCAUUACAUAUAUUCAUCAAAUUAUAGGUAUUAAAAGUGUCAUGUAGAUGUGUAUAAAUUUAACUUUGAUAUAUAUACAAAAUUUAUUUCCAAAAUACUUUCCAAAAAGUUUUUUUAAACACGUCUGAUUUGAAUAUUAAUAUUCAAAGAAUAGACUUUGAAGGAGGUUUGAGUUUCAUGAAGGAAAAGAAAAACACUUUCCAAAAAUUCUUUUAUAAGCACGUGUCAUUUGAAUAUUAAUAUUCAAAGAAUAGACUUUGAAGGAGCUUUGGGUUUCAUGAAGGAAAAAAAUGAUGUUGGAGAGAAGACCGCUUCUAAUACCACCAGGUGUGCAAAAUCUUUCCAAAUAUACAAAUUUGAAAAUAAAUUUAUUUUUAUUAAUUUAAAAUUUUGAGAAUACGAUCCUUAUUUUAUCUUCUAAUUUAUUUAAUAAUUAAUAUCUAACAAUUAAUUAAGCUUAGGCUUUGAUUUGGGCAUAUGACACAUGUCAUGAUCCUAUUUAAACACACAGAUGAUAUGUCAUAAUUAGUAACAGAAGGAAUUUAAAGAAUUUCAAUAUGUUAAUAAAUGAACAAAAUUUUAAAUUUCUUAUCUUUUAAAAAAAAAUUGCUUUAUUUAGUUUCUUUUGAAUGGACUCUAUAUGACAAUUAUUUUUAGUGGAAUAUUUAUCUUGGAUUUUAUAGAACAAAAUUUAAAAUGUUUAAUUGAUAAUAUAGGAUCAUAGUUGAAACAAUAAAAUUUAUUUAUCACUUAAAAGAAUUAAUUAAAUAGAUUUAAUAGAAUAAUAAAAAAAUUUGUUAGGAAUAUUUGAAUUUGAAAAACCUUUAAAGAUCCAAAAUUUUGUAUAACAAGAAUUUAAAAGAUUUAAUUGGCAAUUAAGAAUCCUAAUGGCAAAAGGAUUUGAGCAAACAAAAUUUAUUGGCAAUUUUUUUUAUAAAAAAAAGCUGAUAUAUUUAAUUUAAUAUUUAUAAAUUCAAGUAUUAAUAAUAUUUGAAUUAAAAAACAUAAAAACAAAAAAAAAACAAAACAAAACAAAACAAAACUAAACUGGAAGACUUAUAUUUUGAAGGGUUUAUGUUGAUUGGCUUUCAAACACCACAAAAGUUUUAAUUUGAAUCUUGCAGAUUUUUGUGUAGAGCAAAUUAAAAUUUUGAUUGGUCGUUUAAAUUUCAAGUGUCACAAAAAAGUUUUGCUUUAAUUUAUGUAAGUGGCGCCGAAUUUAUUUUAUUUUAUUAUUUUUUGCUAUUCAAAAAUGAGUGAUGUUAGAAAUAUGUUUAUAAAUAAAGUAAAGAAUUAAAUAGGAGACUUCAAUCAAUGAAACUACAUCUUUUAAAGUUAUUUCAUAAAUCUAUUUCUUUAUUUUCUUCUUUUUUUCAUUAUUUUCUUUUCUAUUAUCAACCGUAUAAAAAGUAUAUGAUAAACCUACACUUUUAUCUUUUAUUUUAUUUAUAUGUAAUAAAAUUAUACUUUAAUUUUAUGGUAACUUUGAUUUUAUAUUUUAUUUAUAUAUGAUAAAAUUAUACUUUGAUUUUAUAUUUUAUUUAUUUUAUUGAAGCGCAUAAACAUACGUGGAUAUCAAUUAGAAAAUAUGUUUUUCUUUCUAGUAAAAAAUUAUUUAAAAAAUAUCAUAAUUAGAUAUUAUGAAAAAUAAGUGCAAUCCUCAUAACUGAAAGUUAUGAGAUAAAUAACAAAAUUACAAGUAUACAGUAUGCAUAUGACUUUUAAUUACUUUUUAAUUAUAUUGUAUAAUUGGAAGUCAACAAUAUUGUGUAGGUAGAAGCUAUAGAAUGAAAUAGUUCAUAACCUAAAACUAUGUAUAAAUUUACACAAUGAAUUCAUAACAUGAAGUUAUGUACAAAUUUGCUCAAUAAAUAGUUCAUAACCUGAAAUUAUAUAUAAAUUUAUAUAUUUUUUUUAUUCUGACAAAAUAAUUUGAAGUUAUAAAAAAUAUUAAUUUUUAAUUUCUAUUUUGUAUUCAUACACUUUUAUCAUAUUUGUAAUUAACAACAAAACAUAGCAAAAUCUUAUAUCAUUAUAUUUUUAGACAUUAUUUAUUUGAUAAAAUAUUGUUAAAUAAUUUUAUUAAUUUGUUUAUAUUUUAUUUCAAUAAAUUGAAAUAUUUUCUCAUUAAAUUAUUGCAUAUAUAGUUUUCAAAAAAUGUCAAGCUUGACAAAGCUUAGGUUUGUUGUCCUUGAUAUUUUAAGGCAAAAACUACUUAUCAUAAGUUCUAGAUACUAAAAUUCACCUAAAUGUAAUGAAUCUUGGAAAUAUUACUAAAAAGGAAAAUGACACAUCCUUGCAUAAUUGUACCAAAGCUUUAAUAUUCCUUGUCAUCACAUUAACGAAGGAUUAAAAGAUGAAUACCUUAUGGUAAAAAUUCCUUUCAUCAUUUGGAAUAAUCUAAGUGAACGAUAUGACCACCAAAAAAUUACAAUCCUUCCAAAAGCAUGUUAUGAUGGGAUGUACUUGAGAUUAUAAGAUUUCAUGUUUUUUAGUGGCUACAACUUAGUUUUAUUCAAAAUUAGCUCACAAUUAAAAUUAUGUGGAGAGAAAGUCAUUGAAGAAGAUAUGCUUAAAAAGACAUUUACGACUUUUCAUGUUGUGAAUGUACUCCUAUAGUAGCAAUAAUGAGAGCGUCGUUUCAUUAAAUAUUCAAAAUUGAUUUAAUGUUUUCUUAUGGUUGAACAAAAUAAUGAGCUUUUACUGAAAAACCAUCAAUCUCGUCCUAUUGGAUCUGUGUCAUUACCUAAAGCUAAUGUCCCAUAUGUCCAAACUUCUGAACAUGGACAAGAACGUGGAUAUGGAUAAGGUUGAGGUAGAGGAUGUGGUCGCGAUUGAGGUCCUAGUAAAUACAAUCCAUCACAUUGAGUUAUAGGUUUUUUUUUUUUUUUAGAAUCAAUCAUUUUAAUUGAUGUAUUAGUGGACCUUUAGGUUAUAGUUUGGACAAAUGUGUCAUUGGCUUCAAGCAAUGACACGGUCCCAACAUGAUGAAAUUAAUGGUUUUUCGGUAAAAGUUCCCUAUUUUGUUCAAUCAUAAGAAGACAUGAAAUUAAUUCUAAAUAUUUGGUGAAACAACGCUCUUAAUAUUGUUGCUGCAUGAGCACAUUUGAGGCAUGAAAAGUCGUAAAUGUCUUUUCAAGUAUAUCUUUUUUAGUGAGUUUUUCUUCACAUAAUUUUAAUUGUGAGCUAAUUUUGAAUAAAGUCAAGUUGUAAUCAUUAACAAACUUGAAAUCUUAUAAUUUCAAGUGCAUUCGAUCAUAGCAUACUUUUUAAAGGAUUACAGUCUUUUGGUGAUCAUAUUGUUCCUCCAAAUUAUUCCAAAUGAUGAAAGGAUCCUUGAUCACAAGGUAUUCACCUUUUAAUCCUUUAUCAAUGGGAUGACAAAGAAAUAUUAAAGUUUUUACGCAAUCCUACAAGGAUGCGUCAUUUCCUUUUUUUUAAUAGUGUUUCUAAGAUUCAUUACAUCUAGAUGAAUUUUAGCAUUCAUAACCUUUUAAUCCUUUAUCAAUGGGAUGGUGAAGGAAUAUUAAAGUUUUGACAUGAUCGUGUAAGAAUGCGUCAUUUCCUUUUUUAAUAGUAUUUCCAAGAUUCAUUACAUCUUGAUGAAUUUUAGUAUUCAUAACCCAAGAUAAAUAGUUUUUGCCAGAAAUAUUGAGGGUAACAAAUUCAAGCUUUGCCAAUUUUGACAUUUUCUAAAAACUAUAUAUGCAAUAAUUUAAUUAGAAAAUAUUUCAAUUUAUCAAAAUAAAAUGUAAAAAAAUUAAUAAAAUUAUUUAACAAUAUUUCAUUAAGUAAAUAGUGUCUAAAAAUAUAAUGAUCUAAAAUCCUGCUAUAUUUUGUUGUCAAUUAUAAAUAUGGUCAAAAUACGUGAAUACGAAAUAGAAUUUAAAAACUAAUUUUUUUUUAUAACUGCAAGCUAUGUUUAUUUUGUUAGAAUAAAAAAAUGUACAAUUUAUAAAUAGCUUCAAAUUAUGAACUAUUCAUUAUGCAAAUUUGCACAUACCUUAAGGUUAUAAUCUAUUCAUUCUAUAGCUUUUAACCAUAUAAUGUUGUUUUAUAUAACUUUCAAUUAUAAAGUAUAAUUAAAAAGAAAUUAGGAAUCAUAUGUAUAACUUCUUACUAUAUAUUUGUAAUGAUGUAAUUUACCCCAUAACUUCUACUUAUGAGGAUUAUAUAUAUUUUUUAUAUAUAACUUCAAGUUAUGAUCUUUUUUCAUAAUUUUUUACUAAAAAAAAAACAUAUUUUCAAAAUAAUAUCUGCAUAUGUUUAUGUAUUUAUAUACGAUAAGCAAAAUAGAAAAUCAAAGUAUAAUUUUAUCACAUAUAAAUAAAAUAGAAAAUAAAAGUAUAGGUUCAUCACAUACCUUUCAUGUGAGAAAAAAGUUUUUCUGGCAGCAAAUUCAUCACUCUUUGUUAUCAAAAAGUUUUUCUAAGGGGAAUAUAAGUUGCUCGAGUUGAUCUUCAAUAAGUAGUUUAGUAUGCAUAAAGUACUUUUUCACGUCAAUCUCUCCUUAACUAAUCAACCAUUGUUUAAGAUAGAUUGUAGAGAGUUUUAUUGAAGUCUCAAUAAGACCAUUAACCAGUGCAUUACAUAUGGAAGAGUUGUAUUAUUGUUUGAAUUCAAAGUUUUCAUAUAAUUUGUGCAUCAAAUUGUUAUAGACAUUAUUUUCAUUAUUGGUAAGAAUUUAGUGAGGAACACUACAUAGAUGCUAGUCCAAAGGAAGUUAAUAGUUGUUUCAUUAUUAACUUCCUUUAGAGUCAGUUUUGCCCAUUUGAAAAAACAAUCUAUAGCCACCAAUACACAAAUGCCUGAUCAUAUGAAGAUUUUAGUCUAAUUGAUCAUAUGAAAUUAAUUAAGUCCUCAUGCAUCAAAGGACCCAAUGCCACCCUUGGAUGUAAUGGCUCUAAGGUAGUAUCUCAUUCUCUUUAUUUAUUUAAAAACGGAUUAUACCAUGUCUAGGCCAAGUAUAAGAGCUAUUAUUGGAGUAGUUUCUUGUAAGGUAAAACAAUACGGGACGAUGUUUCAUUUAGGAGUAACAAAUCCAACCUUGAUACUACUCACUCACAACAUAAUUAUUUUAUUUAUUUAAUUAUUAAAAUUUAUUUAUUUAUUUUGAAUCUCAUAUAGAUGAUAUGCGAAAAUUAGUGAUCGAAUAACUACAAUCAAAUAAUUUGUCAUACUUGUGCAAUAAAUUACUUUGUAAUAUUUUAUUAAUAAUUUAAUAAAGCUUUUUAACAUUUUUUUUAAUAUAAGAUCAGCAUAAAUGCCAACUGUUGUGACUUUCUGAAACGGGCCGAUUAUUCGGCCUGUCAUAGAGUUACUUUCUCUUUUCAGGUCUUUUGGGUUUGAUGAUUUGGAGUGGGUAUGAUAUGUAGAACACUUGAGAAAAAAAAAAAAAUUACGAUUAAGAAGAAAUUAGAAUAUCCACACAUGUACAAUCCACUAAAAGUCAACCUUGUCAAACAACAGUUGAGCACUGCGAAGUAGAAGGGUCAAGCACUGCAGGUAGGAGGUAUUUCCUGCUGUUUACACCCAGCGCAUUAUAGCUCGCACCGGUGCUGGAAUCCACCAACAGCUCUCCGGCGUAUCCCGGAUAAGCUCCUUUCCCAUAAAUUCCUGGGCAAGCUGAAGCCACCUCCAGAGGCGCCUCAGCUGAGCCCUGGAAAUAGCCGUUUCCAAAAGGGUUGGUUACAGUUCCGGCCAGAAGAGUCGCUAUAUUUUCGACCAUGCCAUCCAACCCCACGUCCCCGUUGGGUGCAAUCAGUGGUGUUGUCUGUGGUCCGUAGAUGGGUUGGUGGAAGGGCCACGCGCAUUGGCCAGGGCACUGAGUCUCCGAGUUCCCAACCCAGAUGAAGGCUGACCUCUUUCUAGCGUCCGACCCAUGAAACCCGCAGUUGCUCAUACAGAAGCCUUCAACUGCAACGUCUUUUGCUGUGAGAACCAGAGUUAACCCACUGGAUUUGGAGCUUACAGCACGAGCCAACUCGGAAAUCUGGGAUUUCUUGAGGGUUUUGCCCAUGGAACAGGACUCAUCUGAGAUUUGAUUGGACAGUUCAAUUUGGAUCUCCCUUUUGCCAGCCUUUUUCAAGUAGGUUUGGAUAGUUUUCCACCACUGCGAGGUUGAAGGUUUUUUAGAGGAGAGAUUCUCUGGUUGAUCAUGUGGGUCGAGGGAGAGAAGAAAGUCUGCAACAAUAGAUUUCUGAGCCGGUGAGAAUUGUCCGUACCAAAGAAUUGAUACUGGGAGAUGUCCUUCAAGCAAAGCGCCAUUAUGGUAUGUGAGAGCCAUGGGUGGUGGCUGGUACAAUGAAGUUAGCUUUCUUGCGCAGAAACACGGGCUAAUGAAGAACAAGUGAAAAAUAACAACGACAACAACAAGAGAGUGUGUUUUGAGGGAGAGAGAGAAAGCCAUUUCAGAGAUAAACUAAAGAGUGUUGAUGUUCGAAUAAAGGACAGAUAGUUUAAAAUUUUAGAGAGAAAGGUUUUGGCUUGAGUGGUGUGAGAGAGAGUCAGGGAGUGGUGAGAGUAUAUGUAGGCGGGAAGGUGCAUGCACCGUGCCGAUAAACUGCCCUUGUACCUUUCAUCACCAGCUUAGCAGAUAAAAAAAUUAGAGAGAUCACGAGAAUUUGGAAAGAUGAGGUGAACGGGGAACAUCUGGCAAGAAUCUCUCUCUGUGCGUAAAGUAUUUUUUGUAUAGAGAUUAGGAGACUCUGCUGACGCUUACAUCGAUUUCAUAGAUGGUAAUGUGGCAUGCAAGGAGGGAAGUACAACCGCGACUCUUAAUGGACAAAUGGGUGGAGCUAUGGGCUGCAUGUGUUUGGAGCUGUUUCCUAGGCAGUUUCACAUUUCUUCUUCAUUAAUUAUAAUCUUUUUUAAAAGAGGAUAACUCAGAUUAAUUCAAUUGAUUUAAGGGCACCCCAACAAUUAAGAGCAUGUCUUAGCCAAGAGAGAAAUGUCCCAUUUGUUCAGACUAAAGUUGUCCACAUCAACUUGGCUUUGUCUUCUAACAUCUGCCUGAGGGCUCAGGACCUCGUUGUUGUUGCAUAAUAAUAAGUGUUUUGCAGUACUGCUGUUGGGGAUUAUGAUUUUGGUGUUUUCAAAACUCAUGUGUCCAAAUGGAGGUAGCCCAGGUUCAUAUGUACUGUAGUAAUGAUCAGAAGUCUAUCCUCAUCUAACAUGCAAUGCACUUGCCCAUACAUCAUGGGCAUUCCGAAAGUUUAGGUUCAUAUUGCAGAAAAAAUGAUGGCAGGCACUAAGCUUGCCAUGCUCUUGUGGGUCCUAAUGUUAUGUCACAUGCCUCUCUUCAUUGGGAGUGGGUGGGGUAGCUAUAAGUUGGGUAUUCUGCAAUCAACCUGGGAUAUAUAAACCUAUAGCCCAUUUCCUAUAUGCAUGUAGUAUAGUUGAUUACACAGCCUAUCCUUUUGGAAUAGGCUUUAAACUCACCUAACCAACACGGAUUAAAUUUCAUCAGCAGUACAGUCCCCUUGGCCGGUCCGUCAAAGGGUUCCCCAUCAGAGCAGUUGAAUUAAAGCAUCUCAUUAAACAUUGUUAUGGUCAUCAUUUGAUUUGACCUUUGACCUAAAAGGUUCCUUCCCAAACUUUAGUUGGAGAAUAAUGAUGGAAAUCAGAUUAAGAUUAGGAUCAAUCGAAUUGGGAGUCAUAGGAAAAAUCUCAUGAAAACAAACUGACUUGUUUUAAUUAUCCACAUUUGCAUAUCACUAAUCUGUUCGAUCUACUCAAAAGAAAAUUCAUUUAAUUCUAAAUGCAUCCCAGCGAAUUGAGACAAUGACCACACAAUGAUCACAUGUAUUUUUACUUUUAUAGCAGUCACAAACACGCUCACAUGACCCUUUUUCUAGUGUGAAAGCCUGGUACUUGGUCGGCAAGCAGACUCUGGCAAGAAAAGUGGAAUCAUCCAUUUCUUAGAGGGCGUCCGAAAUCCAAAUAGACCGUGAAGCUUACAUUUCCCAAGCACCACUCGUGCAGCUUCAAUAUUAAACUAUUCAAACUUUCAUUAAUUGGUGAAACCAUCCUCGCAAGUAUAGAAAAUAUAUGUUGAACACAUCAACUAUCAGCAGACAGGCUGGUUGCUCGGAUCGAGUUUAUUGGAAGCUGGUGGCUUAGGAGAUUAGAGGGUGUCUUCUGAUGAUGCUACGAAUUUGAUAUUGAAAAUGUCACGAUGAUAGCUUUACUUAUUCAAUGGACGCCAAAUUCAUUAAGAAAAUGAUAGUCAAUUUGUCGCCCGUCUUCUACACAUGAUUUAUGAUCAAACGGCUUAAAUUUCAUGAUCAUGAGUCAUCAUCAUUAAUUACCCUUGAACCUAGAUUUUGAGCACUUUGAAAAUGCAGAAAUAAUGGGAAGAUUGACUGUGUGAGUGUAUUAUUGAUCUUCCAGGAAGGUGGGGCAUUGACUGUUUUACAAGCAUAUCCCACAAGGCUUGCUGCCAUCUUCUCAUACAGGAAUGAUUUUUUGGAAAUGGCUUUGAAGUGAAGGCAUCUAUGUUGAAUGGGGGACAGGAUAUACAGACCAUCCAUAUUCCUCCGGUCUCCUGCUUACCUGCAUCAAUGACUUGUAACUUCAAUAAUUGUUUUUUAAAUUUCUUUCUUCUACAAACAACUUUUUCCCUUUCUUAUAUUUGAGAAUUUGAAGAAUGUUCAAAACUAUUACCAAAAAUUACAAACUAUUAUGUUAUUUAUUCAAUAAUGUUGCAUGCAGGGAUGCCACCGGGUAUGUUUUUUUGGAUGCUUGUCCUUAAAAUUUAAAUAAUAAGUUGGGGACGGAUUUAUGAUUAUUUUUUAAAAUUGGGAUGGAUUCGGACAGGUUUAGAUAUUGUUUGUCCCACCUGCCUGAUUAUUUUUCAAAAUUAAUUUUAAAUUUUAAUUUAAUUUUGAUUUUCCCAUUUUAAAAAUAUAAUAAUAAUAAUAAUAAUAAUAAUAAUAAUAAAUUACUUUGUGAUAAAAUAAGGUAUAAAAAUUAUAAUAUUUUAAUUAUUUAUAAAAUAUAUUUAUUUUAAUGUAAUUUAAAAUUUUAAAUAAAAUAAAAUAAAAUAAUUUUACAAAAAAAAGUUAAAUAGACCUAGUGGGGCAGAAGAGAGAAAUGCAUACCUAUUUUGUCCAUCCCUUCUAUUUAAUUUUUUUAAUUGGACUGAAAUAGGAAUAAUUUUGAAUAAGGGGAAUGGAGUCGGGAUGGGAUGGCCGCCCGUUACCAUCCCUGGUUGCAUACUUGCAUGUAAAUGAAUAUAAGGCAAUAGCAGCAAUUCCCACACUCACCGAAUAUUUUUCAAAUAUUGGUUCAUCCUCUGCAUGUUGGUCAAGUCAGAAUCCUUUUCUUCUGUGUAUGCCCUGGCGCAGACACUUUAAAAUUUUUUAAAUCAUUCAAGGUCUGUUUGGUAGUUUCCAUUUUGGAAAACAAACAGUAUUUUUUUUAUAUCUAAACAUAUAUGGCCAUAGAAAUGAAAACAAACACAAUUUUUUCUUUAAUUAUUUUUUCCUUUUGAAAAAACUAUAUAGUCUAUAUUUUAUAGUUGAUACUUUCUUGAAUCUCAUCUCUCAAGAAAAUAUUUCUUUUGGAAAAAUAUGAGGAUAUCGUUAAAAAUUUGAAUUGUAAGACAUUCAAAAAUUUUCAUUUGAAUUAUUAAGAAUUUCUUAUAUGGAGAAGAAGACCACCAUUUAUAAUAAUACAUGAAUUAUUGGUUAAUUUAGAUGCUUAUCCAAUUAGCACCUCAAUUUUUCUUUGAGUUUGCAAUAAAUUAUAACUUUUAGUUGACCAAUGUAUUAAUAUGAUAUUAAAUUAUCAAUUAAUUUAAAAUUUUAAUUUAUUAGGUAAUUGAUUAAUAAUAUAUUGUAAAAUAAUGGAGAAUUUAUAGAAGCCAACCCAUCAAUUUUCACCAGACAAGCUGUUUUGCUUAGGAUUAUGCAAUAUCUUCCCAUAAUAAAUUAGAAACUAUUUGGAUGUUCAGCACUUAAUUAGGUUACAAAAAAUAGCUUAAUUUUCAUUGGCCGUGGAUGAAUCGCUUAUCAAUAAUUAGUCUCUGGAGCCUGAUUUUCAGUACUUUCAAUCAGAGAAAUAGCAAGAUUGACUCAGUCGAGAUAUUAGUUGUGUUAUUGUCCUUGAAUGAAGGGAGGGCAUGAACCCUCAACAUAUCCACAAGGCCUGCUUCCAUCUUCUCAUACAAAAAUUGAUCUGUAAAUUGCUUUAAAAUGAAGCAGUUAGGUUGAAUGGGGGACACGAUGUGCAGGCCAUUCAUAUUCUUCUGGUCUCCUCUUCGCCCGCAUGCAUGACUGGUAACUUCAAUUAUUGAUUUCCAUUAAUUCUUCUUGCGAUAUAUAUUUUUUUCCCAUCUCUUCUAUUUGAGGCUUUUAAGAGUACCCAUAGCUUUAGGAAUCAAAAUAAUUCAAAAACAAACAAACAAACAAACCCAUCCUUCCAUGUGAAUGAACAGCUUCCAUAUUCUUCCAGCUUCAAAUUGAAUUUUAGAUUCAAUUAAUUGAAAAACUAUGGCAUACUUUCAUGCCCAUCAGACAUCCAAGCAAGAAUGUAAUCUUGCUCUGAUCCAAAGGGAUGAGAAGAUGAGUGCAAAUGGACAAGUACAGCUACAAGCUCUCCACAUUACAGACAAAAAGAAUCCCUUAUGAGGUGAAAGUCAAGAAAAUGAGCAAGCAAUCUAGGCUUAGAUUCACGAGACACACCACCCGUGCCCCUACAAAGCCAUAUUAAACUGAGGAUAAAGCCUGCACCACCACCAGACACGGCGUCGAAUUUAAGAAGAGUAAUGCAAAUGGAUGCAUUAUCAAAACAUUUCAACGUUAUUAAUAUAUAGAGUUGAGAUAAGGUAGUUUUAUAAUCACAUGGAUUAAUUAGGAGUGAAUGCCUCGUGGCCCGUGGGUGCUAGCUUUUGGAUAAUGUUUUAAGAUAUCGUUGCCUGGCUCGUGAAUUCUAGGUUUUAGUCUUUUAGAUAGGGUGACGACUGGCCUCCGCCCUCCGCCCUCCGCCCUCAGCUCACCUUUCUCUUUACUUUGAUUUCCACCUAAUUUGUUUUUAUCAGGCACAAAUCCAAAGUCCAACUAAGAAGCUUCCAUUCACUAUGUCAAGCUAUCCAAUAUCAUCAUCAUAGAUUCAUAGCUUCCCUUGUCUAUUUCUUGGAAAAAUCUUUCAGGAUUUCAUUUAUUUUAUAAGAAAUUUAAUGUUAAAAAGUUGUAAAACAGUUUAAUAAACCAUACUUAAUUGCCACAAAACACCAUUCAUACGUCAUUCAUAUUCUAAUUAAAAAAAAAAUAAUUUCUUCACUGAGAAUUGAGAUUGCAAACAUUGUUUUGAUGAAAGAAUGUAAAAUUAUAUCGAAAACGAUGGGAUAAAUUUUUUUAUGCUAUUCUGAAAAUCAUUACCAUAUCAAAUUAAAAAUAUAAAUUUAAAUAGGAUUAAAAUUUUAACUAUGAGUAACUUUAAAUUUUCAAAUGUAAUUUGAGAAGUAAAAUUUAAUUUAAUAUAUUCAUUUGUAUAUCAAAAUUAGAAAAAAAUAAUCUUUCACAACAUGUUUAAAAUUUAUGUCUAAAUUAAAAAAAUUAUCAGGUACUUAUAAAUUAUUUUUCAAAUCAAUACUCCAUUUAAAUGAAUAUAAUGAAUUUGCUAUUUAUUAAACUUUCAUUUGGGUACAUUUUUAUAUUUUUACUUAAUUUCUAUCUAUAAAAUGUAGAAACUUUAAUAGAAAAAAAAUUACAAAUUUAUUUUUUGUUUUAAAAAAUUAUUUUUUAAAAUUCUAAAUUUUUAGAUGGUAAUUUUUUUUAAUACCUCACAAUUUCCAAUCAAUUUUUAGAAACCUUUUAAGAUUUUUUUUAAUAUUUUAUAUGUAAGUUACUAUUGUUUUUUGUUUUUUGUUUUUAAAUUACAUCUAAUACACUAACGCUCAUUUAGACGCAUUUCCUUCUUUUUUUUUUUUUUUUUUAAUGAUAAUAACUUUUACAACAUAUUAUAAUAGCUCCUAUGUAAAAGAUAUACACAUUUCUUGUGAUUUUUUAAAAUUUUGAGAUAAUAAUUUUUUUAGUGGCUCUAAUUUCAUAAACAAAUUUUUAAGUAAAUUUCUUGUUACAGAAGUUAUUAUUUUAUGUUUCUAAAAUAAAAAAUUGACAAAUGUAUCCAAAGUACUCAUUUACAAACUCCAUCUAUAUCAACAUUUGGAAUAACAAAAAAUAAAUUAAUCUGGGUCUUUUGGUCACAUUUUUAUUCUUUUAACUUAAAAACAAAUUUAAGAAAACAUGGUUAAAUGACCCAUGUUUUCCUUUUGAUUUUAAAAAUUGAUAAAAAAAUUUCUACUUAUUUUUAAAAAUUAUUUUUAAUUUCAUUUUUUUUAAAAAAAAAUUGUUUAUAAAGAAGAACAACCAAAUAUUUUUUUUUUUAAAUAAAGCUCUUUUUAAAUCACCAUGAAACAUGCUUUUAUUUACCACAAAAUAAAAAAACUUUUAAUUUCUUAAACAGUUUUUCAUUUAAAAAAUUUAUCCGUGUAUAAAUUUUGAAAUUGUUAGGAGCAAUGGCUUUUAAUCAUUUUGAUGACAUGCCCCAAAAUCUAAAAUUUUUAUUAAGCAAUUAAAAUAUCUCUGAGAGAUAUUUUUGUUCAAUGAAUCAAUGGAAUGGAGUGCAUGAGAAGAUAUUCAAAUGGUGUACAUGAGAAGACAUAUCAUGUUUGGUUCAAUGUUGGGGAUUAGAAAUGACAAUGAAACGAAUUGUCUCGUCCCGUCUCCAUCAUUCAAGCAUAGUAGUUUCAUUCCCACCCAAAACGCCAUCCUUACCCUGGACUACACAUCUUACUUACCCUCCACGCCUUUUACAGCUCAGCUCUCUCAUAGACAAUGAUUGGCAUCAUUAUUUGGAAAAGAAAAAGGCAGACAAUAAUCAUCGAGACAAAAAUUAAUAAAACAUAUGUUAAAAAUCCAACCUGUAAGGCUGUAACCCACCAAAAGUCCCUGAGAAGGUGCAGGGGAAAUGCUAGUAUGAUUUUGUGCACACAGUUGAUUGAGGAUUGCCAUGAAACUUAAUGUGUAAGUCAAAAUUCUAACCACUACGGAAAUAAAUCUUAAAUGGAAAAUGAAAAAUGAAAAAUAUUUGAAUAAAAGAUAUGUUUGGAGAAACAAGUCUAUCAUAAUUCUGCAUUGGUAGCAUUAUUUGGAAAAAAAUAUAAACCAUGGCUUAUCUUUUAUUAACCUGCAUUGCUCAAAGCAGUAGUAACCAAUUUUUUUUUCUUUAUUUAGAUUGGUCAAUUUUAAAUCUUGAAACACGUAGCCCCACACGUGACCAGCAAAAUGGCUUGGUACUAGGAAAAGCAAUUUGUGCCCAAAACGUGGGAGUAACAAAAUGGGUAUGAGACUUUUAGUUUUAGUCACUGGGGAGAGAAUUUUGGCAGCAACAAGUUUCUUCUUUCUUAACAUUACAGUCUUACAGAGUAAACUUAGGGCCAUGCUACCAGGGAGAGGCAAGGGAUUUGGCCCCAAAAUGUACGAUUUUUCUUUGUUAAAUCAAUGCAAACAACUAUCACCCAUUAAUUUUAAUGAGUGAAAUCAUUUUACUCCAGAAAUCAGAAGUUGCAAUAGAGUAGUAAUAGAAGGCGUUCAUAAUUUUGGGUUUAAAGUGGGAAGUUAAUUAAAAUUUGGGCAAAACGUGCUUACUGGGGGUAGUGGGCAAUAAAGAAGUGAAUAGAGGUGGUAGGGGAGCUGUCAUCCAGCUGGACUCUCAAAUGCAAAAAUGGGUAUUCGUUUAUCCCAACUCACAAGUCACAAGUCACGAGUAGUAUGUGAAUUGGCAAUGGCAGCUAAUGACUCAUGAGAAAUGGCAGAGCGCGUCAUCUCUCCUUCUCGCCUCGGAUGCUCACUGUCACACUGUUUCCCCACUCUUUUAUCAACCUCAAGGUCCCAAUGCUGACUGCCAGUUGGAUCGUCCGCGCUUCCCGAUAUUAUUUCUAUAUUGAGCCCCAAGCCCCUUCCAGCCUGUCACCUUUCCUACCUUCUCCAACGUCUCUCUCUGCCUUUUUUGCUUUUCCCAUUCAAUGCCCUUCACUCUCUCCACCGCUACGGCUCCACAGUACUCAUUCUGAGGCCUACUUUGGUCAAAUCAAAAGUCCUCUCAAACUGUAUCCAAGCUGUAUUUAGGUUUUGUCCUGUAGCUAUAAAAAUUGAAAAGGAAAGGAGAAACUGACUUUAACAGGGGCACUCCUCUGGAAACUUUUAAAAAAGUGCCGGCUGGCAUUGCCCUUUGUGUUCUUAAUGCAUACAAAAGUGCAAAUGGCUUUGUGAUUUUUCUGACUGGAGCGUGUUAUUUGGGGCCUCAGGUUUUUUAUAGAACCGCGUUGGAGAGUACCGUUGCCUCUCUCAAACUUCAACUGCCCCUUGCAUCUUUCUGAGCAGGUUCGAACGAGGCCCCACCGCACAGCCCACUCCUUCGAUUUAAAAUUGUGACACCAGACGGUCUAUAUAUAGAGACUCACACCCCUCUUGUCUCUACACAGACUCAAAACCACAUCAGCAGCCUCUCCUCCUGCUUCAUUUUCCUUGUCCACAACAUUUCUCUAUCUGCGUUCUAAAUAUGGUUUCUUUUAUCUCUAUACGCCAUUUUCUGCCAUUCCUCUUUGUGAUCUCUCUGUUCCAUGUGAGCUAUGCUGCGAGGAAGCUCAAUGAGCUGGUACAACAGCAGCCUCUGCUCUUGGAAUACCAUAAUGGCCCUCUCCUCUCUGGAAAAAUCUCUAUAAACCUAAUCUGGUACGGCAAAUUCAAGCCUUCCCAGCGGGCUAUCGUUUCAGAUUUCAUUACCUCCCUUUCUUCUUCUUCCCUGUCUCAGGACCAGCCUUCCGUUGCCACCUGGUGGAAAACCACAGAGAAGUACUACCACCUCACCUCCAAGAACCCAUCUUCACUCAAGCUCUCCUUGGGCGAACAAAUACUCGAUGAGACCUACUCGCUCGGGAAGUCACUCACAGGGAAGCAAAUCGUUCAGUUGGCUUCCAAGGGUGAACAAAUGAACGCCAUUAACGUGGUUUUGACCUCCUCUGAUGUGGCCGUGGAAGGGUUCUGCUCCAGCCGCUGCGGGACUCAUGGAUCUUCUUCGAGUUCCAAGAAUGUUCAAGUCAAGGGCAAGAACUACAAGUUUGCAUACGUCUGGGUUGGGAACUCUGAGACUCAGUGCCCUGGCCAAUGCGCCUGGCCCUUCCACCAGCCCAUCUACGGACCCCAGAGCCCACCGCUAGUCGCACCGAACAACGAUGUGGGUCUGGAUGGCAUAGUCAUAAACUUGGCUAGCCUCUUGGCUGGAACUGCGACCAACCCUUUUGGAAAUGGCUACUUCCAGGGUCCGGCGGAGGCGCCCCUAGAAGCUGCAUCGGCUUGCCCUGGGGUUUACGGGAAGGGGGCAUACCCUGGGUAUGCUGGGGAUUUGUUGGUGGAUUCAGUGACUGGUGCUAGCUAUAAUGCCCAUGGUGCCAACGGGAGGAAGUACUUGCUUCCUGCCUUGUAUGAUCCUUCUACAUCCUCGUGUUCUACUCUGGUCUGAAGCAGAUUAGUGUCUUGACGACAGAAACUUCGUAGAAUUUACAGGCCUUAGAAAAAUCCAGAGAGAUACUGUUAUUCAUUCAUUUAUUUGUUCUUCCCGUGGUAGUUUCAAUAAUAUCAAAGCAAAUUGGUUUGGUUUGCUUUUUUCACUUGAAUGCAUCUUUCCAAAUUACAAUGCCUCAACAUGAAUGAAUGAGGUGAUUUGUUGCAGUGUUGAGGAUAUUCCCAGUGAAAUGGGUUCUACUCAUUGAGAAUUACUUUAAUUACUCUUAUGUCCUUCCUUCUCAGUGGUUGUACCUGUGCCAGCGCUUAAAGCCGUGUGCAGUAUGUAUAAAGGCGUGGCAUAUGGAAUUUUAUCUCUUAACAGGGUAUUGGAUCACAAGCACCCCCAACACAAUCACGGGAUUGAGGCGAAAUAGACAUAAUAGCAUCCUCCCACGUAGAAAUUGUUGACUUUGAUCCUCAAACAAGAAAUUGUUAAUACCUAAAUAUAAGAUUCUAACAAUUUUAAACGGAUUUACAUAAUUAAGAAAAAUUUAUACAUAAUUAAAAAACGUUUAGUCACGUCUAAAAUUUCCCGUUGGAUAGAAUUAUUAUUUUAUCAAGAGCUUUCAUACAAUACCAAUGCCAUUUAAUGUGCCGAUAAUAAUAACAUUAUCUUAGCAAUGUAUAAUAACAUUUGGCACUUUCAUCUUUACGUUUGCCUUAAUGAGUAAAUUACCAAUUAAAAAUAUUGCUAAGAAGCUCUAAACGGCAUUUUGCAUUGGAGAUGCUCUAAAACAUGUGUUAAUCACACAUUUCUAAGUCUCUUAACUCUGGAUCUACUUCAUUAAAUCAGGAAUUGUGAGGUUACCAUUAAUAGUGAAAAAUGAGACACACACUUCCCAAUUAUCUUACUAUUAUAACCUCGGAUUCUCCGCCGGCUUGGCUGAAUCUAAGUACUGGGUGUGAGGGUUUAUAAGUGGAUAUACUCAAGGCAACUAAGCCUUUUUUUUUUUUUUUUUUAUGAAGUGAGAUCUUAUACUUUGAAAAGCAUUGGAAGAUCAACUAAAUCUAUUUUUCUACGGAAGAAGUGAGAUCUUAUAUAUAUAUAUAUAUAUAUAUAUAUAUUCUUGUUUUGUAUAAGUGGAUAAUUUAUUUUCCUAAGAUAAUUUAUUCCUAAGAAAAUCUUACUUCAAGUAUUUUAUGGAAUCUAAAAAUUUAAAAUUUUUAUUUUUAUUUAUAAUCUAAAUGUUAAAUAAAAUUUUAAUAUUAAUUUUAUAAUUUUAUACAAAUUUAUGAUUUCUCAUUUUAGUAAGGGAAAUUUUUUUUAAAAUUAUAUAAAUAUGAAUUUUUCUUCAUUAUUUAGAAGCCGUUAAUGUUCUUUUGACUCACACGCAUAUAAUAUCUAUCCGAUUAAAAUUGCACCAUUAAUAUGUUUGUAAUAUCUCAUGUUAAUGUUCUUUUGACUCAAACGCAUAUAAUAUCUAUCCGAUUGAAAUAGCACCAUGAAUAUGUUUGUAAUAUCUCAUAUUGAUCGGGGAAAAUAGAAGAUAUUUUUUUAUGCAAACCUCCACAACCCGCUUAAAGAACGAAGAAUCGAAACCAUUUAAUGUACGCGUCCGGACAGAUAGUAAUGGAGCAGAGCCAUUUCCAUUUCUCUUUCUUCAGGUAUGCACUAACCAGGAAGCACCCAACUUUCUCCCUUCCCAUUUUCCUUGUUGGAGUCAGCUGUCUUCAGUGUCCGUAUCUAGUUUUUGUUCCGCUAUCACACUCCUUUUUGUUCCGCUAUCACACUCCAUCUAGUUAUGUGCCAUAAUUCCCUUUGUCAUAUUCUGACGGAAAAACCAAUUAAAUCCUUAAUCAUCAAGCUAAAACAUUUGUUCUUUGAAACUACAAAUUUAGGCUCUAUGUGGACCCCGCAUUUCGGCUUAAUGCGUUUCCCACUCGAUGACGAAACUCGAUUUUUAUUUGAAAAAAAUUGAUUUUUAUUGAUUAAGAAAAAUGACUUGGAGUCGUCACUUAUUUUUGUUUUAUUUUUAAAGGGUAAACAAAAUAAGAAAGAAAAACCCUAAGUGUAACUCCUUAUUUUGGAAAAGGUGGUCUGUGAAAAACCGGAUCGGGUUCGGGGGUUAGGUUACUUAUCGGGAAGGUACGGUAAAGACCAUAGCACCCCUCUAAGUCCCUAAAAACGGGUCUCUACUAAUAAAAUGAAGCUAACAUGGCAACCAAUGAGAAAGUCAAUGAAUACUCAAAUCGAUCAUGCACGUAUGAGUAUCAGAAUAUGCAAUAGAGGAUAACCGAAGUGAAAGUGGAUGCGUACCUGAUCAGCAAACGGCAACGCGCUGAAAGAACCCUUUUCCAGUAAGGCUCUGUUUAGCUGUCAAUGCCUUCAAUCCUCCUCCAAUGUCGACAAAGCCAACCAGCUUACCCUUCUGAACAGCACCCCCUCCUCCUGCAGCUCCAAUGAACCCCUCCGAAGCUCCCUUCUCCUCUCCAGCUCAAGAGAUCACUCUCUCAGCCAAAAGAUUUCUCCUCUGCCCCAAAAACUGCAAAACCCCCACAACCUUCCAAAAGCAACCUCACUUUCUCAGAAUCCUUCCUCCCUUCCUGCCUCAAAAUGACUAAACAAAAGCUCUCCCCUCAAAAGAUCUCUGCAGCCUCCAACUUCUCUCUCCCCUCGUUUUUCCCCUCAACCCUCCGUGUCAAGAUAUCUUCACCUCUUUUACUAAAAGCCCAUCUCUGAAAAGCAUCUCCCUCUCUGAAAAAAAAUCCCCAACGGCAGCCCAGACCCCUUCUCCUGCAGCUGGCCUGCUGCUCCUCAACAGAAACGUACCUCCUCUCUAACGGCCAGAAUAUCUCCAUGCCACGUGUCAAACUCUCACUCGCUCCUCAAUUCCACCAUCUGUUUCUAUGACCACCAACCACGAGGCGACACGUGGCUCCUUGAGAGCCCUCCACCUGCAAAGAAUUAUAACCUGUAGAGAUGCAAAGGAAUGAGCCCCAAAUGGGGGUCUACACUCUAAUAUUAAAAUUUAUUUUUAAAAUAAAAAAAUAGAUACUAUAUCUAUUAAUGUUUAUUACUUAUUUUUAAGAGUUUUGGGUCAAAAUGGUCAUUUUAAAAAAAAAAAAUUGUAACAUCUAACCACUCUUUGAAACUUAUGUUCAAAUUAGGCUCUUUGGUACCACGUAGACGCCGUCUUCAUUAAAAAAUAUUUUUUUCAUCAUUUUAGUUAAAGUCGCAGUUGAUAAUCGCGAUUUCAUUUUUGAACUAAAGUCGCAGUUGGCAAUUGUGGCUUCAUUUUUAAACUAAAGUCGCAGUUGACAAUUGCAGUUUUAUUUUUGAAAAAACUGUAGUUGUCAACUGAGACUUUAGUUAAUUUUUUUUUAAAAUUUAAAAUUUAAUUAAAAAUUAUUAAAUUACAAAUUUAUGAUUGAAAAAUUAAAAUAUACUUAAAUAAUAAAUUAUUUAUAUUUAAAUUUAAAAAUCUAGUAUUACUUCAGCAAACAUAAAUUGAUAAAUAGAAUAUAUUAUAAAUGAAUAUUUUAUUUAUUAAUAAAUUAAUAAUCUUAAAAUAAUAAACUUGUAUAACAUAUAAAUAAUAUAUAAAAUUGUAUAAUUUAUUAAUUUAAGAUAUUUAAUUUGUUGUUUUUUAAAAUAUUAAUUUAUUUGUAUUAUGAUAAAUUUAUCUUUAUCGAAAUAAUUGUAUACUUUUAAGCUGCAAUUGAUAACUAAGAUUUCAAUUAUAAUUUUUUUUACUUUCAAAUUUAAUUAAAAACUAUUAAAUUACAAUUUAUGAUUGAAAUUUAAAAAAUAUACUUAAAUAAUAAAUUAUUUAUAUUUAAACUUAAAUUAUUUAUAAGAACAUGUUCAUAUUUAAAUAUAAAUAAUUUAUUAUUUAAGUAUAUUUUUUAAAUUUCAAUUAAUUUUUAAUUAAAUUUGAAAGUAAAAAAAAAAAAUUAUAAUUGAAAUCUCAAUUAUCAAUUGCGGGUUAAAAGUAUAUUAUUAUUUUGAUAAAGAUAAAUUUAUCAUAAUACAAAUAAAUUAAUAUCUUAAAAAACAAAAAAUUAAAUAUCUUAAAUUAAUAAAUUAUAUAAUUUUAUAUAUUAUUUAUAUGUUAUAUAAGUUUAUUAUUUUAAGAUUAUUAAUUUAUUAAUAAAUAAAAAUAUUUAUUUGUAAUAUAUUUUAUUUAUCAAUUUAUAUUUAUUAAAGUAAUACUAGAUUUUUAAAUUUAAAUAUAAAUAAUUUAUUAUUUAAGUAUAUUUUUAAAUUUUAAUCAUAAAUUAUAAUUUAAUAAUUUUUAAUUAAAUUUUAAAUUUUUUUAAAAAAUUAACUAACAGUUAACAAUUACGACUUCAAUUAAAAUGACGAAAUUUUUUUUUAAUAAUAUAAUAUUUAGGUGUUACCAAAAAAAAUCAAUUUGAACAUCAUAAGUCUCAAAGUGGCGGAUGUUACCAUUUUUUUUUUUUAAGGUUCAUUUUGACCCAAAACUCUAUUUUUAAAAUCUGGUUUUCAAAACAAUCAUGGAGGAUGAUGAGUUGUUCUCCAAAGACGUUCAAAUAAAUGUAUUUAUAAUUUAGAAAAUGGUAAAAAAAAAUAACAAAAUGGAAGAAAAAUAAUAAAGAAAAGAAAAGUUUGACGAUGAUAAAAAGUCACCCCUAGGCUCUUAAUGUCCUUAGCUGUAAACGUAGGGUUUUUGAUUUUUCACAGCGAAAGACAGAUCCGCACUCAACCAGAUUAAUUUCGAACGCGCUAUUGAGUAUUGAGCUGGCAUUUGCUUCGCUUUUCGCCUUUUCCCUUCCUUCUCGGCACUUUCAUUCAUACCCUCCCCCUCGCUCCUCUCACGCUGUUGGUCACACUCUCCCCACUGCCUAUUUUACUAUAUAUAUGAAACCCCCAAUUCAUCUUCUCCUCACUCCAAAGUUCCAAACCCCCACCAAAGCCAUCUAUCUCUACAGCUUAGCUUCACUGCACUCUAAAGUCCUAACUACCAUGGCAUCUUUCGUUCCUACUCAAUGCCUUUUACAACUCCUCUUUGUGGCUUCUCUGUUUCCAUUCAUCUCAGCAGCCAGGAGACUUGCUCAAGACCAGCAACCUCUGCUUCUUCAAUACCACAAUGGCCCUCUUCUUUCCGGAAAAAUCUCCAUUAAUCUCAUCUGGUACGGAAAGUUCAAGCCUUCCCAACGCGCCAUUGUUUCUGAUUUCAUUACCUCCCUCUCUUCCUCCAAAACCACCCCCCACCAACCCUCUGUUGCGGCGUGGUGGAAUACCAUCGACAAAUACUACCUCCUCAUUAAGUCCAAGAAAUCCACCUCCCUCGGUCUCUCCCUAGGCACCCAAAUCCUCGACGAGAACUACUCUUUGGGUAAAUCACUGACCAGUCGAAAUCUCAAACAGUUGGCAGCAAAGGGGCAGCAGAGCAACGCCAUUAACGUAGUCUUGACAUCUUCUGAUGUAGCCGUUGAAGGGUUCUGCUCCAGCAGGUGCGGAACACAUGGGUCUUCUCCCAGCUCCAAGACUGCUAAGGUUAAUGGCAAGAUCUCCAAGUUCGCAUACAUCUGGGUGGGUAACUCCGAGACUCAGUGCCCAGGUCAAUGCGCAUGGCCAUUCCACCAGCCCAUUUACGGACCCCAGAGUCCACCCCUGUCCGCACCCAACAACGAUGUGGGUAUGGAAGGUAUAGUUAUGAACCUGGCUAGCCUCUUGGCUGGAACUGUUACGAACCCCUUUGGAAAUGGAUACUACCAAGGUUCCGCAGAGGCUCCCCUGGAGGCUGCAUCGGCUUGCCCUGGGAUUUAUGGGAAGGGCGCGUACCCUGGCUAUGCCGGAAAGCUGUUGGAGGAUCCCACCACAGGUGCUAGCUAUAAUGCCAAUGGUGUGAAUGGGAGGAAGUACCUGCUUCCUGCAUUGCUUGAUCCUUCAACUUCCACCUGUUCUACUCUGGUCUGAUAGACUGAUACUACUAUGCUUCUCUAAAUUCAUUUAGUUGUAUAGCACGGAGAGGAUAAGCGAUUCUUUGUUUGUAUUUGAUUAAUUACCAUUAUGUAUUCUUUUUCCCGUCUGAAUAAAUGAAAUUCCAAUGUUUUCUUUCAUAUCCAAACCAGCUCAGCCUUCCUCUGAUAUUUUUUCUUCACAUCCCAAUCCCAAUCCCAACAAAAGCCGCACUGCGCCCUCCUCUGCUAUUCAAACUCGUCUGUGGUCAAAAUCAUUAAUGAGAUCCACCAUUGGAGAAAGCUUUAUAAUAAGGAAAGUUUUAAGCAAAACCUUUAGGACAUGGAAUGAUCUGCUGCUUUUCUCGUCCUAUAUUUUUAAUUUUUAAUUUAAGACUUGAUUUUCCAACCUCCUCUACAUGCCAUCAUUAUUUAUUCUGAAGUUGCAAUUGAAAGAAACGUUUAUAGCACGUUUUGCAGGAAUAUUAUUAAUAAUUUAACUAUGUAACAUUCUCAAAAGGCAGUCUAAGAAGAUGUAUACUUCCAACCUUGGAUUUUGUCACAAUUAUUCAUGGCCCGGCCUCCACAUGAAAUUCUAAUAGAUGUUCAAUAAUUCAAACGGAAAUGUGCAAUAGAAUAUGUCAACCCUUCAAUGUGAGGAUGGUUUGGCUAAAAUUUUAGCUUAAAUUAAGAUUUUAGAGAAUAUAACAUCAUAAUUUUUUUUCAUGUUUGUCGUAAGGAAGAUAUAAAAAGGGCCUUAUCACGUUUGUGAUAUAAAUUUUCUAAUUUAAUUUGAUAAUUUCUUUUUUCUCAUGAAAAAAAAUUUCCUCAGAAUGAAUGCAAGUUGGUUUUUGAGAUAACAAUACGUUGGCUAGAUGUGUAAUAUAUGAAAAAUUAGAAAAUAAAAUAUUUAACAAAUUUUCUCCUGUUAAUUCAACAUUUCUCAAUAUUUUUAUAAAAUUAAAAUUAUUAUUUUUAAAAUAUUAUUUAUAAAUCAAUUUAAAAUAUUUAAUAUUAUUAUUCUAUAACAAAAUAACCUAUUAAUUUUUCUUUUUAACUUUUUAAUACCUAAUAAAAAUAAAAUAUUAAAUCAACAAACUACUUAAUACUAUUUAAUUAUAAAGUCUAUUUAAAAUUAAAUUCGAAAAAAAAAAAGAAAAUACCAUCUUAAUCAUUUCGAAUCAAUUCUCCAAAUUAGAUUUUGAGGGCUUAAUUUUUUAACAUAGCAUCAUUUGAAAUUUUGAAUCGAUACAACUUUUAUAAUAAAUAAGUUUUUGGCUAAAAAGAGUAUAUAUAAAAAUAAUUUAAUUUCACACCGUCUAUGUAUCUUUGUAAAAAGUUACUUUAUAAAAGUAUUUGAUUCUUAACUUAAUUUUUAGAAAAAGCUCCUUAAUCACGAAUCUCUCAUUUUUUAUAUAUUUAAUAAAUUUGUUUUAUAAAAUUUCUUGAAUUGUUUGAAACAUAUGCUAUAUGAUUUCAAUGAUAUUUAAAGUAAAACCUUGAUCAACUAACUUUCUAGAAGACAUAAAUUUUUUAGAAAUCUAGAACUUUAGGUGUAGCAAUAACAAAGAUAUUUAAGUGGCAUACAAGUCAGAUUGUUUUUGAGGAGUUUCAAACUUCAAAUCAUAACCGGUCCAAAUGUUAUACAUUUGAGCAGGAAACAGAAAGACUGUCACUAAUUUGGGGUGUUAGUUUAGCCAAAUUAAGCUAGGGCCAUAAGAUGUUUGGGACCACCUCGAUUUUAAGUCAUUUUGCCAACAACUAUGGAGGCAUUAACAACUAACUAGGCAGGCCGGACCCUUAUCCAUUUCUAUAAAAGACAUCAUCUGUAUGGCUACCGACCUAAAUUUAUUGCAUGCCAAAUGAACAAAUUUCAUACCCAAUAAUCACAUGUAACUUCUAAUUAGCUGGGUGUAAUUGUUUUGUCAUUAAAAUUGCUGUCCCGGUCCCAUCACAUGGUGCGAAUACAUCGUGAUUUGUUAACUUAAUUGGAAAUAUUACAAUCCAAACAACUAAGAUUGUGGGUAUUAAUGGAAAAUCCAAUAUUGCAAUGUUGAUGGUUGCAACUUGCAGCUUGGAUCUUAUACUUAUAGUCUCACACUUGUUUCACACGUAGUCGAUAUGAUCAUGAAUAACGGGGUCCAUCCCCUAGGGCCCCGUGAUAACAACAGAGCACCUAAAAAUUAAAAUGGUGUGCAUGUAGCCGCCGCCAGGAAAACCAUGCCAGUGUUCGGAAUAAUUUUGGCUUUUGUGUCUUUCAAGCUAGCCGCUUCUCCAGAGAGAUGGAAGCACGGUAUCGAUCGAAUCAAGUGGAUCAGGGCCCGGAGUUUUAAAUGGCGCACACCGAUGUUUUGAGCCAUCUAAAACCAUGAGCAUUAUUGAUUCCUUGAGUUAUUUAGAAAAUGGGGAUGUGCUUUCAGCAUAUACAAACUCACCUGUGACUAUCUUACUCUUAAAGCAAAUAAUCACGGACGAGUGCUAACCCUAGGAUCGUUAUCUUCACAUGCAAGGAUUACCUACUUGUUAUUCCCCCUGUCCCUUGACUUUGGGUUUUAUAUUUUUGGACGAUCAGAAAGAAGGAGACACCUACCCUUGAUAACCACGUCAUCAGACACAACCUGGCGAAAACUGCCACGCGUUUGACACUAAAAGUGGUCAAUUAAUCAACGCGGCACGAUUUCAAUGUUUCUUCCAUCACCCCCUUUUGGCCAGCGCCACACGCGCACGCCAUGACGACACUACCUUUCUAUGACUAUAAGUAUCGCAACAAUCGAACUCUUCCUUCACACUCAUUCCUCACCAAUCCAGCUUUUCACACUCUCUGCAUCACCUUCACCCCACUACUUUACCUUCUCAAUGACUUCUACUUACCAUUUCUCCAUCUUUGUUUCACUUCUCCUACUCUCCUUCCUUCUCAACCCCACCUCCGCCACACCUCGAAAACUCUUCUCUCUUGUUCAAGAGCAACCUCUCAUUCUCAAGUACCACAACGGGCCACUCCUUAAGGGCAACAUCACCCUCAAUCUCGUUUGGUACGGAAACUUCUCCCCCAUCCAACGCUCCAUACUCGUCGACUUCCUCCAGUCUCUCAAUUCCCACACCACCACGCCCCACUCCGUCUCAUCGUGGUGGCAGACCAUCCAGAAGUACAAAGGAGUCUCCUGCACCCUCGCCGUUGGGAAUCAGAUCCUCGAUGAAGACUACUCUCUAGGGAAGUCAUUGCGAAGUUCAGACAUCAUUUCCUUGGCUUCUAGAUCAAACCAAAGGAGCGAAAUAACCGUGGUGUUCACGUCGGCAGACGUGGCGGUAGAAGGGUUCUGCAUGAGCCGGUGCGGGACUCACGGGUCAACUCAGAGUAAGUGGGCCUACGCGUGGGUGGGUAACUCGGAGACUCAGUGUCCGGGUCAGUGCGCAUGGCCAUUUCACCAGCCCAUGUAUGGACCACAGACUCCGCCGCUGGUGUCUCCAAACGGGGACGUGGGAAUUGACGGAAUGCUGAUCAAUUUAGCGACUGUUUUGGCGGGAACGGUGACUAAUCCGUUUGAUAACGGCUACUUUCAAGGGUCGGCUAGCGCGCCGUUAGAGGCGGUGACGGCUUGUACAGGUAUAUUCGGGACAGGAGCUUAUCCAGGAUAUCCCGGCGAAGUUCUGGCGGAUGGAACGACUGGGGCUAGCUAUAAUGCUGUUGGGGUGGAUGGGCGUAAAUACUUAUUGCCGGCGAUGUGGGACCCUCAAACCUCCACCUGCAAGACAUUAGUCUGAAGCCUGAACCUAAUGGAUGAUUUGUGUUCUGUGUGGUACCAGCAAUUGUUUGUUUGGAGGAGCUUUGUACUCCCAGCUUUGAAGUUUGUUCUUUUUUUUCAUCAACCUUAUCAUAUGUAAAUGUUUAUGUAUCAUUAAUUAAAUUUGUUUCAUUAGUCAACCAAUCCUCUGUCUCCUUUGCCUUCUAAAAAGUUUCAAAUUUUUUCUAACAAUUUUGGGUCAUUAGGUUUAGGUGGAAGUUUCAAGUUGACUAACCAGUUAGCUUCUGGAUUUAACUUAACCCCAUAUUAAGCUGAGGAACCAAUCUGGUUUUAGCACAUGUGCAUUGAUUGGUAUUCUUUAUAAUGGAAUGUAACUGCUUUCUUUUUUACCCCAUGAGAAGAUUUCACCAUAUUGUCCUCCAUUCUUGCACACAACCGUAUCAUCUGACUGAAUUUUCUAUGAAAUAAUAAUUAUUUUGGUUUUUUUUUUUCAUUUUUCUUUUUUCUAACACAUAUAAAGUAAAAAAAGAAAAAAUUAUUAUUAAAAUAAAUUACAAAAUUUAUUUAUAAAUUAUAUUUAUUUUCAAUAGAAUUAAAUUAAAAAAAUUAAAGAGAUAGGACGAAACCGGAAAUUCUCAUAUUUGUUUCAUUCGAAUCUUUUUAGGGAUAGAGUAACAAUUCUGUUGUCGCCUCGCGUAUCCGGUGGUCCACGUUGCUGCUAUAUGGAUGGACACGUGAUUCUCAACACACAAGGGGUUCUUGAUUUAGUGGUUGCACCUGCAAAAGGCAUCCGGACAGGGUGUCCGGACGCACCCUCCGAUGGUAUUGUUAGCCAUGGUUAUUUUAAUUGACCAUCCAGACGAUUUAUAUCCGGAUGGCUCAUGCUGAUCAUCCAGAUGUGUUGUGGAGACCAUCCGGAUGUCUACGCUCUGCCUGCGUCGUUUGCUCUUCCUUGGAUAGGGCUUGGCUUUCCUUGAGGUGGUCCGGAUAGGAUAACUGCACCAUGCAUACCUUUAGGGGAAUCCGGAUGAUGAUGGUCCGGAUGAUAAUAUGUGCCACGCGUCACCAUGAACUACGUGCCACGUGUUUCUCAAGGGGAGGGGUCCCUACAUUGCCCCCCUUUUUAACUUGCCUAUUUUGCCCGAAAAAAUGGGCGGGUUAAAAAUAACUGGCUUUUGAAAUUUGAAGAGGUCCCUUCGUUUGACUAGGCCACGUGGCGAGUGGCGGUGCGGAAGCCAAAAAAGGCAUUUAUGACGAGCCGCCGACCCUGUGUAUCCCCAGACAAUAUGUCGUUUCAAUGAUAUCAUGGCUGUUGGUUUGCCUUUCCGAGGGGCUGUCCUGCUAUAAAUAGGGCACUGUACCUCUUUUUGCAAUUUUUCCUACUGCAUUCUCUUGAGAGCCUUUCUUCUUACUGCUUUUUCUGCGCCCUUUGCUUCUCUGAGACAAACUUCGAAAGCUCUUUUGCACCGGUGUUUUUGUAUCGCGACUUUGUCUGUUUGCUGCUGGUGAUUUUGUAUCGAGGUAGUAACCGUUCUUCUUCUUCGGAGCUUUAUUUGGUACGUACGUCUUUGCUACUGUCACUCCUUUGGUUGCGUUUGCUGGUUCUUUAAUCUUGGUUUUUGGCUUGCUUGGGCAUUGUUUUGGACAGGUCGCUUGCAAUUGUUGUUGAAUGUUGGUAUUUUGCUGAUGUUCGGGGGUGUUUUGAGGGGUUUUUCUGACUGCUUUGGGUUAGGGUUUGUGUAUUUUCUAACUGCUUGGUUUGAACCGUUGCAUUGCUUUUGUAUGUAGGUUGUGGUUUAGCUUUGUGGUACGAAAUGGCUCCAAAAAAGACUGUUUCAUCUGUCCGGGUUAGCGAAGCUAGCGAAAAGGCGAUAGACAAAUUAAAUGCGAAGGAGUUCCGGGAGCGAUUCCGCAUCCCCCAUGACGUAUUGAUAGACUUGGUGAACGAGGAGGCGGCUAUGCCUACUGAGAAAGGUGGAAAAAACGUUAUCCUCUUCACAAAGGAACAAUUCAACGCGGGGCUCCGGUUCCCUCUGCCGGCGUUGUUCAAGGAAUUCCUCCACUUCUCUCAGAUUCCCCCCAUCUUUAUUCAUCCCAACCUUGUCCGGGUGCUGAUGGGAUGCAGCAUCAUCAACAUGCUGUACAGCCUCGACCUGACGCUACUGGAAGUGUUCUUUGUCUAUUCCCUGAAGAAAGCAAAGACUGAUAUCUUCAGUGUGUCCGCGCACCUGCCCUCCCUUCAAAUGGUAACAGAGCUGUCAGAUUCAACAAAGGGAGGGGCGAGGGGGCUGGUGGCAGUCCGGGGUGGAUGGGCGGGGCUAUCGCAGCAUCCGUCGAGGCCUUUUUCUCCAAAUUAUACCUUAAAAAUUCCGGGUAAUCUUGUUUUGCGAUUUUUUUGUCCGGAUUUUGCUUUGCUGACUUUUUGAUUUUUCCGGACGGAAUUCUCACCUUUUGUUGCUGUUAAUGCAGGUCUGGAAUUGAGGGGCCACCUUGUGGAUUGGGUGGAAAAGGCGUCCUUUGCCUGCGUCUGCAAAUUAUUCGAAAUAGAUCCCAAGGAGAGGGCCUACAAAACAUUGCUCUCCGCGCAGAAUUUGAUAGAGGUCGUCCGGGAGCCCCAGGAAUAUGUUAUCAAUAUUCUUCCUAGGAAACUGGCAAAGGAUGAGAUAGUGCAUGGGGAGCAUUAUACAGUGAAGGAGCUCCCCCUCUAUCAGGAAGCUAAAGAGGCUGACGCUGAAAGGCGGCGAAAGCUCCUGGAGGAUAGAGAUCAGAAAAAAUCUGAAGGCACUAUCCGGAAGGCUCCCGGACAGAAGGGGGGGCCGGACCCUCCUUCAAAGAAAAUUCCAGGCAAGAGGGGGAAGCUUGUGAAGAAGCAUGGGAAGGAUGUGAAGGAACCCACUCCUCCCAAGGAGUUUCCUUCUCCACAAACUACCUAUGAGGGGGAAGUAAUGAUAGAGGAGCCAGUAAAUGCUGCUCCGCACUCUAUCUCAAGCGGCCCCGGACGCAUGUCGGGGUUAAAUCAUUCGGGUCCUUCCUUAGUCGCGGCUGCGCGUCUGGCUAACGUGGCUGAGGAAGCUGCAUCUAUCAACCAUCCGGGCAACCUUAAUCCGGAUGCUGAUGCAGCUGAAACGACCCCGUUGGAGGAAGCGGGGGCAGAAAGCCAAAGUCAGCCUUCCGACGACCCGGAUCGCCUGGCCAUAGUCCUGGUGAAAGGGCCUCCUCUCAAGAAGCCGCGUUUGACGCGCGAUCUACAGUCCGGACUGUUUGAGCGGCUUCAAGAGCGGCAGCAAGAGAUUGAAAUUAGCUGCGCUUCUGCCCAUGACGCUCAUCCGGAUGGAGGCGAGGUGGAGAUGGCUACUGAGACCUCAGCCGCCCCGGCAAUAAUUCCGGAUGAGGAUGCAUCCGGACCUAUGCGUCCGAACGAAGAUAUGGGGGUUCCGAUUCCGGGACAAGAGUUACCUUCUGCUUCCUCCUCUGAGGAGGAAUCUGCUGACGAUGCCGCUCCUACUAGCCCUUUCAGCUACGCGGAGUUGGAAGUUAAGUUAAAGCAGAUUACUCCUGACUGGAAAGCCAUCAAGCCCUCUGCUAAGAUGUUUGAUAUGAUAGAAACGGUACACCGUUGUCUUGUGUUUUUGCUUUUUGACUUUUUGUUGCACUGGUGUGUUUGUUGUAGUAUAAUUUAUGUUUCUGCUUUUCUUGUUUGCGUGUCAGCUGGUGAGGGGCCUCCGCAGCAUGUCUCAACAACACGAUCUUUUUACUCAGUUGCUGCAGACUGCAGACUAUAUGAGGACCUUCUCCUCUCGGCGCCAAGAGAUUGAAAAUCAGCUGCGUCUGAGAAUGGAGGAGGCUGAGGCCAAUUUAUCCACCAUGCGAGAGGAAAAUGAAGCCCUCCGAGCGGAGCUGGCUGAGGCGAAGAGUCGCGAAGAAUCAACUGCGGGUCGCCUAUAUGAGGUGGAGGGUGAGGCAGCCCGGCUGAGGGAUGAAGUGAGUCAACUCCGGACCGAGGUAUCGAAUGAAAAGAAACAGAAGGAAGACUUGCAGCUGCGCCUGGAUGUGCAAAAAGAGGAACUUGAACGGGAGUUUGCUGUGGAAAGGGAGGAACUUGCAGCGGACUACCAGCAGCAAGUGGAUGAUACGUUUAUCUUUGGGUAUCGCUGCUGCAUGAAGAAGAACGGCAUUAAGCGAGAUACCCCUUCAAUUCCUCCGGGUGAAGAAAAGAAGCUAUAUGAGAAGCCCGCUCCCUGAUAGUUAUCUCUUUUUGCAAUUUUUCUGCUGUAAUUUUUCCUUCUGUCUUUUUGUGGUCCGGAGAUCUCUUUGUAAUUACAUUUAUUUAUAUCAAUAAAAAUAUAUUUCUUUCUCAUUUGCACUUGUGUAUACUUUUUACUGAUAGUACUGCUUUAAAUUGGACACAUUCCAUGGUCUGAGUAACGGAGUGCCAUCUAGCUUUUGUAAAUGAUAGGCUCCAUUUUCGUUUGCCUUAGACACUAUGUAGGGUCCUUCCCAAUUGGCUUGGAACUUUCCCGCGCCUACUUCAGCAGUAUUUUCAAAAACUUUUCUAAGUACUAGCGUACCAUUUUUGAAGUUUCGGGGCUUGACUUUUCGAUUGUAAUGCGCUGAUGCCCUUUGUUGAUAAUCUGCCAUCCGGAUGGACGCGCUUUCUCUGACUUCGUCAGCCCAGUCCAAAUUUCUUCCUAGUUCCGUGUUGGCGUCUUUUUGCUUUGCUGCAUCAGUCCGGAUAGUAGGAAGACCUAUUUCAGUGGGAAUGACUGCAUCCAUUCCAUAUGUGAGGGCAAAAGGAGUAUUUCCUGUUGGUCGUCCGGAUGUGGUUCGAUAGGCCCACAGGACGCCGGGUAGUUCCUCCACCCACUUCCCUUUGGCUUGCUCCAGCCUUUUCUUUAAGGCAUUGAUUAGAGUUUUGUUUGUGGCUUCCGCCUGGCCAUUGCUUUGAGGAUAACGUGGCGUGGAGUAUGAAUUCCGGAUAUUCAAUUCCGAACAGAAAUUCCUGAAUGCAAUGCUGUCAAAUUGUGGACCAUUGUCAGCUAUGAUGAUUUGGGGAAUUCCAAAGCGGCAAACAAUGUUCUUCCAUACGAAUUUGGUGACAUCUUUAUCUUUGAUGCUUGCAUAUGCUUCAACUUCUACCCAUUUACUGAAGUAAUCAGUGGCGACAAGGAGGAAUUUCUUCUGGGCAGGUGCUGCUGGGAGGGGUCCCACAAUGUCCAUGCCCCAUUGCGCGAAAGGCCAUGGGCCUGAGACCGAUUUUAAUGCGGCUGAUGGCAUGCGUGGAAUGGGAGCGUAUCUUUGACAUUUAUCGCACUUUUGGACAUAUGCUGCCGCGUUUUUCUUCAUUGUUGGCUAAUAGUACCCUUGUGAAUGAGCUCUAUGUGCUAGGGAUCGUCCUCCCGUAUGAUUUCCGCAUAUUCCUUCAUGUAAUUCAGCUAGUACAUACUGGGCCUCUGAAUGCCCAAGACAGCGAAGAUAAGGUCCUGUGAAGGAUCGCUUGUACAGGUGCCCCCCGAUCAGGGUGAAACGGGCAGCUUGCACCCGGAUUUUGUGCGCUUGUUUAGGAUCUUCAGGUAAAGUGCCUGUCCGGAGAUAUUCUACAAUAUCAUGCGUCCAUUCUUGAUGAUCCGUUUGGUUUGCCUCAAUGGUGUUGCAAGUAGAAUCUUCUGUGACAGAGGGAUUGGCUUGCACAUGUAUGGGCAGUAGAAUGGCUUCUUUGAUAGGGAGGGAGGCAGCUAUGCCGGCCAAAGCGUCAGCGCGCCUAUUGUCAGCUCGCCUAAUUUUUUCGAUUGUCCACUCGGUGAAUUGCUGUAAGGUGCUUCUUACUUUGGCCAAGUAUCGCGCCAUGCGUGAGUCCUUAGCCUCAUAUUCUUUCUGGACAUGCCUUACCACUAGCUGCGAGUCGCUGUAGAUCCGAAGUUUGGAGACGGAUAGCGCAAGGGCGAGGUCCAAUCCGGACAGGAUGGCCUCGUAUUCUGCUUCAUUGUUAGACGCGGAGAAUCCCAGCCGGAUGGCUUGCUCCAGGUGUUCCCCAGUUGGGGACUGUAGUAAGAGCCCAACUCCAGAGCCCGAUGAGCGUGAGGCUCCGUCAACUCGUAGUGUCCACCACUCCUGUUCACUUGACUCGUGGUGCUGAUUGGGUCUUCGUGAAUAUUCGAGCACGAAGUCGGCCAUUACUUGGCCUUUUUUGGAUAAUCUGGGUUGGAAUUCGAUUCCAAAUUCGCUCAAUUCGAUGGCCCAUUGUAGCAUUCGCCCCGUUAAAUCUGGUUUGUGCAGAAUGCUACGAAGGGGUUGGUCGGUUAGUACAAUCACUGGGUGGGCUUGAAAAUAGGGGCAGAGCUUUUGGGCAGCACUUCGAAGAGCUAAGGCUGUUAGCUCCAUUUUUGAAUACCUGGUUUCUACAUCUGCCAAUGCCCUGCUGACAUAGUAGACAGGUCUCUGCUCCUUUGGUGAAGGGCAGCGGAAUAGGACGGCGCUGAUUGCCCAUUCUGAGACAGCCAGAUACAUGUAUAGCUUUUCCUUUGGGAUGAGGCUGCUUAAGAUGGGUGGAUGCACAAGAUAAUGUUUAAUUUUUUCCAACGCGUUUUGGCAAUUGUCCGUCCACCCAUGCGUUCCAGCUUUUCGUAUUGCCAAGAAGAAGGGUCGCAACUCAUCAGUGAAGCGGGCUAUGAAACGCCCUAACUCAACGAGCUUGCCUGUGAGGCGUUGUAACUCCUUUUUGUUCCUGGGAGGGGGUGUCUCCAUGACUGCUUUGACUUGAUCCGGGCUGACUUCUAUGCCUCUUUGGCUGACCAUAAAUCCCAGAAAUUUGCCAGCACUCACGCCAAAGGCACAUUUGGAAGGAUUUAACUUCAUGCCAUACGUCCGUAAGAGGUGAAAAACUUCUUGCAAAUGAAGGAUAUGCUGUUCUCGAGUUUUGCUUUUAACCACGAUAUCGUCAAUAUAUACCUCUACUGAGUGGCCUAUCAGAGGUUUGAAGAUUUUAGUCAUCAAUCUUUGAUAAGUGGCGCCAGCAUUUUUGAGUCCAAAUGGCAUGACUUUGUAGCAAUAGAGGUCGUGUGGUGUUAUGAAUGCUGUCUUUUCUUCGUCAUCGGGAGUCAUGGGAAUCUGGUGAUAUCCGGAGAAGGCAUCCAAGAAAGAGAGCAUCCCUUGCCCUGAAGUGGAAUCCACAAUUUGAUCUAUUCGUGGUAAUGGAAAACUGUCUUUUGGACAUGCGUUAUUGAGAUUGGUGUAAUCAACACAGACUCGCCAUUUGCCCUCUUUUUUUGGUACCACUACUACAUUUGCCAACCAAUCCGGAUAAGAUACCUCUCUGAUGAAUCCGGCUUCCAACAAUUUGUUAAUUUCAUCUUGGAUAACUCUUUGUCUAUCCGGAUGAAAGCGUCUAAUCUUCUGUCGAAUGGGUCUGGCUGCUGGAAAGACGUUAAGCUUGUGAGAGGCAAUAGAGGGAUGAAUUCCUUUCAUAUCCGAAUGUGUCCAUGCGAAGAUGUCAUGGUUGCUUCGAAGGAUAUUUUGUAUGCUCUGAGUUUCUUCUUGCGUCAUGAGGGAACUGAUAUUCGUGAGGUGAUCAUUCUCUUCUGAGAUUUGGAUUGUUUGUAAGGGAUCCGCUGCCGGGGGAUCUUUGUCCGCCGGACCCAAUAAUUGCUAUUGGUCGUGUGCAAUGCUAGGCUCAGGGGGAGAUGCAUCCUCCUGGUUAGCGACUGCCUCACGUGCUAUUUGAUAGCACUGACGAGCGGCUAACUGGCUGCCAUACAAGUCAGUUUGCCCUUCGUCGGUGAGGAAACUCACCAUUUGAUGAUAUGUGGACGGGAUGGCUUUCAUGUAGUGAAGCCAUGUGCGUCCCAAGAUGACAUUGAAGGGUGAUAACUCUUGUACCACUGAGAAUUGCACGUUGAGAGUGACUGUGCCAACUUUGACCGGCAGUAUAAUGUCUCCUAAGGACGUGGUUGAUGAUCCGUUGAAUCCGAAUAAGAUUCGUCCGGGGUUUUCGAGACCCGCGAGACUAUGUCCCAUAUGGCCAAUGACUGAUGCUUGUACCAGAUCGGCUGAACUGCCUGGGUCAACCAAGAUACGCCUUACAUCGAAAUCUCCUAUUUCUAGGGAGAGGAUGAGGGCGUCGCGAUGUGGCUGUAGCGUCCGGGUGGGAUCUACUGGUGGGAAAAUGAUUGUCCCAUCUAUGGGGCGAGGGCCCUCUCCAGUAAGACCCGGCCGGAUGGAAUUAAUGCGUUCGUGUAUUGACGCGGCCCGCAGCAAUUUCUGCCUUUUACGCCUGGAAUCGUAUUCUUCGUCAGACGGGCCCCCAUUGAUAUAGUUUAUGACAGCCUUGGGGGCGACUGGGGCCCUCGGGGCCCCAGAGUUAUGACGCUGAGAUACGUCCCUUCCUCCAGUAUCUGAGCGGAGGUACUGUUUUAAAUGUCCUGCUUUGAUGAGCCUUUCAACUAGAUACUGGAGGGAUCGACAUGUCUCUGUUGUAUGACCAUGGUCUUUGUGGAAGGCGCAUUUCUUGCUGCGGUCUCUUAUGGAUGGGUCCGUUUCGAGGGGUCUAGGCCACCUGAAGUCGGACAACCCUUGGAUCAUUGGGAGAAGUUUUUCGUAUGAUAUGGAUAGGGGUGUGACGGGCGGCCUAUCCGGACGACUCGGCCCGUCCUGUCUCCGGUCAACUGGUUUUGGACGGUCCGGAGGUUUGGCAUGUCUGUCCGCGUUAUCUCUAGAAGCCCGUCCGGCAACCAAAACUUGCUGAGUGGCUGCACGCACGUCAUCUUCGAGCAUUGAAUAUUUGUUAGCACGUCUGAACAAAUCGUCCAUCGUUGUAGGAGGCUUUUUUGCCAGUGAUUCAAAAAAUGGAGUGCCUGGACAAAUGCUUCUCUUGAAGAUUUGUAGGACAGCAUCCAUGCUGCAAACCUCUAUUUGGAGUACGGCUUGGCCAAAUCGUUUCACAAAUUCCCUUAAAGAUUCGUUGUCUUUCAUUUUUAUAUUCUGGAGGGUGCUGAUAUUCUGCUUGUGUCGAGCAGAGCACAGAUACUGUCCCACGAAUGCUUCAGAGAGAUCCCUGAAAUUGUCAAUAGAGUUAGGAGGUAGGCGAUGAAACCAUGAGAGGGCCUGCCCUUGAAGGCUGGCGGGGAAUACUUUGCAUAGCAAUGCAUCGUUGCCAAUAUCGAGCGUCAUGAGCUGUCGAUAGUGCAUGAUGUGAUCGAAGGGAUCAUUGGUCCCAUCGUAUGUGGAAAACUUUGGUACGAGGAAUCCCCUUGGGGGCUCGUAAUGGGUGAUAUGAGAGCAAAAGGGCGUGGAGAGCAUGUCAUCCAGCCUUUUGCUGAUGGAGCCAAUAGGUGGUUCGUUUGGGAGGUUUCUCCCAGCUGGUCGUUCCGCUAGGUGUGAGUGAACGUUCCGCAUCGCCGGGAUGACCAAGGGGUCACGAUGCGGAGGUACGUUCUGCACCAUGGGAGCGACCAUAGGAUCGGGGCGUGGUGCCCGGGUUGUGGCUACUAGUGGCUUUGAUCUCCCAAGCUCUUGUGGGCCUAGUCUUGCGCGCAUAGAACUUGACAACUGUGAUUUUCUAUCGCGUUGUCUUUUUGCUGAAAAAUGAGUGGAAUCUGAGCUUUCCUCACGGGGAGCUCGAGGCAUGGGUGUGCGUGGCUCAUGGGGCCUUGCGUUGUAUGCUCCUGGGACAGCUCCUGUUGACCCAGGAUAUAUUGAUUCUGGUUCUGGCCUAGAGUUUGCCACCUGGCCCCUUGAACGCUGACGACGAGGAGGGCCUGACGUUGAGGCUUGAAUGCGUAACACCGCGUUUUCUUCCCUUAACCUCUCCGUCUCCUGGAGGAGAGCUCUUAGUUGUUUUUCGCUCGCCAACUGUCUUUUUUCGAUGGCCUGACGCCAUUCGUGAUUAUCUUCCUCCUUUCUUCCAGAUGAUCGACUUUGGGAAGGUGUGGCCAUCUUUGCUAGUGACUGAAUCAGAAUGAAAAGUAAAAGUCUUCCCACAGACGGCGCCAAUGUUGUCGCCUCGCGUAUCCGGUGGUCCACGUUGCUGCUAUAUGGAUGGACACGUGAUUCUCAACACACAAGGGGUUCUUGAUUCAGUGGUUGCACCUGCAAAAGGCAUCCGGACAGGGUGUCCGGACGCACCCUCCGAUGGUAUUGUUAGCCAUGGUGAGAGAGAUAUAUAUAAAUCAGUUGGCCUUUUACUAGGUAUCAAGAGGUUACAAGGGGAUCCCCCUCUUCUUCGUGCGAAGGUAUAUAUAUAUAGCUUCAGGGGUACUGUUCCUCUCAUUAAUGGUGAGGAGAUAUUUUAUGUUGUGAUGAUGACAAUAGGUGUUAGUAGGAGCAUUAUCGCCCUACGAACGACCGUCAGAAAUCAUGGUAGGUGAUGCGGCUGUCAGAGAUCGUGGGCAGUGAUUAUGUAGAAUGAUCGUGGGAAGUGACUUGCUGUCACUUCCCCUUGUCUUCUCACUCUGCAGGUGAUGGGAUGUGGGUCAUGGCUGCUUGUUGUGAUUGCGUGUAAGACUCGCUUUAUUUUAAUUGACCAUCCAGACGAUUUAUAUCCGGAUGGCUCAUGCUAAUCAUCCGGAUGUGUUGUGGAGACCAUCCGGAUGUCUACGCUCUGCCUGCGUCGUUUGCUCUUCCUUGGAUAGGGCUUGGCUUUCCUUGAGGUGGUCCGGAUAGGAUAACUGCACCAUGCAUACCUUUAGGGGAAUCCGGAUGAUGAUGGUCCGGAUGAUAAUAUGUGCCACGCGUCACCAUGAACUGCGUGCCACGUGUUUCUCAAGGGGAGGGGUCCCUACAAAUUCGAAUCCACCUCGCUAUCAUUCCUGGAUGUUUGAGCAAUGGGUCUGGUCGAGCAGCCCGACCUGUGGACACUGGGAUCCUGGAGCACAGCGCUGUCCUUCUAGUUAAUAAGUUGGAAUCAUGGUUCGACUUGGUUUCUGUUCACGUCGUAGCCAUUUGCGAUUUGCUCAGUAACAAUGGUGACUUAAUCAUGGGCCGUGGGCUGCUUUCAAGACUUGGGCUUUUCAAUUGGAUUCGGCCCAAUUGGGUUUGGACUCAGGUGAUGAAUGAGCCGGCCCAAUCCGGAGAAUGUUGAAUUUAAAGUUUGGACCAUAUUAUCUGUUGGAAGUUCUGAUUUCUUAAAAUUUUUAUGUUUUUGAAGGUUUAAGGAGUGAGGACUUGAGUGUGAAUUCAUCGCAGAGCAUAGUUUGGUGGAAUGGCUGUGUACAUUCGCCUGAUUCUUUGUAAUAUUAUGUAAAAGAAAAAAAAAAAAUUUGAGAUUAAAGAAAAACACAUGACCAAGCUGAGUCGCAGAAAAGAAAAAAGAAUCAAGGCUUUUUAAGGCAGAAGACGGUGAUCUCCUCAGUUUCCAGUUUCCAGUUUCCGCCAUCCACAGCCAAAUCUCAUGGAUCCCCAUCAACACCAACCCAUUGGACAAGCAGACGAAACCUCGCCCCCUCCCUCCAACACCGCUGCCACUUCAUGCCGCUGCUGCGGCGGCCCCACCACAUGCCCACCUCCACCGGCAUGGUCCGACAUCUCUCCGCCACCCUCCUACCGCCCCAUCCGCGCCCCCGCCAUCAACCUUCCUCCUUCCAACUCUCAACAAGCUAUCAUCCUAGCCCCCGUUCCUCAAGCCCAGAAGACCCCCGUUGUCUCUCCGCCCUAUCUUUUCCAAAUCCCCGUCAAGCGAAUCCAGACCCCAGACGACAUUCGCCAUUUCCAUGACUCCGAUUCCGGCAAGAACUUCUUAGGUUUCGUCGUUUCCCUUAGCGAAUCCAUUCGCUCCCACAAAAUUUCCGACCCUUGCCACCAAUCACCAAUCCUCAAUUCUAUUCUCUCCAUCCUUCAAUCUCUAAUCGACUGGGUCGACGAAAUACCUCCCGUUCAACAAUCUUCCCGUUACGGUAAUCUCUCUUUUAGGGUUUGGCAAAGUCGGUUGUUCGAUAAUAGCGAGCAACUGAUGCUCCAAUUCCUCCCCGAUGAUCUGCGGUCAGCUACCGUCGAACUCGUCCCUUACUUUGCCGAUAGUUUUGGGAAUUCGAGUCGAAUCGAUUAUGGAACCGGUCAUGAGACCAAUUUUGCUGCGUGGCUUUAUUGUUUGGCUAGAUUAGGGUUGCUCAAGGAAGAGGAUUACCAGGCUCUUGUUUCUAGGGUUUUUGUGAAGUACCUUGAAUUGAUGAGGAAAUUGCAAUUCGUCUAUUGCCUUGAACCUGCGGGAUCCCAUGGAGUUUGGGGUCUGGACGACUAUCAUUUUCUGCCAUUUAUAUUUGGGUCGUCGCAGCUGAUCGAUCACAAGUAUAUGAAACCCAAGUCAAUUCAUAAUCAGGAUAUUCUGGACAACUUCUCCAAGGAGUAUAUGUAUAUUUCUUGCAUUGCAUUUGUGAAGCAGGUGAAGAAAGGCCUAUUUGCAGAGCAUUCCCCAUUGUUAGAUGAUAUCAGUGGUGUACCUAAUUGGAACAAAGUGAAUAGUGGGAUGCUCAAAAUGUAUAAAGCUGAGGUGUUGGAGAAGGUUCCAAUUAUGCAGCAUUUCCUAUUUGGGUGGCUCAUCAAAUGGUAUGAUCACUGUUAAUGAGUAAUUAGCCCUGUAUGUGAUUCAUGCAUUUUUAGUUCAUUAUAAGUCAUCCACACUUUGCAUCAUGUUUAAUUGGGAAUCUUAAAAUUAUUACGAGUUUUUAUGGUGUUUUAUGAGCAUAAUGGUUAUAUUUAUAUCGUCUAUAUCAGUAGCCUAUAUGGAUAUUUGGUGCUAAACCUGAUAUUUUUGGUCCCUGUAUAUUCAUCUAUUAUUUCAAUGACAAUGUUGGUUGAGGAACAACUCUAGUGUUGAUACCUUGAUCCAUGGGUUUUGUCAGGCUGAGACUUUCAUUAGCUAUUUGAUCCUCACCACCACUGAUUGCUAUACUGAUUUUUUUUUUACCUAUGAUUUCUGUCAUCAUUUUAUUUAAUGCAUAGAACCCUACUUGUUAGCUAUAUGAUGUAGAAGUGAUGCACUGAGUCAAUGUUCAUGAUGAAAUAGAACCAAAGAGAUUGGCAUUAUGUUGGGUUGGUCCAUUUUUUUGGAUUCAUUAACCAAGUUACUACAUAUGUUCCUUUGAUAUUUAUUAUUUGAGUAAUGGCCAUAAACACACACAUAUGUGUGUGUGUGUGUGCAUGUGUAUAUAUGUAUGUACAAACUACAAUAAAUAUCAGCCUUUUCAUAAAAAUUUUGCUUGAGUUUUCCUUCUCUCUGCACUUUUAACAUGUGUUAAUGUUUCAACAGUCUGCUUUAGUCCUCAUUCUAAGCUUGUUAAUGUGCCUUUACUUCAAACAUCUUUUCCCACCUUCUGAGUCAUUUCUUUUAAGUCAUGUAUCUCAUCUUAUAGAAAUUCAAGUGUAAUCUAAUGUCUUGAGCCAUUUUAAUUAUUUUAGUUUGAUUUGAUUUAAAAAAAAAUUUUAAUGAUCAAAACUUUCAAAUUAUAAUGCAUUUGGCUAGUGAAUAUUACUUAUAAGCCCAAUGUCUCUAGACAAAUAUAUCUGGGUUUUUAAUACAUCUCAUGAGUUCCAUUUGGUAUUCUAACCCUUUUAGCUAAGUGGUUGCAUUUCUACAUGGGAGGUCUGAGAAUCUCUGAAAGCUAAAACUAAAAUAAAGUGAUUUAGUUAGUUAGUGCUUAUAUUCUGACUACUGGUUGUGUAAUAAGGGAUUUUUUUUGUGGCCAUUUCGGAUAAUGGCAUAAUUUCCUAUGUUUCUGAGCUUUUCAAAAUCUCACCUAUCAACAACUUUCAUAUGAAACUCUGAAUGAAGUUUUUUUUUUAUAAUCAUUAAUGGUAUAUUUUGGUAAUUGAAUAGCUGAUACUACUUAUGGGACAGGCAGCACAGUGGAAUCCUGGUCAAACCCCCUCCAAAAACCCCAGAAAGGGAUGUCUUUAGAACUGUAAUAGAAAAGAGAAGACAUUUUGAAGCUAUUAUAACCAUAUUAUUGCAUGUUACUUCAAUCCAUUGGGAGAUUUGAAGAACAGGUGUUCCAAUACUGAAACUGGUGCUUGAUGAGCAUGACGGAAUCAGUUCUAGGAUGGAUAAAACUGCAGGCUCACACACAGAAACACACCUGUGCACACAGUGAACAUGUGCACAUGUGCAAACACACAUUUGGUUGGUCUCCCCCAGUGGGUGUACUUCUGUAUGAUGAGAUCAAUGAGGACAUAUUGUGUCUUUGUUCCGGAUCCUGACCAUCUUAGUCCCAUACAAUUUGGUCCAAGUUGGCUUACAAUUACCCAAAGCCACAUAAGAACCACUUUGUGGCUUGCAUGAUAUUUGUGACAAUGAUUAGUAAAGGCAUCUUCUUUAUGGGGUCUUUGGGUUCAUCUUGGAGUCCUCCAUUUUGACUUGAUGUGUCAUCUAUAGCUACUUCAAGUAGGGAAUUGCCUACAUAGAGAUAUACAUUACUAAUUCGAUUAAAGUCUACAUUGCUCUCAACAUAGUGAAUCUAUUUCAUUCAGGAUAUGGCUUUGUCAGAACUGAUCAUCUUGCAAUUAUGCGUAUUGUUCAAACUUUUAUUUUUGGAUCUUUAGAACCUUGUUCAUGUAACUUUUGAUUUGUCUUCUAAUUUUUUCAUUUCUUGGAUUAUGACUUGCAAAGUGUCUGAUUGUUGUUUAAUUUUUAAGCCAUGCAUCUGGCAUAUUUUUUUCAAUGUCAUGAAUGUUUGAAAAUCCUGGCUUACAUAUGCAUAUAGGUUUUAGCACAUCAAGUGCUACCCUGAUUGGUCAUGGGUAAAUACAGGUAAUUGUGAUUCAUAGAAAAGGAUGAUAUGAUUCUUAAAACAUUGUCCAUUUUCUGUUGUUCAAGAAGAUUGAUAAAUUCUUUGUUAUUUAUAUUUUCCCCAGGGACUAAUUUGGUGUAUCUGCUCUGUUGAAACAUUUUCUGUGGAACAAAGAGAGUUCAUUUCCCACUAUGCUUUACAGAGAUGUAAGAAUGAAAAAUUAUUAAACCGGAAUCAUCUGUACUUCUUGGAUAGUAUAUAGAGUUUGAGUUCUCUGUUUCUUUAUGAUGUAUUUGCUUUCGGCUAACACAGAUCUAUUUCUGCAUUUUUUUUGUUUAUGAUAUUUGACAUCUUAAUGGAAAUCAGGCAGUUUUCUUUUUUUAAUAGCCAAGUAUUGAAACUGCAGAAUUUUUACAUUUGAUAUUGAUGUAAUAUAAAAUCCUAUGGAAAGACAGUAAAUUUUUCAAGUUUCCCCUGAAGCUUUGGUUUGGUUUUAAGACAAAUGUAUUUAUAAGCUUAGAAAGCAAUAAUUAAAAUGUGAUGCAGCUGCACAUUCUCAUCUGUUGAUAUGCAAAUAAUGUGAAAGCAAGUAAUUGCAAGUUUAUGUUGUACACCAUGUUUUGAUUUUGAGACUGAUGUAUUGGGCACAAAACAUUACUUAAUACUAGCUAAACUGCCUGUGGUAAUGAAGGAGAAUUGCCGAACAAGUUUCAAGUGUGACAAGCAGUGUCAUAACCUCAACUUGCAAUCUUGUCUGAUGUUUCUUACCUUAGUUGAUUUUCUUGUUUUAUUGGCCAUCUACCAGUUGGAGUCUAUGGUUUCCAAACUCCUCUUCAUUCAUUUAAUUCUUUGAGACUAAUGGAUUCACCUUCUCUAUUCUUAUUUUCAAUGGCAAAGAUACUCUUCUUUGUUUACUAUUCUACAAAAAAUUAGACAUUGUAUUUCAUCUUGUAUCAGUACCUAAUUUGAAAUGACUGACUUCCUUUACUCUGCAAAUUUUAGAUUAUUAUGCCAAGUGAAUUUCAGGCUCAAAACUUCCACAAGGUUGGUUUUAGGAUUUUGAGUUUGACUUCCAACUAGAUUCUUGCUAGUUUUGGCCUUUGGAAUUCCAUUUGUUAGUAGUUUGUGUCAAUAUAAACUAUAUGACUCCUCUUGGUUACUUAAAACCUCCAAUUCAGUUAGCCAACAUGCAUUAUUAUAGAACCCAGCUUUUGUUGUGGUACCCAGUUUUAGUGCAGAGGAUGGCUUGAACUUGAAUUUUUGUACUGGAAUGGAGGUUUUCUGUGAAUAUAAACAAGUUGUGCUCCAUUGGAUUGCUGUGUUCUCUGAAUGAAUUUGGAUCUCUGCCAGCUCCAAUGAAAUCUUGUCUCCUAGUCAACACUGGUAAUAGACCUUGUAGUUGUUCUGAUGAUUUAUUAUUUUGUUUGCAGAAUGUGAUAAAUGAAGAGACCUAAGGGUUCCUAGUUAGGUUAUAGGAUGAAGCAUUUAGUUUGUAGUUUAACAAUUGAAAAUUCUUGAAGCUUUGGAUCCAUGUCAUAACUCAUGUCAAUUAAAACACCCAUAGAUAUGUCAAGAAGAUAAUGAAAACAAAGGCAAGUAGGAAAUUGUUCACAUACCUGAAAAGCCACCUAUAAUACACAUUCAUUGCCCUGCUGCAUAGUUAGUUUCUCUAUCAAAACCCCACCCAGUCCUAUUUAUGGUGUCUUUUGUUUUUGUUUAAGCAGUUACUAAAAAUGCUGGUUCUUUUCUAUGUUUUUUCGCAUAAUGUUUUUACUUCAUCUGUUAACCCCUAGCUUGCCAACAAGGGUCGUUCUUUAUCACUACAACUACUAGUCCUAGAUGAGUCUGUUGCUGCUGUUGGUUUUUUCAUUUUAAAAGCUGCUGGCAUUUUCGGGUUUCAUUAUAGGGUAUCUUUGCAUAUAGUUAUUGAAUAUAGGAAGCUAUUUUAGGUACAUUAUAGUUUUAAUGCUUCAUAUUGGAUUGGUUUAUGCGUUGGUGUCAUUUCACCUUAACCUCUCUUACUUGGUUGCAAAGAAAACUGGAGGAAAAUAAUAGCAAAUGAAACAUUGAUUUUUAUGCUUUUUAUUUUUACAAUUUUUUAAUGUUCUUUUAGUUUCCAUGUGAUGGAAAAAUUCACCACACAUGAAUUAGAUUGUUAUGUUAGGAUACCAAAUGGAGGUUUAUGGUCUCUUUUGUCCCAAUUAAUGCAGAAUGUAGGAUUUGAAGUUUCAUAUCUUAUCUUUUGUUUUGUUUUCUUUGCAAUCAAAUGGAUCAUGUAGCGUGAUUGCCUUUUUUUUUUUUUUGCAAGAUUUAAAAAUGAAAACAUAUUAGCUAACAGAUUAUGGUAACUGAGCUACUAGAAUCUUUUGUAUUUGUUGCUCACUUGUUUCAAGCUGGAUUCAAUUUUGGGAAAUAACUGAUUGUGUUUACUUCUUACUGAUAAAAUUUAGGCAAAUGAUUGUAUUUAGGUUCUGAUGUUGUAAAUGGAUUGUAAGGUUCAAAUAAGAAAGAUUAUAAGAUCAAAUUGAGCCGUCUCAAAAUUAAAAAAUAGUCAAACAAGUGGAAUUUAAUUGUAUAAAUAUAUUCUUAGCAUGUGCAAGCUAACAAGGGUAAUUCCUUUGAUUCUCAAGGGACUGACUUUGGCCUCAGGACUUCUUAUAAAGACACAAUUGCUAAGUGGUUUCUUAUAACUCCUAAAAUGCUCGAAAAGGUUUUCCCUUUUGGUUCCUAAAAUCAAGAUGUGGGCUGAUUAGUUAAAGGACUAUUUUUUAUUUUUUUUUAUGUAAGUUGCUGAUUAAUUAAAGGACUUUGUUCUUUUGAGUAAUUCAUGGCCCAUAAAAUUGUUGUAUGUGUUGCAUAUGGAUGCUGAAAUUGUUUUUUCAUGCUUUUUUCUCUAAAAAACUAAAAAAAAAAAAUCCCUUUUUGGUGUUCUUUUAAAACCAAGUUUUGGUAUUUGAAUUUUGAAAUUUAUGGUUUAAAAAUUUGGAUAUGUUCUCUCCUUCUUCUAAGAUUGCAUGUUGAUUCUGAUCACCUAUGAUUUAAUAGAGGACACAGGGUCCUAUGUAGUUGGGGUGGUAGGCGGUUUAAAACUAAAUUCAAGGCAAUAGAGAUUUUUGGGCCUUUGUAGCAGUGAAGAAUACAGAGGCUGAAAUCACUUGCAUUCAAAUUUUGAAGCGAUUCUUGUUCUCUAUUAGGAAGUUUUGAGCAUUUAGAAUGCUUUCAACCAUUUUAUUAUUAUCAUUAAUGGUGCGAGGGAAUUAGGAAGUUUUGAGCAGCUAGAAUGCUUUCUACCAUUUUUUUUUGGGAAGUUUUUAAUAAAUAAAUGUAAUUGCCACGAAAUUGAGAUGAGCGCUUUUUACCUUUGUCAUCAUUUGACAGGGAAAAAAAUAAAAAGCCCACUUGUACCUGUCACCUUAUAUUUGGUGGUGUGAAAAUGAAAAUCAGUUGGAUGGCAUACCAAAUGGUGUGCUUGAGCUUUACUCAAUUCCCACCAACAAGUGGGUUAACCUUUUUCCAUGUAGGUUUGUUGGCAGCAUUAUUUUUUGGGAAAACAUUUGCAUGGUGCACCAGUAACAGCCACAGUUUUUACGCAUGCGGAACUUGCUCCUGGAUUUUGCCUUUUUACAUCAUUUACUUAACGGAGGAGAUAUUUCUACUUCUCUUUGUCGUUACUUUCUCCCACAAUGUUGAACUAGUUGCUCCCCUUCGUUUUAAUGCCUUCUUCACAUCUCACUGCUUCGUGGAAGUUAUCUCAAGAUUGUAAUUCCACCAUAUAUAUAUAUAUAUAUAUGGCAUCGAUUUCAGUCAUAGUUGAGAUCAACUCGAAGUCCUAUGUUAUAUCUAUGCUCUUUCAGGUUCACAGGGAAGUGCUUUUAGAUAUGGUUUCCCAUUAAAUUUCAUUUGAUUUUAGAACGUGGGUUCCUUUGUUCCUGGGUCUGCCAUCAAUCCAAGCUCUUGGUAUUGGUGGCCUCACACAUAAGUCAAUCGGUGAAAGUAAUAUUUGAUAAGGUUGGUCGAGUCUUGAUGUUCCUUAUGUAACAAUAAUCGUCAUUUAAAGGAAAAUUCUUUAUAAGCAUUUUUAUUAUCAAAAAUAUUUUUGAAAUGGUAAUGAAGAAUGGGUAUCCUGAUUUAGCCCUCAUGGAACCCGGGAUAGGACUGCAUUCUAAUUUUUUUCACUAGGAGGAAAUUUCGUUUUUAUAUAUUGUUAUUUUCUAGUGGUAGUUCUAUUUCUGCUCAAUUAGUGUAUAGCUUUCAACAAUCAAUAUUCGUUUCCAUUUUAAGGUUUUUAAAGAUGAAAUCAUAAGGCGUGAUGGAGAAGAGAAGUGGAUGCAGGUGGAACGAGGCCCAAUAUGCCACUACCGCCCAAGCUGCAGGCCAAGAGUUUUGGUACGUGAUGUCAAAACAGAACAGAUGUGAUCUCAAAAAAAAAAAAAUGCACUAUAUGUAAAAUCAAGGAUAUUUUGUCCAUCGGGGUGGGUGGGUAUAUUAACGUAGCGAAGCUCUUUGCUGUUUCACGUAAACAGCUCCCUCUUUUUAUUCAAACUUUAGAAGCAGCUUAUUUAAAUGAGUUGGUCUCCUGAUCUAAUCAUUUUGAGCUUUGUAGUUGUUGAGACUAUUGAAAAAUAUUUGAAAGUAUAUGGUAAAUAAUUUAAAUGCAGGUGGGGGAAACAUAUAUGAUGUAAAAUUUUGUCAAAUAUCCAGCAUCCAUUGGAGUUGCAUUUGAAUAGGAAUGUAGGAUUUGGGGGAUAAUAAAGACGACCCCGUCCCCACUCCCCCACUCCCACUCCUACUCUCACAUACAUAGUUUGCGUCUCCCGCAAGUGAAUUGGAAAAAGGACGAAUCCAUGUCCCACUUUUUUACUAUUUUACCUGGAAAAGUGUCAUUCCCUCUGUUCCAAACGACCCCACGCCCCACCGGUCACCGGUGCUCACCACUCACCACAACCACCUUUUUUUUCCUUUUUCUUUUUAACUCAACUCCAAUGUUAACCAUUUCGUAAAUUUAGAGAGUGAUGUAGCUGCUGAACCUCUUAAAUUAAAUCUUAAUGAACAACGGCUUUACCACCACUCAUCCACAUCUAAAGUCUUGGUUAAAGCUCCAUCUUCUAGUAAAAAUCCAUGUUCAAAGUCAGAUCAAAAUAGCGUUGGAAGUUGGAACCAUCAACUACAGUCUCAUCCUCUCUAUUAAAGACUGGUCAAUAACCAGCAAAACCAGAGUCUGAGUUCAAAUCGGUUUUAGGAGAUUCGGCUCUGACACCGAUAUUACCCUUUUUACCCUUACUCCUCCUAACCUACCACUCCUGUCGGUGCCUUCCUCCUUGGGACCCUAUUUGGAACUUGCAACCAUCUCUCACUGCCUCCCUGUUCCCAUUUCUCCUUCUCAACACCCAUCUUUCAUUGAAACGUGUAAAAGUAUAUUUCCAAUGCUGUUAUUAAAAUCUCUUACUACUAACACCAAUUUCUCACAUUUUCAGUAUCACGAUAAGAAGUAAGAACCACCCGUUUCUUAUUUUGCUCCAAACUAUAUAUAUAUAUACACACACGACCUUUUUCCCUCAUACGUUUUGUGGCUUUACUUUAUUUUAUCCUUGGGCGCUGUGGUUUAUGGCACGCCUGCACUGAGGCUAUGAGCUGGAGUGUAAGUGUAGUUUUAUAGCCUUCUUUCCCCCUUAUCCUUUUCUCUAUCUCUUUCUCUCUUAUCUAUGUCCUUCUUUGAUUCCUCCAUAUAUCCAAAGAGGAAAAAAGGGACAAAUUUUGGAUGAAAAUCUCACAUCUUGGGAGUAUAUGUAAUCCUUAUUUUCUCAUUCUUUUUCCUAGAUUUUAGUCCAGCUUGCCCACAUUAUCAAUGGAGUUGUUGAAACAGUUUUCCUUUAAAAUAAAUAAUAAAUGCAGUGUCUUCGGGGGUUUUCGUUUAUUUUCCCCCUCAUCUUCUUCUUCGUUUCUUCUGUAAGAUAAAUGCAAUGCUUCUGUGAACACUUCCACUGGAAAAUGGUUUUCAAGCGCAGUUUUCUCAUCCGGGUGAAUGCUUUUGAUCGAUGAAACUGGUGGAUAGCUUUCUUUCUGUGCUUUCAGUAUUGAUUUAUUGUCCGGCUUUGCUAUCAUCCUGAUAUGGGUUUUCCGUUAGUUUCUUUUAUUCUUCCACAAAGUUUAAAUCUUUGCUUUGUUAUUAUUAUCAGAAGAAAUGCUUUUCCCCCCUCCUAUUCUUGUGCAAGCUUCGUUGAAAUAUUUAUGGAUAUAUGUUUUUUGGCCUAUUUACUCGUUUAACCCAUCGUUUUCCCUUAUUUGUGGAUCAUGACUUCUUGAUAUUUGCUCUCGGUUUACAUGGAUUCAUAGUCUAUUUUAGGCGGGAUCAUUUGUAUUUACAGUGAAAUUGUUUUCCCCUCUGUGUUCUUCAUUUUUGAAGGAAGAAUAGAUGGAAGAGGAAAGUGAUAUUCGGCGCUGGGACGAGCUAAUACCCGAUGCUUUGGGUCUAAUCUUUAGAAAUCUUUCACUCCGGGAAAUACUGACUGUGAUUCCCAGGGUCUGCAAAUCAUGGGACGAAGCAGUGAAAGGGCCUUAUUGCUGGCAAGAGAUAGACAUUGGAGAAUGGAGUGACCAAUGGCCGGAGCACCUUGAUCGCAUGCUUGAAAUACUAAUCAGAAGAAGCUGCGGUUCCCUCCGCAAGCUCUGCGUUUUCGGUCUCCAAAACGACAGGCUUCUCUCUUUCAUUGCAGAACAGUGAGUAGAAUUGCACUCUCCAUGUUUGAAAGCGUUGAUGCCUUGCUUUUAAUCCUUAGCUUAGGAAGAACUUUUGGAAAACCAUUAGUCCAAUUUUGAUCCCAUUUUGGUACGCUUACACCAAUUUACUGGUUCAGAUAACAAUUUCUUGAACCAAUUAGCCUAAUUUGAUGCUUUAUUGGAGAGCAUUCCCAAUUGGAGGAUUUAGGCAGAAAUUAGAUAAAUCCUUUAGUCCAUAUUUAAAAAUUCACUGGAUCAGAAGAAUUCCAAGUCGAUCCACUGUCCAAUUUUUUUGCUUUCAUAGUUGGGUUGCUUGUUUGAUCCACACUUUGGUGAUUUCGCAUGUUAUUGUCUUUGUCUUUUGGUUUUGUAAGUGCUGGUUCUCUUCAGACCCUGCAACUGAUAAGAAGCGAAAUAAGUGAUUCUCUAGUGGAAGAGAUUGCUGGAAGGUUUUCAACACUCACUUUCUUGGAUGUGAGUUGCUGCAAUAAAAUGGGCAGCCGAGCUCUUGAGGCCAUUGGAAAGAACUGCAAAUCGCUUGUGGGGCUGUGCCGGAACAUGCACCCACUAACUACUGCAGGCAAGCUCUCGCAGGAUGAGGAGGCUCACGCCAUUGCCACCACAAUGCCCAAGCUCAAGCACCUUGAGAUGGCUUACCAUCUUCUCAGCACAAAAAGUGUUCUUGAGAUCCUCUCGUGCUGUCCCGAGCUUGAGCUUUUGGAUUUGAGAGGGUGUUGGCAUGUGGAACUUAACGUGAAGUUCCUCAAAGAGAAGUUCCCAAAAUUGAGGGUCUUGGGGCCUGUUGUUGUGGACUACUGUCGGUAUUAUGAAAUGAAUGAAUGUGACGAUUACUCGGACUAUGAUGAGAGUUCAGAUGGAACAUGGGAUGAUGAGGGCGGGCUGGAAGAGCUAGAGGUGCGAUUCUAUGAAGGAUUUGGCGAGCAUCCAGAGUAUGGUUGGCCUACAUCUCCUUAACUCUACUGUCUAGUACUUGGUUAUCUGAUGCUUCUAUUUCUCUUUACUUCCAUAUCCUAUGUUUUAAUGGAAAUGCAGUGUGGUGUUUGUUUCUCUGUCAUUAUUAAGCUCAUAGAGCUAAAUCUAAAACAAGCUUAAACUCACCCAGAAUAGAAUAUCAUGCAUAGAAAUUGAGCCUGGAAGCUAACAACCAUAAAACUAACUCUUCAGUUUAAUUCUUUUCAUGGCCAAGCACAAAUUUCUGAUUAUUACCCUGCGGACUAAAAGGGUCCAGAAUUGCCCAUCUUAUUUUGAAUUUGAAGGGAGAGGUUGGCCCUACUAAUAUUUCUAUAGGAUGGAUAACAGGUAAUCACUGCCCAUCGGGUUCCCAAGUGCUCAAUAUUCUUCUUCAAUUCUCAUCAAACGUCACUCAGAAGAGACAUUCACCAUAUUAUAGCAUAUGGGUCUCAACUCUAGAUAGUCUGCCAACUAGCAGAGUCAACAUAGAAGGCAAAUUCAUCCCCAUCUGACUGGGGUUAAAGAAUUCUCUUACGGCAUCUUUCAGAAAAAUGCUAAUUGACACACUAGGAAUAUAUGGAUGAUAAAAUCGAAGUAGUGCAUUCUGAGUCCAAGCAAUGCCUGAAAAAAUAUUGAACAGUUAUGGGUGGCUGGUUGAGACAGAGUACUUGAUGGGUUGGCUUGCCGUGCAGGUUAAUAAAAAUAUAUGCAGAGUCCUCAAUGUGCGCGCAUAAACUCGGGAGGCGCAGGCAGAGAUAGUGAGGGGCGCUUAUUUUGUGUGCGCCUAAUGCUCCUAGGAAUGUCUAUCAAACAUGUUCGUUUGUACAUUUGUUUGUGUUUAUAUUAUAUGUUUGUUGUUUGCUAAUCAUGAACUUAGGAGGAAGGGAUUCCAACUUUAUAUUACCUAGUUCACAGUCACAUGAUCACAUGUGAUUCAUGUCUUUGGAUCUUGUACCCCACCAUUUCAAAAUUUCUUGAUAUCCGCGUUUGACCAAACAGUUGGACAAGCCACUCUCAAAGUAUGUGUUGCACGUGUUGGAGGGAAAUUUUUGAAUCUAUUCUGAAGCAUGACAGUAAUACCAAGACUUCUUUAGAUGGAAAAAUAUACUUGCAAUGACCCAUAAGCUAUGGGCUUCCAAAAGUAUAGCUGAGAUUAGAUAAUGUUAGAAACAGGCUUAAGGUUGAAUUCAAUCAUCCGCCUAUGCUAUGCAUAUCCGAAUCGAGUCACCUUAAAGAUACCAGAAUUUUAUUGAAAUAUUGGCUUUUCCCAAGAUGCAGAUGAAAACCUUGUCUCUUAAUCAUCAUUGCAAUGGAUGGAAUUCAGUUCAUCUUUUUCCUCUCUUUUCCUGAAUCAGGCUCUGGCCAUGGACCCACCACCAACUGCAGCCCCUGUUUGUAUGUACCUUACGGUGGUUGUCGCUUUUUGUAAGGGUUUUUCAUUUUUGAAUGGGAGUAAUUGAGGACGUGUAAUGGCCCUACCCAGACGUGUAUUGAGAAGUUUGAUGAUAUCGAACAGCGGUCCCUCGUCCCUCCUUUCCAUCCCCGGAUACCCGUGCAUUAACAUGAUAAAUCGAAGGAGAGGCAUGCACAGACAGAUGAAGAGUACCCCAUUAACUGUGGGACGACCUUUUUGGAGAGACAUUGAGCGAGCUUUACAUCAUGGAAGCAACCACAUUCACCAAUGGGUUGCUGAUGCCCACAUAUUUCUAUAUGACAGCUAAUAUUACAAACACAUUCUUGGAAUUAAUAUUACAAACUGCAAAAAUAUCCAGGAUAUGAGUACUUAUUUCCCUACCAAAGGGUCGAUUUUGAUCAUUUGGUACUGUGGUCCCCCUCCUCCAUAUUGGAAGAUUCUCCCCCUUUUAGUUCCUACUCUUCAAUUUCAUUCUCCGUCACCAUAAGAAAAUCAUUGGUGUUCAAAUAGUGCUCCAGGUCAACCAAGGCAAAGGAAGUAAAUAAAUGGAGGAAAAACAUAUGGAACUGGAAGUCUCAAAAGAAAGAGCGGAUGAUGAAAGGGCUCCUGAUAUCAAAUUGGAGUCAUCUGUCGUGGCUAUAAUUAUCUGUGCUCCCAGAAGGCUUCAGUUUCAGCCUUUCAGGUCAACAAUCAAGAGGGGCUUGUUGGCAACUGGGAGUUGGUAUUUGAUGCUAAUUAGCAAUUAAUUACAAGCCAUGUGCAUGCAUCUGCAUAGCCUGUGCGAAACAUUUAUGGUACAAGGACAGCAUGGCUUCAUCAAUAUUCUCACAACUGUUUUUGCAUUACCCCUUGGAGGUGUUUUAGAUAAUCUCAAUCUUAUAGGAGGUGAUGAAGGAAAUUGGGAUCGUACCAAGAUUAAUUGUUUUACGUCUCUAUUGUAUGAAGCUGGUUUUUAUCUUGAAUUGGCGUGGUGUAUAAAAAUUAGAAAUUUUUUAACCAUCUUAUGAAAAAGUAGUCAUUAUUAUGUGAAAUGUAUUAUUUCAAUGAAAUUAGUAGUAUUUAAGAAGAUAUAUCCCAACCUCGUUCUUGUUAUUAAGAAAACUAGUGUAAACUUUCAAAAUCUUCAUGAAUAUGUGAUUGACAAGAACCUUCAAAACAAAAGACGUAAUAUUUGUUAAGUGGUUGAAAAAUAAAUUUGUUGAAUUUAUCAAACUAAUGAAAGAUUCAAAUUAAAAUUUGAUGGUUUAAGGAUAGAUGAUAAAAGUAACCCAGAACAAGUUAUUAGAGAAUAUAAUGAAAUCAUAAAAAUAAUAAGUAGGCAAAAGAUGAUGUUGGUUUGUUAAGAACAAUGAGUUUUUAAAUCUAGGAUUGAAGGCGAUCAAAAAACAAUAAUAGAUUGUUAUAAUAAAAAGAUUAAUAUUUCUAAUUUUAUUAUAUUAUUAAUAUAGGACAUUUAAAAGUUAAUUCAAGAUUUAAAUAUUUACAAUUAUUAUUGUAUUUAUAAGGAAAUAAAUAGAACAAGAGAUUUGUAGUAUUUCAAUUAAAGUUUUGAGACAACGGAAUGCUUUAAAUUAUGAUAUGUUCUCUUAAAAUUUUGAUUUAUGAAUUAAUUUUUGCAUAUUGAUUUAGAUCCUAAUAAUAUUUUGAAUAAAAUUAUUGAUCUAUCAAUACAAUUAGUUUGAUUAUUGAAAUACUUUCUAAUUAUUUUAUGUAUAAAUUACUCCACACUUAUAAAAUCAAAUGUACGAUAUAUUUAAGAAAUAUAUAACUUUAAAUUAUCUCUUUCAUAUUUGUUUUGUUGUGUUAUAGAUGUUUUUAUUGCUUUUACAUAACUUAUUAAGGUAAGUCAUCAUUGAUGACUAAUAUUUUUCCGUUAAUUUUAACUAUUUCUCUAUGAUAAUAUUUUUUCAACUGUAUAAAGGAGAUGUAUUAAUGACAUGUUUUAUGACUUGUUAUUUUGAUAAAAUUCUUGUCUUAUUAAUUGCACAACAUUGAUAACAAACAAUGUUAAUAUUAUAUCAGGUGAUAGAAACUUGAUUAAAGGCUCUAGAAAAGUUUAUAUUAUGUUAUUAGUAGUAUUUGAUUAUAUGUGAAUGACACUUUAUACUAUGCUAGAUUCAGAAGAAUCUUAUAAGACCAACCCGGUCCCCCAGAGUAAACAAUGAUACAUUAAUUCAUUGUAAAGUCAUAUGAACAUACAUUAUAAAAAACUAGAAGUUUUUAUUUAGUGAUUAAUCUACUUAUAUACUUGAAAGAUAGAAUAACAUGUUGUGCAGAUUAUCAUUUUAAUGAGACAAAUUUCUAAUCUUUAAGGAGAGAAGAGCCAGUUCUAGAUAUGGUGUGAAAUUAUUUGGAAUGUAUUGACUUUGACUUAUCUUGAUCCUCAUACUAAUAAAUUUAAACUGGAAGUUCAAAAGAUUAUUUAUUUGCAAGAACUUGUAAAUCAACUACCAAAUGCUUUAAUUGAUGCAAAUAAAGUGACAAAAUCAUUUUUACUGACUUAGAAUAUUCUAGUAUGAAUUGGUGUCCCUAGAAGACAAUUAAAUAAUGUGUUGAUGUCCGUGAAAGACAAUUAAAUAAUGAGUUGAUGUCCCUGAAAAACAAUUAAAUAAUAAGUCUAAGGCGCGCUUGAAGCAUGGUAGACCCUAAAGAGAUAAACAUAUUCCCUAGAAAAGGAAAACACAAGGAAAUAUACAUGAAAGGUGACACUCUUGAAGAGUUGCAUAUAAAAUGGGUUAUUAAAAUGACUGAUCAGUCUCAAGUAGUCCUUGAAGAGACAUAGUUUAAAUAAGUAGCCCUAGGAGAGACAUAUGUUUUACAAUUAGCUCCUAAAAAGGUACAAGUACCUAAUAAUGAUGAAAUCUCAAUUAUCUACUUGUAUAUGGAGAAAAAUGGGAUUGAAAUACUUUUUGUCAUUAACAAUAUAUUUUCUUUCCAAGUGACUAUUGGUAUUAUAAGAAAUGAUGAGGAUCCCAAAUUAGAAACUAUGGAUGAAUGACAACAUAGAAAAUAUUGGUCAAAAUGGAAAGAAUAUAUCAUAACAAAAUUAAACACAUUAGAAAAAUGUGAAGUAUUUGGACCUGUAGUCCAAACACUUGAAAUAGUCAAACUUGUUAGAUAUAAAGGAAUAUUUAUAAGAAAAUAUAAUAAGAAAAAUGAAAUAAUGAGAUAUAAAGCGUGACUCAUAGUUCAAGGUUUCUUGUAAAGACCUAAUAUUGACUAUGAGGAAACAUAUUCUCCUAUAAUGGAGACAACUAUAUUUAGAUAUCUAAUUUGUUUAGCAGUCUCAAAAGGACUGAAUUUGCGUCUCAUGGAUGUUGUUACUGCAUAUUUACAUGGACAUUUAGAUAAUGACAUAUAUAUGAAAAUCCCUGGAAGAUUUCAAAUGCUUGAAAAAACUAAUUCAAAACAUUAUAGCAUAUAAUCAAUUAAGCUACAAAGAUCAUUGUAUCGAUUAAGUAAUCCAAAGACAAGUGGUACAAUCACUUCAAUGAAUAUUUGAAACAGAAAGUAUAUAUGUAAUACCUCAUUUGCCUAUGCAUAUUCAUUAUGUUGAAUAUUUAUAAUUGUUAUAGUAUAUGUGGAAUAUUUGAAUUUUGUUGGAACUCUUAAAGAGCUUACAAGAAUAGUUGACUAUUUGAAAAGUAAAUUUGAAAUGAAAGAUUUUGGAAAACAAUAUUUUUGUCUUAGUCUACAGAUUGAGUACUUUUCAAAUAAAAUGUUAGUUUAUUAGUCAACAUAUACAAAGAAAGUCUUGAAUCACUUUCAUAUGGAUAAAUCACAUCCAUUAAUUUCUUUGAUGAUAGUUCAUUCACUUGAAGUGAAAAAAACCUCUUUUGUCCUAAAGAAGAUAAUGAAAAACUACUUGGUCCAAAAGUACCAUAUCUCAGUAUUAUUGGUGCAUUGAUAUAUCUUGCAAAUUAUAUAUGACUAGAUAUUGUAUUCCUUGUUAACUUGCGAGAUAUAAUUUUACAUCAACUCAGAGACAUUGAAAUAGUUUCAAACAUAUACCACAAUGACAUGGGUUUAUUUUAUUUGAAAGGAUCAGAAUCUCAAUUGUUUGUAUAUGUAAAUGUUUACUAUCUUUCAAAUCCCCAUAAAACUCAAUCUCAAAUGAAGUAUGCAUUUAUCUAUGGUGGUACGAUAAUAUCGUAGAGAUCAAUCAAGCAAAUAAUGGAAACAUGUGGACUACCCUCCAUAAGAGGUAAUGCUACCAAGUUAAUAAUGUUGCAUACAUUGCACAAAUUAAAGAAUGAUAUAUUAAGGGUGAUAGAAUCAAGCAUAUAUCGCGGCCCAAGUCUUUUACUUUAAUUAAAUCUAAUAGAGUGAUGAAAUUGUUAUUCAACAAGUAAGAUCAAGUAACAAUUUAGUAAAUCUAUUCACAAAGGCGUUGUCAACUGCAAUCAAGGAGGAAAAAUUUGAAUAACAAUUUGUGAAUAGAUUUACUAAAUCUAUUCACAAAUCUAUUCGCGUGUCGACGAGGAGCGAAACGACAUUUGGAGGAGAUAAGUCGGCGGGGCGAUUUUUCGCUAAAAAUCACCAAAAAAUCGGCGAUAUAUCGCCGAUAUAUCAAAGAUAUAUUCAAGGGUGGUGCAAUUAAAGAAACGAUGGGACGCUUAAUCAGCAAAUUCUUCAUUUAUGAGAGUGUCGCAUCCGCAAAAGCAAAGUCUCAUCACUUCAAGAAUAUGAUUAUUGGUGCACAAUAAGCAAGUAAUUACUAAUUUAUCAAAUGUUAUAUUGUGUUAUACUUUUAGUAAGUACAGUAUUUUGUGACAUGUUUUACAUAUGAAGUGCAGGAAUGGGAAUCGAACCUCCAUUUCCAUAUGAAAUAAAGAACAAAUACUUGGAAAUGGAGUACAAAGAAAUGUAAGCUUAUGUGAACUAACAAAGGGAAAAAUGGAAGACAUAUGGGUGCACAAUAAUGUUAGAUGGAUGGACAGGGCCCAUUAUUAAUUUCAUGGUUUAUUCUAAAGGGACCACAAUGUUCCUUAAGUCAGUCGAUGCAUCGAACUAUAUCAAAGACCACAAGUAUAUAUAUGAGCUUUUGAAGACUAUUAUCAAAGAAGUCGGUAAGGAAAAUGUGGUCCAAAUUAUCACAGAUAAUGGGUCGGCAUUCAUGAAAGCAGGGAAACAAUUGAUGAAGAAGUAUAACUUAUAUUGGACUCCGUGUGCGGCGCACUGCAUCAACUUAAUAUUUGAAGACAUCGGUAAAAGACCUAGUGUUAUCGAGGUGAUAAACAAUGCUCGCAAGAUAACUAACUUCAUUUACAAUCAUGGUUGGUUACUAGCACAAAUGAGAAAGUAUUGUGGUGGAGACAUUGUUCGAUCAAGAGCUACAAGGUUUGCUACCAAUUAUAUUGCUCUUGACAGUCUUCUCAAAAAAAUGGUUGAUUUGAAAAAAUUGUUUAUGAGUGAUGAAUGGGCACAACACAAACUUAUUCGAACAAAACUUGGACGAGAAUUGGAGCAAUUAUUGUUUGACCAUAUGUAUUGGGACAGAUUGACAAAUAUAGUUUCAUUAUAUGAGACAUUAUACGUGGUGCUUCGACUUGUGGAUUCUGAAGUUGUUCUCACAAUGUCAUUUGUGUACGAGCUUAUGCACGUGAUGAAAGAGAACCUUAUUCGUCAAGGAGCUGGAGAUUGGAUGUUCAAAAUAAUACAAGAUCGUUGGGAGAAAACACUAAAACAUUCACUUCAUGCAGCAGGUACUUAAGUACUAUAUAUAUUUAUAAGUUUUUAUUUUGUAUUUAAGUUUCUUUAAAAAAAAAAUAUUAACUCUACUAAAUUUUAUUGUAGCAUACUUCUUGAAUCCAAGAUUUCAAUAUAGGCAUGGAGUUGGUAGUGAUCCGGAACUACUUCAAGCUGUCCAUGAUGUUUUUGCAAAAUUAGAUCCAACUACUGAAUCGCUUGGUCAAUUUGGAAAUGAGGUGAAUAAAAAAUUGUUAUUUUUGUCAAUAAAACAAUAAUUUCAUUCAUCAAUUUAUUUGAACGUUUACUAACAAAUUAAAUGUUGAAUACAUAGCUUGUACUUUUUCGAGAUGCAAAAAGAGGAUUCAGUGAUUGAGCGGCAAUUGCAUCAAGGUCAACCAUGGUGCCCGGUGAGUCUUUAUAGGAAAAAAUUGAUUAUUAUUAUUAUAAAUUCACCACAUAAGUAUUUAUAUGAUUAUCAAAUUCGUUGCAGCUGAAUGGUGGUUUAUGUAUGGGAAUCAAACACCUACAUUGAGAAAGUUAGCCAUCAAAGUUCUCUCACAAACUGCGUCAUCUUCUGCAUGUGAGAGAAAUUGGAGCACGUUUGCUCUCAUCCACACAAAGCAACGAAAUCGUUUGACUUACCCUCAAUUGGAGCAAUUAGUUUUUUGUUAGUAUAAUAUGAGGCUAAAGUUACACGAUAUAGAGGCAGAAAAUGAUCGAGUUGCUGAAAAAGAUUACCUUGAUCUUCUUGACAUUUCAGCUGAGGUGGCUGAAAAAGAAGAUAAUCAGUUGUUCCAGUGGGUUAGGCCUAUACACUUGGAUGACGAAGUUGGAAAUCCUUAUCCACGAAUUGCCGUUCAUGCUCGAGAAUUUGGAGUUAAUGUUGAACGUGUGUUGUCCGAAGAAGUUCACUCUGAAAGUUUUAGCAAAGAUACUGAUAAUUCACUUCAUGCGACAUUGCAUUCCCACCAAGAGAUUGACUCCACAAGUGCUGGCCAUAGUAGUAGACCUAGUGCUGUAGGGACUUCUGCUUCUGGUUACGAUGGUUCAAGAGGUGGAACUGAUGAUGGAGGUGAUAAUGUGGGAUGAGAUAUUGAUGAACGUCGACAUAGUCAAUAUCCAAUCAGUCAAUUUACUUGUGAAAAUGAUUUCACACACUGCACAUAGGAUGAAGACCAUGGCUCUAGAAGAGCUGGUCCAGACAUUGGAGCUAUUAGGAAGCCUUAUAGAGGAAGAGAACGAAUGAAGGAACCAUAUAACGAGGAGUUACUUUCAGGAAGUUUUGAAUCUAUGAGUAUAGGGACUCAAUUUAGUGACUCCUCGAAUGAGGCUAACGUCUACCCUCCUCAUGUGAUGAGUUAUGGUCAACCUUCAAGUUCAACAGAUGAAGAGUAUGGUAUGUCACGUUAUUCCCCUUCUAGACAAAUACCAUACCAAAUUCCAUAUCAGAUGGAAUAAGGAUUUAGCGUUAAUACUUGGGUGAACUUUGAGUAUCCUAUUCAUGUAGAGGUAGUAGGCAGGACUCAAGAGAUAUAUGCAUGACAUGUUAGAAUUUAUAACCAAUAUUAUCGAGGCUUAUUGAGUUGGUACCAAUAUUGUCUCCAACAGCAAGUCGGGGUUCCUUCAUCUAUCAAUCCCAUUGAACCGCAUCGAUCCUCAUUUUGGUACUAAAAGGACAUUGCAAUGUAAUGUGUACAAAUUAUUGUUAUUUAAUGAAAUGAAGUAUUUUAUGUGACUUUAUAAUGAGAACAAUUACGAAAUUAACAUUUCUUAUAGAUCGACAUGAUAUAAUUACAUCUAAUAUCGCAAAUUAUAUCAUAUGUAUAUCAAAUUUUUCAAUAAAACAACUUUAAAAUGUCUAUUAUACUUCUAAUUAUAUUAUUAUGAGGUUUUUCUUGCAUUUCCAUGAGUUUUUAACAAUUUUAAGCCUACCGAUAUUUUUUUCCAGAAUAUCUGCCGAUAUAUCUCCGAUAUAUCCGUAAAAUCGAAGUACCGAUAUAUCCGUGAUUACCGAUAUUUUCAUCCUUGACUACAAUACUCAAUAAGCUCAUUAGAAUACGUUGGCUCAAAUAUCUCCAUGUUGUGCUACUAGAGAAAAUAUAAUCAUGUCAACAUGAGAAGGAACUAAUUGAUAAGAAUAUCACUACGCUGUACAAUUUUUUCUUUCAUCUAGGUUUUACUGAUAAGGUUUUUAACGAGGUAGUUGUAGCAAUCCAAAAGAAUAUUGUACUAUUUUUCCUUCAUUAGAGUUCUUUUUAGUAAGGUUUUAAUGAUGCAUAUUCUUAUGAUUAUCCAAGGGAAAGCGUUAUAAAAUAUGAGAUUUUAUUGGAUUAUAGAAACUUGUGGAUGAUCAUUUAUAUUGAUAUAUAUCUUUUUGUAACUCUUUUUAAAAGGGAGAUACCUUUAAUGAAAAUUCAUUCCAUUGGCUUCCUACAUUUUAUUAUACUUUUAUUUGAAUAUUUUUGUUUGUUCUUUUGUAUUUUUUUCUUCUUAUUCUUUUAUUUUAUAAUGAGAUAUUAUUUUUCUAAUUUUUAGCUUCUUUUGGCCUACCCGUAAUAUUUUUAUUUUGUGUUGGAUUUUGGGUUGACUUUUGGUUCCCAAAUCAAAUUUUUUUUGGUUGGGUUGAAAUUUUCCAAUCCAAUCUUAUAAUUGUCCGGAUUGAAGCAAGAUUGAAUAGAACUCAAACUUGGGCUGGGUGAAGGACCCACUAUACUUGCAAUUGGAUCAGCUAAGCCAAGUCCAAUCCAAUGGCGGUAACCAAAGCCUGAAUUGCGUCCAACGGCAUCUAAGACACCAGCAAGUGCCAUACCAACUCUUACAGAUUCCAGCUCGGAUAAAAUCAUGAAAAAGAGCAAGCAGACCUCUACAACACCUUUAUCUAUGAUUCUAUGUAGAGGUAGCAUCAUCCAAAAUAGGAAUACCAGGAGACAUUAGGCAUUACUUUCUAUCUCCAGGUUCAAGAUGCUUCAUUCUAAUGAAGCCCAUAAGAAUGCUUAAUCUGCUCUCUGAAGACUAGAAUGCAUGCUGAUGGUUUUAUGGACCUUUUGGACCGGGCUCCCUCUUGUUUCUAAGCGAGAGUUUGGGCCUCAGCAGUUGAGCCCGCAGCCCCGCCUCUCUUGCUUAGGUCUGAAAAUCAAAUGCUAAUGACAAAUAUGCAAUGAUAAUUUUUUUUCCAGGAAAAGCUCCAUUUUGUAUUUUUAUUAUUAUUAUUAUUUAAAAGUUUCUUCCAUUUAAUAAAUAAUUAUAUAUGUUUAAUUUUUAUAGUUGUUGAUUUUAAAAAAUGGAAAAAAUUAACACUUUGAUUUUUUUACAUUCAAUUAUUUUUUAUUACCAACGCAAAAGCAAAUAGAAAAUUUAAGAAAAUUGGGGACGACAGUUGAUUUUAAAGUACAAUUCUAAUAUAAUUAAUUUAGAAAAAUUUUGACGUGACAUUAUUUAAAAUCAUAAAUUUAAAAAUUCUCACUUAGGUGGAUUUUUUUGGGUACUUAUAAAAAAAGCAUCACUGCUUGAAUAGUACAUGUAUAUAAUUUUGGUCUUAUUAUUUAUAUCGAUCUCAUUAAUUUGUACUUUUAUAUAUUGAUUCCAUUUAAUCGUGUAUUUAUUUAAUGACCUAAAUUUCAUUAUAAUACCACUUCUUAACCUUAAUAUUUUCCAAAAAUAUAGCUUAAGAAUUUGUAAACAUAGGCACAUGUAACCUUAUCAGUUAUAAGAAGGGCACUGGAGGCUUCCUCUUUCAAGAAAAUAGUGAGCUGCGGUUCAUUCAACUUUGAUGGGAAGAUACUGUGAGCCUGAGACAUGAAUAUCACGAACUUAGAAGUUUCAUUCAAACCCAAUCACGUACGGGUGCUGACCGUAGGACGUAAGGCAGGUUUGACAUGCUGGGUCCAAGUGUGUGAGCCAAAGCAUUGAGCAUAAAACAAGAGAAUAUGCCGAAGCGUGAAGGAACACGUGUCGUGAAAGAAAAAUGAAAACAAAUGAGGUUCGGUUGGUGGGAGAGGGGAAGAGAUGUGCAUGAAGCGGAAGAGGGUAGGUGGGGGUGACCCGGUCUCCUCCUCUCUGCUGAGUGCUGCUGAGUGCUGAGUUGAUCGUCAAGGGGUAAUGGGCCUAUUCGUAAUUUCGCUCACUCUCGUCGCCCCCGCUUUUGGUCGUCUUUCAAAUGACUUUCUUUCCCCACAAACUGGCUUGGCUCCUUGCUUGGCUCCACUCCAUUCUACAGGUGAUCUAGCUAACUUUUUGGGGCUUCUCAGAAAUGGGAACGGGCAUUCGCCACAUCCCCCCAUCCAUCAUCCAUCUUGUCUACACGCAGUUUUCUCUCAUCAACAAACCUGAAAUCUGGUGGUGGGCUUGAAAAUUUGGUAUAUAUCCGGGAGAGUGGGUUCCGGUCAUUACUUCCAUCUACAAAUUAAAGCACAAACAACCCUUUCUUCAAUACAAUCAUAAUCGGUUGAAUGGACUCCAUUCCUGGCAACCCUAUGGAGGAAUAUCAGAUUAUCAUUGCCGAACGUAUAUAACCUACCCAAUAAGUAUUUAGUAUUCUGCUUAUAAACAGUAAACAAUUUAAGACUUCCUGUUUUCUUUAGAUAUACCAACCCCUGAAGUUGGAAGAGUUUUUUUAACUCACCUAGGAUGUGAUAUUUCGUUAGUCUGGUUUCUAGAUAAUAAAGACAAGAGAGGAGGGCAAUUUAUGUUUCUUUCAUUCUUUGUUUGUACCGGAAUCCAAUAUUCAUGAAUAUUGGUACUACAUGGAUCACUACCUAAUUUACACUAAUACCCAGUAUAGAAAUAAAAUUUAAUAAUUUUUUUUUUCAAUCUAAUCAAAUAUUAGAAUGGAAACCUCAUUUCUAUUAAAUUUUAAACAUUUAUAUAUAUAUAUAUAUAUAAGUGAAAUGAUUUUUAAAAGGUUUUAACUUUUAAGUAACUAUAAAAAAAUUGUUAGAGGUUCCAAAUAUUAAGUUUAAGGUUUUUAAGCACUUUAUAGUGCAAAGUCUAAAAACUAGUUGAGUCAGUUGAGUAUGAUGGAUCGAGAGGUAUUUACACAUCCUCUUUCUUUUCGUAAUAAAAAUAUUGUCGGUUGAGGCAGAACCUCAACUAAUUAAGAAUUGGUCGAGUCCCUAUCAAGGUUUGAUUGAAGUUAUAACCCCCAACAAUAACUUAUCAAAGUAUUAAAUGUUCAAUAACUACCGGACCAAUCAACCCUCAAAUUUGCUUUAUCAAUUUGGGUUUUCAAACCCUACUGUUUUAAACUUCUUUAUUUUAGAGUAUAAGAGUUAUAAAUUUUUUAUGAACAUCAUUUAGCUCUUCGGGAAGGGGGGGUGUUUUGAGUGCACUUUGUUUUCAAAUACAUAUUCAUUAGUGUACCUCAAUCCUAGUUUAUUUUAUAUUAUUUAAAUAAAAAAAUUUACAUUAGGAUUUUAUGAGAAUAUUUCUUAUAAUUUUUUUGUAAAUCUUUAAAAGGGAAAAAUUUAACUGUAAGGAUUAUCAAGUGUGAAGUAUUGUUGGAAAGAUUGUUAAGAGUAGAGUAUUUCUUGAGGAUUGUAAAGAGUGUUUAGUUCAAUUGUAAUGGUUUGAGCUUUAGAAGCUUUGACUUAAAGAAAGUCUUAGUUAAUUAGGAGUUUGAGAAGAGUGGAUAUAGAUCGGGUUGUAUUAAAUCACUAUAAAAACUAGUGUUUGCAUCCCCCAUUUCUUGCUUUUUAUUUUAUUUUUCAUUGUAUUUAUUAUAUAAUUGCAUAUAUUUUUUAUUUGUAUUUAUAUAAUUUAAAUUUAUAAAAAUUGAUCAUCACCUUAUUCACCCUCCCCAUUAGGUUGAGUCUCUUAGGUCGAUAUAACUAAAAUCUUAAUAAUGUUUUAGAGUUUUCAGUAGAAUAUAAUAAGUAUAAAGGACACGAAAGACACAUAAUUAGUUUAAAAUUUAUGAAAUAUAUAUGGAUAAAAACACUCUUGACUUGACUCUCCAAAGAAAGAAAAAUUAAAAUAAAUUUACUUGAAAAUAUAAAAUAACUUACAACAUAUUUAUAAGAGAUAAAACAAAAAAAAGGGAUACAAAUCUUGAAUAUUCAAAUUUUUAUAAAAAUGAAGAAAUGUUGCCCAUGUUUUCUUUUUCUAUAACUCAAGAAAAGUUGAAAGAAAACUUUAAAAAAAAAAAAAAAUCUUGAAAAAUCAAUUCCCAUGGAUCUCCAAUGGUUAUAUAAUAACUAACCCAUUACAGGAUAAGAUAAAAAUGGUGUUUUUGAAGGUUAUAAUUCAUUAAAAUGAAUUUAAAAUUUUUUAGAAUUUUGUUUUCUUAUGUGUUUUUUUUUAUGCAUGUUUUUGCUAUAAAAGUCUAUCCCCUUUUCAAGUGGGAAUGGAUUAAGAAUGUUUUGAAUAUUAUUACAUAGUUGUUAAAUAUUCUUAGCAUCAAUUAUAUUCCAACUUUUAGAUUUUGGACUUAAUUAUACAUCAUUUAUCAUUUAGGUUCAUUAUAUGCUAUUGAAAGCCUUAAAGGAUCAUCAUCCCCAUUAUCAUACGAUAAGAUGGCAAAUAUAUAUAUAUAUAAAAACCAUUCCAUCCAUCUUAUAUUUUAUCUAAAGGGUUUUGUCAACCAUAAUCCUUCAAGUCAAACAAAAAGGCAUUACACAUUUCUUUUAUUAUUAAGGCAAUACAAUAUAGCCCCAUUAGGAAUUUUUUUAAUUUUUAUUUUUGCCCUUUUAUUCUUUAUUUAAAUAAUUUAAAUUGAAAAUGAUAAUUCACAUGUUUAUAAAUUUCCACUAGUAUUAUGAGUUGGUUACCUUUCCCAAGGUUUUGCAAUUUUUUGCACAAAUGAUAAUUGUGAUUUAUUGCAACAAUACCCUAUUAUUUUCGGAGCAAACAUUUAUGAUUUUGUUUCUAAAAAAUAUUUUUGUUACUUUCUUAUUUAAAGAAUCAUAUGAGAAAGAGUCGAGGAGAGUGCUAGCGUAAAUUCUUGGUACAACACCCAAAAAAAAAAAGAGAAAAAUUUAAAUAUUCUACUCAUUUGAGAAAGAAAAUAUCUACUCAAUAUUACUCCUAAAAUGCUAGGUGGGUGACAAAAACACUUCAUCAAUUUACCAAUCAUAAUUAGGCACAACCACUAAUCACCAUACUUGGAGGGAUGCUAGGGGACACAUUACCACAUUCCUUGAUAGCCCCAAUACCCUACAAGACCUAUUUUUUUUUUUUUUCCUUUUUACGUACCUAUAUCUAUCUCACACUCUGGAUAGUGAUAUGUAAACUAGGAAGAAACUACAAGUUCCACUAUUGGAUUUUAUUGUAUCAACUUGAGAAACCACUUAUAGAGCUUACCAAGAUCAUAAUUAAUUAGAAGCUUAUCAAAAUAUUAUAUAUUCGAUACUAGGCAUUGUGACCUAAUUCUUGCUCUUAUGACUCAACACAAUCCAAUAACAAACUCAUCACCUCACCUCAAAAAUGUUCAAUUAUUCACUCUUUCAUGAGGAGAGAGUUGACCAUAUCCCUAUCACAACAAUCAAUACAAGUUUUAUAGGCCUAUAUAAAAUAAAGAAACCCAUAUUUAUAAAAGGAAAAUUCCUAUACAAUAUUUUCUAUCUAAAAUAAGUUUCAUAAAAAUAGCAAAAAAGUUAAACAUUCGAGACACUUUCCAAUAAAUAUCACCCGACUCACCCCAGUUAAAAUCUUUCUACACUUGAAUUUCAUAGCGACCACGGAAAAAAAGAAGACAUUAUUUAAAAUUAGAAUUUAGAAAAGGAGGAGUGUUGAUAAAUGGUAUUUUAUAUUGGAAUACAAGGGGUUGUAGUUGAAUACGAAUGUAUUUAGUAUUUACAAUAAGGAAAUGGAGACUGGAGAGAAUGGAAAGGGGGGAGUAGGUUGGGCUCGGCUGAGUGGAGUGGCUGAGAGCUGAUGGCUGAUGGCUAAUUGGCUAUAGUCAUAAUCAAAUUUAGUAGGUAAAAAAGCCGCAAAGCAGGGCAGAGGAAAUGAAUCAGCUUGACAAUGGACCCUACCAAAAAUUAGGUAGCUGAAAUACCAAAACUGCCCCUUUCCCCAACUACCACCACCAGCCACCGCCUGUCCCUGCCCCGCCAUCACUCUACCCUUAGUCUCCUCUUUCUAACCUUAUAAAUUCUCUCCCCAUUUCUCUCCCUUCCUUUCAUUGCUCACUGUCGUCUCUCGCCCUCUUUCUCUGCCAGUCUUCCUUUUCAAAUCCAAAAGCAAUAAAAAGGAGAGAUAGAAAAAGAAAAAGAGAAUGGCUCUCGCGGGCACUUCCAUUAUUCCCACCAAUUCCAACUCCUUCCUUCAAACCCAAGCUCUUCCAUCUUCGACCUCCAAAUCCCACCAACCCUAUCUUCUCACCAACCCCACCAAAUCCGCAUCUUUCCGACCCAUCUCUGCCGUUCAUUCCGCUGAUCCCUCCAAGAAUCCCGUCGUCUCCGAUAAGUCCCCGAAGGCCCCCGCCGCCGCUGCCUCCUCUGCAGCCACCACUGCCUCUACCACUAAAGUCUCUGGUGCUGUUCCUGGCAAAUGGAGCAUAGAAAGCUGGAAAUCCAAGAAGGCUUUGCAGCUCCCAGAAUAUCCGGAUCCGGAGGAUCUGGAGUCGGUUCUUCGUACCCUGGAAGCGUUCCCUCCCAUUGUGUUCGCCGGAGAAGCCAGGAGCUUGGAGGAACGCCUUGCGGAAGCCGCCAUGGGAAAUGCUUUUCUCUUGCAGGGUGGUGAUUGUGCCGAGAGUUUUAAGGAGUUCAAUGCCAACAACAUUCGUGACACCUUCAGAAUUCUUCUUCAAAUGGGCGCUGUUUUGAUGUUCGGAGGGCAAGUUCCCGUAAUCAAGGUCAGAUCUCUGUUGUUGUUUGUUGUUGUUGUUGGUUUUUUUUUUUUUUUUUUGGGAUGAUUUGGGAUUGUGCGUGUGAAGUUGGUUUUGAAUUGGGGUUGAUGGUUGUUUAGGUCGGAAGAAUGGCGGGUCAGUUUGCGAAGCCGAGGUCAGAAUCGUUCGAGGAGAAGAAUGGCGUGAAGCUGCCGAGUUACAGAGGUGAUAAUGUGAAUGGAGAUGCGUUCGAUGUCAAAUCGAGGACUCCGGACCCUCAGAGGAUGAUCAGAGCUUAUUGCCAAGCUGCAGCUACCCUCAAUCUCUUGAGGGCUUUCGCCACCGGAGGGUAUGCUUCUAUGCAGAGGGUGACCCAGUGGAAUUUGGAUUUCACAGAGCACAGUGAGCAGGGAGAUAGGUAUAUUUCAUUAAACCUCUUUUAGAUUUAGGUUGUUCUUCUUCUAAGUCAAUUUCAGAUUGGGAAGUGGAAACACCCUUUUGAUUUUGUUUUUUGGAAAUUCUUUUGAAAAUAAUUAAAAAGAAUCCUCUAAUAGGCAUUGAUGAUCGGUUGUUUUGGCGUAUUUUGCGAUAAUUGACCUUCCAAUUGUAGUUUGCCAAUUAGUGUAUGGAACAGAUGAUGAUGUUGAACUCCAUAAGCCAGUUCCAUCAAUAUCAUUAUUGUAUCUACUCUUCCAAAUAGUCCAAAAUAGAUCUCUUUUACAUAUAUAAAACCCCUUCCCCCC